GGUAACAAACAAAGCAACCUUUCAUGGAGAGAAACUUUAGUCUCAGUAUGAUCACUGUGUCAUUAACCCACUUCCUGCUUCUUUGCUUGGUUGUUGCAGCAGCAGCAGCAGCAGCAAGCAACAAUAUUACCACAGACCAACAAGCUCUUCUUGCCCUGAAAGAUCAUAUAACUUAUGAUCCAACCAAACUUUUUGCCCAUAAUUGGACCUCGAAUACCUCUGUUUGCACCUGGAUUGGCCUCAGUUGUGAUGUCAAUAGCCAUAGAGUCACAGCCUUAGAUAUUUCUCAAUUCAAUAUACAAGGCACCAUCCCUCCUCAACUUGGAAACCUCUCUUCACUCACAACACUUAAUCUUAGUCGUAAUAAGCUUUCUGGAAGCAUUCCCCCCUCCAUCUACACCAUGCAUACGCUAAAAUUUCUAGACUUCACUGAUAACCUGCUCUCUGGUUCAGUGUCUUCCUCCGUCUUCAACAUGUCUUCAAUAUUAGACAUUCGUUUGACCAAUAACAGACUUUCUGGUGAGCUUCCGAAAAAUAUUUGCAACUAUCUUCCUUACUUGAAAGCCCUUUUUCUGGACAAAAACAAGUUGCAUGGCAAAAUUCCUUCAGCUUUAUCAAAUUGCAAACAACUGCAACAAUUGCAUUUGCAGUUCAAUAAUUUAUCCGGUGCAAUACCGAAAGAAAUCGGCAACUUGACUAUGCUCAAAUGGAUAGAUCUCGGCUACAACAAACUCCACGGUAUGUUUCAUAAUGCUAUCUAAAUAUUUUAAUUUAUCACUUGUUUAUUUUAAUUUCUCACUUGUUAUUUUUCUUGAAUACUUUAGAUAAGAUCUAGUAAGUGAGAUUUUUUGCAUCUAUGUUAAUUUACCAGGUGAGAUACCCCCCGAAAUCGCUAAUCUUCGAAAUCUAGAGGCUUUGGUGCUUGGAAUGAACAACCUAGUGGGUGUGUUACCAGCUACAAUCUUCAACAUGUCAACACUGAAGGUAGUUAUCCUCAUUAAUAACUCUCUCUUCGGAAGUCUCCCAUCAAGAAUAGACCUUUCACUUCCAACUAUUGAGCACCUUAACUUGGCACUUAAUAGAUUUUCUGGAACCAUUCCUAGUUCCAUCACCAAUGCUUCUAAGCUCACCUUUCUAGAGUUGGGAGGAAACACAUUUUCGGGCUUUAUUCCGAACACAAUUGGUAAUUUAAGAAACCUUGAGUGGCUCAGCUUGGGUAAUAACUACUUGACAUCUUCAACCUCAAAAUUGAGCUUUCUUUCCUCUUUGGCAAAUUGCAAGAAAUUAAGAGACAUAGGCUUAACAGGCAAUCCACUCGACGGUAUCCUUCCAAGUUCAAUAGGUAAUCUUUCCAUGUCUUUGAAAACACUUUACAUCGGCAAUUGCAGUAUUAGUGGCAACAUUCCUCAAUCAAUUGGCAAUUUAAGCAACUUAUUGGCCUUAGUAUUAGAAGGCAAUAAAUUGACCGGACCAAUCCCAACUACAUUCGGCCAACUGCAGAAACUCCAAGGCUUAUUUCUUACAUUCAAUAAGUUGGUAGGUUCAUUCCCAGAUGAGCUUUUCCAUCUAGCUAGGCUGGAUAAAUUGGUAUUAUUGGGAAAUAAGCUUUCAGGAUCUAUGCCUUCAUGCUUAAGUAACCUCACUUCUCUGAGAUCUCUCUACUUAGGGUCCAAUAGGUUUACUUCUGUUAUUCCCUCAACUUUCUGGAGCCUAAAAGACAUCUUGUUCUUUGACUUUUCAUCAAAUUUCUUGGUUGGUACUCUUUCUUUCGACAUAGGUAAUUUGAAGGUGCUUCUAGGAAUAAGUUUAUCAGAAAAUAACUUAUCGGGUGAUAUGCCAGCCACAAUUGGAGGGAUAAAAAAACCUUCAAAUUAUGGACCUAGCAUAUAAUAGAUUGGAAGGGCAAAUUCCUGAAUCAUUUGGUGACUUGACAAGUUUGGAGGUUUUGAAUUUGUCAAAUAAUAAAAUCUCUGGGUCUAUUCCAAAAUCCAUGGAGAAACUCUUUUACCUCCGAGAGUUAAAUCUCUCUUUCAAUGAACUAGAAGGUGAGAUUCCUAGUGGAGGAAUUUUUGCCAACUUCACAGCUGAGUCAUUUAUGGGAAAUGAGUUAUUGUGUGGUUUACCAAAUCUUCAAGUCCAACCAUGCAAAGUUAGCAAGCCGAGGACAGAACAUAAAUCAAGGAAAAAGAUACUUCUCAUUGUGAUUGUUUUGCCAUUGAGUAUUGCUCUAACAAUAGCAAUCACUCUACCUCUCAAAUCUAAGCUGAUCGAAUGUGGAAAAAGAAGCACAGUGUUGUCAAAUGAUAGUGUCUUGUCAUCACAAGCAACACUAAGAAGAUUUUCAUACUUAGAACUUUUACAAGCAACAGAUAAUUUUGCUGAAAACAACGUAAUUGGCAUAGGAGGUUUUGGUUCUGUUUACGGUGGAAGACUUGAAGAUGGGAUGAAGAUUGCAAUAAAAGUGUUUCACCAGCAAUGUGCAAGCGCAUUGAAGAGUUUUGAGGCUGAAUGUGAAGUGUUAAAAAAUAUUCGCCAUCGAAACCUUAUUAAAGUUAUCAGCAGUUAUUCAAACAAUGACUUCAAAGCAUUAGUUCUAGAAUACAUGUCCAACGGGAGCUUAGGGGACUGGCUGCAUUCUAGCAAUUAUGUGCUGAAUAUAUUUCAGAGGUUGAACAUAAUGAUUGAUGUUGCAUCAGCUUUAGAACAUCUCCACUUCGAUCAUUCGACUCCUAUUAUUCAUUGUGACUUAAAGCCUAGUAAUGUAUUGUUGGACGGAAAUAUGGUUGCUCAUUUGAGUGAUUUUGGCAUAGCAAAGCUUUUAAGUGGAGAGGAUGAGUCUAUGAUGCGAACAAAAACCCUUGCCACUAUAGGUUAUAUGGCACCAGGUUUGCUUCAAACAACUUUUUUUUUUUAGUUCAUUUUAAAUUUUGCAACUUAUUGAUUUUUACGAUCCUCACAUCAAAAUGUUAUUGAUUAUUUAUCUAAUUUUGAAAUUAAUUUGAUUCAUAGAGUACGGCAUAGAAGGAGAAGUAUCUACAAAAAGUGAUGUUUACAGCUAUGGGAUUAUGUUGAUGGAAACUUUUACCAAGAAAAAACCCACAGAUGAAAUUUUUGUUGGAGAAUUGAGCUUGAAGCGUUGGGUUAAUGACUUGCUUCCUACUUCAUUAGUGGAAGUUGUGGACAAAACUCUGCUAAGUGGAGAGGAAAAACAUUCUGCAGCAAAGGAGCAAUGUCUGUUGUCUAUCUUUAGUUUGGCUCUGGAGUGUACAAUGGAAUCACCGGAAAAGAGGAUUAAUGCAAAAGAUAUUGUUACAAGAUUACUCAAGAUAAGAGACACAUUGAGUAAAAGGAUAGGAAAUUUAAGUUAAUUUCGUUUGCUUUCAUUGAUAGUUAAUUCGAAUUCAUGUAAUAAGUCUAAGAAUCUUAUAUCUUCAAAUUCGCAUUUUAAAAUGCACAAAUGUUUGUGUAUACAUAAUUAGUAAUCGAUUCUCAAGCUUUGGACAUUUAAAAGCACUGCUAAAAGACAAAAUUUUAAUUCACUAUUUUUUUGUCUUUUAAUUUUCUUUAAGUUUUAAUGAUUCCGCAUUUUAAAAUCCUGUGGAACGUGCAUGUAAAAUUCUUUUAUCUUUUAGAGGAAAAUGGGCAAGAGAAGAAGAUUUGGCAAAGGAAUUGCAACCGCAUUUGGAGCUAGUUUUAAUUUUGUCUUUUAAUUCUUUUACACUUGGCUUUUGUUAUUGAUGUUAACUUCGAUGUGUGUGCGUGUGCGACUGAAUUCAACUUACAUGCUAUUGAUGCAGCCACCAAAAAGGGGUGGUCCAUCAUCAAUCAACAAGGUUUAUUAUUAUUAAUUUCCAUAUUGAUUUUCUUAAUUAUAAAUAAUACUAAUGCUAUUUCAUAGUUAUAAAUAUAUUAGAAUUAAUCGAAAUCAUUUUUUAGUGUGGCAUGGCUAAAACUACCUUUUUUUUAUUAUAAGUAAUUACUACUUUCACAUUAAGAAAAAUACUCCUAUUUUUAAGGAAAAGUCAAGUACCUGUAGUUGUGAAGACUCGAGCUCACUCCCUUAUGAUAAAUCUUCAUAUUAAUUACGUAAAUAUCCUCUAAAAUUUUAAAUUAGCUAUUCAAAAUUUGAUGUUAUACGGGUAUUUCAUUUAUUUGAGUAGGGGUUAGGGGUCAAUUGGAUACAAAUUCAAAAUUAUCCUUACUUGAGAAGGUGAUAAAAAUUGGGGAUUUAGUUUGGAUGUCAUUAGCUACAAAUAUUAAACUCAUACAUUUAAUUCAAAAUUAGAGGGCUGAUAUAUGCGCAUCAUCGUCCACGUUAUAGUGACACUGCGUCACCAUUCCACAACCUCUCCAAUGAAAAAUUGACAUGCUUCUUGUGCGCAUCUAAUCAGAAUCUUGAAAAUUAAUCACAAAAUUGUACUUUUAUUAUAAAAAGAAUAAAGAAACUCCAAGAAAAAAAAAAGACUUACAUAAAUAGAUUGAAAAAUCUAGAUUUCAAGUUGUCUAUAUUAGCUUGAUAUUUUUAUUAAUAGUCAUCCUCCCAAAAAAAUUCCAUCAAAAUAUAUUUUAAUUUUAUGUUAAUUCAUAAACUUGAAAAAAUCAUUUUAGAAUUAAUUAAAACAUAAUUUAUUGUUGCUCAAAAAAGGUAGAACUUAGUUAUCAGAAAAAAGUGUCUAAAAUAUAUGUUAAAAAAAAAUCAUGGUUGGUUGGACUGAUUGAAUUUUUUUUUCUUUUUUAAGAAUUAAGACAAUUGGAUGGAUUGAGUAAUAAUAAUACAUAUUUAUUUGGCAAAUGGCAGGGAGGCUUUCGUCUGAUGCAGAUUGAUUAGAGAGAAAAUAUAACAAUUUUAAGCUCGUCAGAUUCGAAGCUGCUUACCUGUCGUGUGGGGAUCACUUCCGUGUCUUAUUUUUCUAGAAAAAUCUGGACCAUUGGAUUUACCAUUAGUCAAUAGAGAAAUGUUGAUCUUGAUUCUUGAUCAAGAUCGAAGUUUGAUUCUAACUAACACGAUAUCAGAUUGCGAAGCAAGCAAAUUGAAAGUCACUUGUUCUAUGGAAGAAACACAAGUUCUAAUAAAACAUUCUCAUAGUAAAGUGAAUUACCAUCCAACGAUCCAACUCAUGUUUUCAAAUUGUAAAUUGCAAAUCGUGUGUUUGCUCCAUUACAGAGUUUCUUCAAUCUGAAAUAGCGAAUCAUUUGUGUUCUAGAUUAAUCGUGGGUCUAUAUCCAAAUCUAAAAAUUGACUAACUUGAUUUCUAUUAAAUUCUUAAUCCUAACAAGAAAAAUUGAAGAUUAAAAACGACUAAUUUGGUACCAUACCACUAUUGUAACAUAGGUAGAUCCUCUAUUAAUUGGAGUAAAGAUUGAAUUAUCUCAUUUAUUAAGGUUUAUCAAAAUCUUGUGUCAAAAUCUAUUAAUGAUAUAGGUUCAAGGAUGAAAAAGUCACUGCAUUACUUUUGAGUUCCCAAAUAGAUGAAUGGAUGUUAUUUUUAGAUUCCGGAGAGUCGAAAAUAUUAAGAUAGGUGCUAAAUCGAAUUAAGUUGUAGAUACGAUAGAAAUGGAUUUGGAGAGAUUGGAAUCCUAGGUAAUCCGGUGCACGUUGUCGUGUUAAAUUCUCGUUGACUUCACGUUGACUGAAGCAUUAUUGGAAGAAACAAGUUUAUUGAUGUGAGGCCUUUGAGGUUGUAAGUGUUAAAUAUGAGAAGAAUACCCACACACCCAUUAUCCUAUUACUCUUAUAUCACAUGAAGAGAAUUCAACAUUUGAUUCACACGGAAAAAAUUUGUGAGGAUUGUGAGGGUUGAUGGAAUAUAAUUUAGAUACAAAGUGUUUUACCAGUGCGAUGCUUCGCAAGUGUUCUUGAAUCAAUAUAAACUCACGUUAUUUUCAUAGUGAUUGUUUCAUGUGCACGUGGAUAUAAUCACAUGUCGAGAUUUUUUUCCUUAAAUUAUGGUCUUAUUUAGUAUUAAGGUGUUAUAUCUUUUAAGGUACAAUUAUUGUUGGAAAAAAGUUGCAUCUAUCAAAUAAAAUUAGUACUAUGUGCUAAAUAUAAUUGUUAAAUAAUAAUUUUGACAAAAUUAGUGAAGUUAUAUAGAUUUUUUUUCAUCAUACAAGCAUAAAAUCAAAUCAACUUAACUUCUAAGUUAUAUAUCGGCUACUUAGGGAUGGCAAUGGAUUGGAUCUGACCCAAGAUCCACGUGAUCCAAAUCUAAUCGGAUCGGAUUUGGGUCAGUUUAAAAUGAAUUUGGAUCGGAUUUGGAUAUUGAUGUGCGGAUCUAAGACGGAUCUGGAGCAGGUCUGGAUCUAUCUUAGUAUCUAAAUCCAUAUCCAUAUCCACCCAUCUUUUAAUUUAAUUUUAUUUUAAAAGUUUCUUAACAAUUGUGGAAUUAUAAUGAUAAUGAAUUUUAUUCAUAGCAUAUUAGUGGUAUUUACCAUGCAUUUAAACUCUUUAAAAUUAAAGGUUAGUUUUGUAAAUUUAAAGACUAGCCAGGCCCAAAGCAUGUACAUGCAAUAUUCAAAUUGCAAGCCAAGUAAUACAACCUGGCAAUUUAUUUUAUUAUAUUGGCCAAAUAAUUUUUAAGGAAUAUAGGUAUUCAUAUAUUUUGUCAAAUAUGGUCAUAAUAAAAAUAAUAAAGGACUGAAUAUAAAUCAUAUUUUAUUUAUAUGUCAUUAUCUAAUAUUAUAAGAAUGAGGGUGGGUGUGUUGUAGAUAUUAGAAUGAUGAAUGAGACAAUAGAAUAUUAGAUUGAUCUUACUCCUGCAAUUACUUUUAAAGGAUAUUUUAUUAUCUUAUUUGUUGUUUUGGUGUAAAAGUAUAAGUUACAAUAUUUAUUAUAUUUUUGAGAAAAAUUAUAUAAUUUAUUUGUUAUCAAUACAUUUUAACCUUCAAUUUUCAUUCUAAAAAAUUAUUACUUUUUAAUUGAUGAGUUUUAGAAUUCAUGACAGAUCUAGAGCAGAUUUGGAUUUUAAUUUUUUUUUUCAGAUUUGGAGCAGAUAUAAAUAUUUAUUUCUUUUAUGGAUAUGGAUAUGGAGCGAAAAAUAUAGAUUCAUGAUGGAUCUGGAGCAGAUACGGAUCUUGAUUUUUAUUAUGGAUUUGGAUCUGGAGCAGAGUAGAUCCAACCCAUAUCUGCCCCAUUGCCAUCCCUACGGCUACUGUUAAUCAUAUGUUUUAGUUCUGUAACUUUUAAGUUAUAGUUACCCAAUCUCAAUUCUAAACCAGACCUAUAAAGAUCAAAGAUUUCCUCAUUAAAUUAUAUGUCUUGUGAUUGCUUAUUUAAUUUAUAUUUUUUUUUAUUUAUCUUUAUUAAUUAUAAUCAUCUUUUUAUAAAUUAAAAUUGAAGGAAGUUGAUUGAUGUUGUUGACACACGCACACACGCACACACUCACAAAGAUAUAUUGGAAGUGCUUACGUCGACUCGAAGUUGUUGGGAAUUAAUGCAUGUAUUGAUUUAUUGGGAGUGUUUAAAUGAUUUUUUGAUUUACUUGAUUUAUUGAUUGAAUAUUGUUUGAUUGCUUCAUAUCCAUUCUAGAAAGUUUAUUUCUUUGUGAAAUUUCAACGAAAUAUGUUUUUUUUUUUAAAUAAGGGUGUUCUAAAUAAUUUAAAAAUAUAUAUGGACUAAUUAGAAUUAAUUAUUAGGUAAUUAACUCAAUCUGUAUAGGGUGAAACAACAUUUAUCCUAAUUAUAUCAUGAUAAAUACUUUUCCUAUUAGAAUUAGGAAAUCAUAGGUUUAUUGAAUUGUUUUUUUUUUUCCUUUGCGGAAACGGAUUAGAGAAUUAGAAAACAAUCAUGUUGAUGUCAAAAUCUGAUCUAGUCGGUUAGCGACUUAAUAUCAUAUUACUGCACCAACAUUAAAUUUAUUGGGUGGAGAAUCGACUGGUCAAUUGUCAAGAUGUCCUGCAAUCACUAGCGAUUAACCUACGAAUACCUAAAAUCACAGAAGACGGUAAGAGGCACCGGAAGUUUUUUCGGCGUGAACCUUCCGACGCUCAAGUCAGUUUAUAGGUUUACCAUAAUAAAAAUAAAUAAUUUCUAUUUAAAAAAAAAUAGAGUUCAAAAGCUCAAAAAUAAAACCCAAUCCCAAUAUGAAAAUGAAUUUUUUUUUUUUUUUUUCUAGCUUGGCCGAAUCCUUCUGCCUCCUAAAGAAACAUAACAGAGAAGCAGGUAGCCAUGUUCCCUAGGUAACGCCCCACUCCCCUCUUUUAUUCCUCCCCCUCUCUUCCGUUUCCUUCUUUUGCUCACUAUCCUUCAUAAUUUUUUAUGCUUGUCUUCCCAAAAUAGCCUUUUAAUACACAAGUAAAUGUCUAGGCUUUGGUGAGGAUAGUUUGGUCAUUGCAUUUUACAAGUAAGAUGAGUGGUGGAGAAAAAUGAGGAGUGCACAUAUAACGCUUCAGCAAAUCCCACCAGCAAUUCCAUUUUCUUAAUUAAUUAAUCUCUUCAGCAAAUCCCACCAACUCUUCAGCAAAUCCUAAUGAUAUUAUUAUCAGGUUUAAAACAGUACACAAAUAGUGAAAAGCUAACUAGUCUGUAGAGUAAUUUGCUAAUUGCUAUCUCCUCUCUCCGCGCGCUGAAUAAUUUGUUGCAUGCAAACUUUUUAUUUUAUGCAAAUCGUACGUACUGUAACAUUGGAAUUGAUGUAAAAGCAAAAAUACAAGAAUAUUUAUGUCAAUAAAAAUAGUUUUUUUGGCCUUUUUAAAUAAACACAACGCGAUAUUGCUCUGCUCUACAUUUUUGCUAUCUCUUUAUUCUUCUUUUUUUUUUUGGGCUUCUUAAAGCCUCAAACUUUGAUAACCAAAACUUCAUCGACCUAUGAAAAAAUCUGCAGAUUAGUUUUUAUUAUCGGAAUAAUCAUUUGAGAAUACUAAAACAAAAUAUAAAUAAGAAAAUAGGAGGUUAAAUUAGAGGGGGGAAAAAAGGUAUGUUGGAUAGAUUACUAUAGUUUAAGAAAAAAAAAUCCAAUUGGGAAUUUUUUUCUUUAAUUUUUGUUUUACUUGAUUGAGAUUUCUCCUUGGUCCUUACAGUUUUAAGUUUGGAUGCCGUAGGGUUAGUAAUUUAGUACUUCCUUUGCAAGCUGAGUGCAAGAAUGAAAAUCUUUAAAGAAAUAAAAAAAAAAAAAAAAAGCAUACCAAUAGGUAAUUAUAAAUAACCAUACAUAAACAUAAACAAAAUGAGGUAAUUAUUAAUAUUAUUUUUUGUUUUAUUUCUUACUUGUCUAUUUUAUUUGCUGCUUGAUAACCCGUAAAUACUAAUCUAGUACUGCUAAUUUCAGACACAAAAUUUUUAACUCUAGGCUGCAGUUUUACUCAAAAUGAUGACCACUGGCUUCGCACCAUUUAACCGGCAUACAUUUCUACAAAUUGAACAAGGCUAUUGAUUUUCAUUAUUAUUUUUUAUUUUUUUAUAAAUUACUAUUUUAAUUUUCACUUUUCAUUGGGUUGUUUAACGGAUUAGUGAAGUUGGUGGUCGUGAUGCACUCACAAGGUACAAUUUUAUUUUAUAAUUUCAAAUUUGUAUUUUAAAAUGCAGGUACAUUAUGUAUACAUAAUUAUUGAUUUUCGUAUGUGGGUGUUUUGAAAUAUUGCUAAAAGACCAAACUUUAAUAAACUAUUUUUCAUCUUUUUUUUUUCCUAAAGUUUAAGUGAUAUCCGCAUUUUAAAUUCAUGUGGAACAAAAGCUAAUGUAUGCACAAAAUCCUUUUAUUUUUUCCGAGAAAAAUGGUUAAGAGAAGAAGAUUUUUCUCUUGAAAAAGAAAAACUAAUACGAUGCAAGCAUAGGAAAGAGGUCAGUGUUUUGGAUUAGAAUUUAGUAUUGAGCUGAAUUUUAUACUAAACUCUUUUAUAGUACUGCGAUUAAUAAACUCAUGAUUUGCUUUUGCUUUUACCUCAAGUGAAAGAAAGAGGAAACCUUUUGUUUUUUGUUUGAUUCUUGACUAUAGGUGUUACCUAUAUAGAGAGUUGAGGUAGCUGCCUUAAGUGAUGGUGAUAAAAAGAUUAAGCAGCGCACACAAUCUUACUGUCGUCCAGACCAUCCAGCUGUGAUGACUCUUGUUUUUUGGUUACAUUAGCUUUAGUGGAACGGAGGGCCAAUUUAACAAAGACUAGAUUUGGUGGCUUACUAUAAUGCUUAUUCUCAGGGAAUCUAAUGUUAUAAGAUGAUUUAAUGAUCUUCUAUGAUUGUGAGUAGUAUAGUAUAAUUGAAAAGAGCUUGGGCUCCUAUGAUGAAUAUUUAAUAGUAACACAGUACUGUUAUUGAAAAAAACACAGUUACAAUAAACUCUUCAUUUAUUCAUUGUGGAGAUUGAAUGGCAAACAGAGAAUAAAAUGAAGCAGAGGAAUCUCAUUGCCAGUAAAAUUGACCCUCUUUAAUGUUAUAUGGCACAGGUGUGUGUACAGCAAGAUCAAGUUACUUGCAGUUUUUAUUGUAAAAUAUAUAGGUUAUGACCAUGAUCAUUGUAGUUAGGUUUUGAUGAUUUUAGAUGCUUUUUUUAUUUUUUUUAAAAUUGUGACACCUUUGAUUUAUGGUAGUUUUGCAGAAGAAAAAAAUAUAUAUAAAAAUUAGGAGGGAUGAGUUAACUAACGAUUGCAAUCAUUACAGUAAUGUUGAUGAGUGAUACAUCAUUUGAAAUUUACUUGUCAGUUGCUGAAAUGAUGAAAAAAAACAGUAAACAAUAGCAGUAAUAUUUUUUGGCAAUAUAAAAAAUUAUUGCGGUUAUUUUUUGGCAAUAUAAAAAAAUUUUAGCAAAUAAAAAUUAAUUUUUUUCCGAUUAACUAAAAAAUUAAUUAAAAACUUCUGCGAUGGCAUUUUUUAUGGGUGCAUAUACCCUCCCUUUAAAAGAAAAAAUAAUAAUUAAUACUUAAUAUAGUAUUAAAUACGAAAAUAUCAAUAUUUGACUACACAAAUUUAAUAGUCUUGUGUAAUUAGUGAGUGAGAGAUUGGGUGUAUUGGAGUUUUGGGUAGUGAGCCAAAAUAUUACAAUACUUGUAAUCUUUAUUUCACUAGUGAAAUAUUUUCCUUCUGUUUUUGCCCGUGGACGUAGGCUAAAAGCCGAACCACGUAAUUUCUGGUGUCCUCUAUUGUACUUGUUCUUUAUUUGCUUCCAAUUUUAUUUUAACUGCGCGUCUGCUUCACCCAUCAAUUUCCUAACAAAUCUUGAUCCCAUGCACACGCAAAUAUGUUAAUUUCUAUACGCUUCACUUACCUGUAGAAUCAAUUAUCUAAAAUGCAAGUUUGUGGCCACAAAAAAAGCCAAAGAAAGAAGAUAAUAACAAUUGACUUGUAUAUUAUACUCAUACAAUCCACUCGACAUAAUGAUAUCAUUUUAAUAAGGCAAUGGCUGAUGAUCUCCAUUGAAAAACUAAUUCAAUUUUUUUGCUUCAUUUAACUUUUUGGUUGUUGAAAAUAACCUUAAUUAUCAAAUAAUUGGAGAAAGAGUAAAGAACAUUUAACAAAUUUAUGUGCAAAAAAAAAAAAAAAGAAGUUGAAGAGAAAGGGUGCUUGCAGAAGUGGGUGUCAAAGAAACAUCGGUCCAUAAGAAUUAUUGCGGUUAUUUUUUGGCAAUAUAAAAUAUUUAUAGCAAGUAAAAAUUAAAUUUUUUCCGAUUUACUAAAAAAUUAACUAAAAACUUCUGCCACAACAUUUUUUAUGGGUACAUAUACCCUCCCUUUAAAAAAAAAAUAAUAAUUAAUGCUUAAUAUAGUAUUAAAUACCAAAAUAUCAAUAUUUGGCUACUCAAAUUUAUAUCAUUAGGUCCUUAAAAUUAAAAAUUGAUGAUACAAAAGGAAAUAUAUAUAAAUUUCAUUCUCAUGGAAAGGAUUCUCUUAUAAUCUUAUAAUAUUUGAGUUUUGAAAUUUUUUGAAGCAAAUGUAAUUUUAUUUGUGUACAAUCAAUAUUUACUUAUUUAUUAUAUUUUAAUUUGUUAACUAUCAAUCAUUUAAGUAUAUUUAGUCAGAAAAAUUAUAUCAAGAGAGAAUCCUAAUUUCACGCAAACACAAAUACAAGAUAAAUAUGUCAAUUUCUAUACUAUCCACUUUCCUGUAGAAUCAAUUAUCUAAAAUGCAAGUUUGUGGCUACCGAAAACUCGCCAAAGAAAGAAGAUAAUAACAAUUGAGCAUUGAUAGCAAAACUAAUGCAUCAUUUUCUUCUUGACUUGAUGAGAUGGUGCCAUUACAAAAAAAAAAGUACCUUAAUUGACGGGCACUGAGUGAUGUGAAUACUACCAGCCAGUUCAUCUCUUCCAGUCUUGCUUAAUCACAAUCACAAACACCACGAGAUUGACAUUUGCAUUAUAUAUAUCUUCAGCAAUCGAAACACCUUGCAUUACCAAAUUAACCGGUAACAAACAAAGCAAUCUUUCAUGGAGAGAAACUUUAGUCUCAGUAUGAUCACUUUGUCAUUAACCCACUACCUGCUUCUUUGCUUGGUUGUUGCAGCAGCAGCAGCCGCAAGCAACAAUAUUACCACAGACCAACAAGCUCUUCUUGCCCUGAAAGAUCAUAUAACUUAUGAUCCAACCAACCUUUUUGCCCAUAAUUGGACCUCGAAUACCUCUGUUUGUACCUGGAUUGGCAUCACUUGUGAUGUCAAUAGCCAUAGAGUCACAGCCUUAGAUAUUUCUCAAUUCAAUCUACAAGGCACCAUCCCUCCUCAACUUGGAAACCUUUCUUCACUUACAACGCUUAAUCUUAGUCAUAACAAGCUUUCUGGAGACGUUCCAUCCUCCAUCUACACCAUGCAUUCGCUAAAAUUUCUUGACUUCACUGAUAACCAGCUCUCUGGUUCAGUGUCUUCCUUCGUCUUCAACAUGUCUUCAAUAUUAGAAAUUCUUUUGACCAAUAACAGAUUUUCUGGUGAGCUUCCGAAAAAUAUUUGCAACUAUCUUCCUUAUUUGAAAGCCCUUUUCUUAAACAAAAACAUGUUUCAUGGCAAAAUUCCUUCUGCUUUAUCAAAGUGCAAACAACUGCAAAAAUUAAAUUUGCAGUUCAAUAAUUUAUCCGGUGCAAUACCGAAAGAAAUCGGCAACUUGACUAUGCUCAAAGGCAUAUAUCUCGAAUACAACAAACUCCACGGUAUGUUCAUAAUACUAUGUAAAUGUUUUAAUUUCUCAAUUGUUAUUUUCUUGAAUACUUUAGACAAGAUCUUGUAAGGGAGAUAUUUUUGGAUCUGUGUUAAUUUGCCAGGUGAGAUACCCCACGAAAUCGCUAAUCUUCGAAAUCUAGAGGAUUUAUUGCUUGGAAUGAACAACCUAGUUGGUGUGUUACCAGCUCCAAUCUUCAACAUGUCAACACUGAAAUUAUUUGACCUCAUAAAUAACUCUCUCUCCGGAAGUCUUCCAUCAAGAAUAGACCUUUCACUUCCAACUGUUGAGUUUUUUGGCUUGGCACUUAAUAGAUUUUCUGGAACCAUUCCUAGUUCCAUCACCAAUGCUUCUAAGCUCACCGUUCUAGCGUUGGGAGAGAACACAUUUUCGGGCUUCAUUCCAAACACAAUUGGUAAUUUAAGAAACCUUGAGUGGCUCAGCUUGGAGAAUAAUUACUUGAAAUCUUCAACCUCAAAAUUGAGCUUUCUUUCCUCUUUGGCAAAUUGCAAGAAAUUAAGAUUCUUAAACUUAGCAGGCAAUCCACUUGACGGCUUCCUUCCAAGUUCAAUAGGUAAUCUUUCUGUGUCUUUGGAAACACUUUUCAUCGGCAAUUGCAGUAUUAGUGGCAACAUUCCUCAAGCAAUUAGCAAUUUAAGCAACUUGUUGACCUUAGUAUUAGAAGGCAAUAAAUUGACUGGACCAAUUCCAAUUACAUUUGGCCGACUACAGAAACUCCAAGGCUUAGAUCUUGCAUUCAAUAAGUUGGUAGGUUCAUUCCCAGAUGAGCUUUGCCAUCUAGCAAGGCUGGAUCAAUUGGUCUUAUUUGGCAAUAAGCUUUCAGGAUCUAUACCUUCAUGCCUAAGUAAUCUCACUUCUCUAAGAUCUCUCUACUUAGGGUCCAAUAGGUUAACUUCUGUUAUUCCCUCAACUUUCUGGAGCCUAAAAUACAUCUUGUUCUUUGACUUUUCAUCAAAUUUCUUGGUUGGUACUCUUUCUUUCGACAUAGGUAAUUUGAAGGUGCUUCUAGGAAUAAAUUUAUCAGAAAAUAACUUAUCGGGUGAUAUGCCAGCCACAAUUGGAGGACUGAAAGAUCUUCAAUUUAUGGACCUAGCAUUUAAUAGAUUGGAAGGCCCAAUUCCUGAAUCAUUUGGUGACUUGACAAGUUUGGAGGUUUUGAAUUUGUCAAAAAAUAAAAUCUCUGGGUCUAUUCCAACAUCCAUGGAGAAACUCAUUUACCUUCGAGAGUUAAAUCUCUCUUUCAAUAAACUUGAAGGUGAGAUUCCUAGUGGAGGAAUUUUUACCAACUUCACAGCUGAGUCAUUUAUGGGAAAUGAGUUAUUGUGUGGUUUACCAAAUCUUCAAGUCCAACCAUGCAAACUUAGCAAGCCUAGGACAGAACAUAAAUCAAGGAAAAAGAUACUUCUCAUUGUGAUUGUUUUGCCAUUGAGUAUUGCUCUAACGAUAGCAAUCACUCUAGCUCUCAAAUCUAAGCUGAUCGAAUGUAGAAAAAGAGGCACAGAGUUAUCAAAUGAUAGUAUCUUGUCAUCAGAAGCAACACUAAGAAGAUUUUUAUACUUAGAACUUUUACAAGCAACAGAUAAUUUUGCUGAAAACAACAUAAUUGGCAGAGGAGGUUUUGGUUCCGUUUAUGGAGCAAGACUUGAAGAUGGGAUGAAGAUUGCAAUAAAAGUGUUUCACCAGCAAUGUGCAAGCGCAUUGAAGAGUUUUGAGGCUGAAUGUGAAGUGUUAAAAAAUAUUCACCAUCGAAACCUUAUCAAAGUUAUCAGCAGUUGCUCGAACGAUGACUUCAAAGCAUUAGUCCUAGAAUACAUGUCCAACGGGAGCUUGGAGGAUUGGCUGCAUUCUAGCAAUUAUGUGCUGAAUAUAUUUCAGAGGUUGAACAUAAUGAUUGACGUUGCAUCAGCUUUAGAAUAUCUCCACUUCGAUCAUUCAACUGCUAUUAUUCAUUGUGACUUAAAGCCUAGUAAUGUAUUGUUGGACGAAAAUAUGGUUGCUCAUUUGAGUGAUUUUGGCAUAGCAAAGCUUUUAAGUGGAGAGGAUGAGUCUACGAUACGAACAAAAACCCUUGCCACUCUAGGUUAUAUGGCACCAGGUUUGCUUCAAACAACUUUCGUUUUUAGUUCAUUUUAAAUUUUCCAACUUAUUGAUUUUUACAAUCCUCACAUCAAAAUGUUAUUGAUUAUUUAUCUAAUUGUGAAAUUAAUUUGAUUCAUAGAGUAUGGCAUAGGAGGAGAAGUAUCUACAAAAAGUGAUGUUUAUAGCUAUGGGAUUAUGUUGAUGGAAACUUUUACCAAGAAAAAACCCACAGAUGAAAUUUUUGUUGGAGAAUUGAGCUUAAAGCGUUGGGUUAAUGACUUGCUUCCUAAUUCAUUAGUGGAAGUUGUGGACAAAACUCUGCUAAGUGGAGAGGAAAAACAUUCUGCAGCAAAGGAGCAAUGUCUGUUGUCUAUCUUUAGUUUGGCUCUGGAGUGUACAAUGGAAUCACCGGAAAAGAGGAUUAAUGCAAAAGAUAUUGUUACCGGAUUACUCAAGAUAAGAGACACAUUGAGUAAAAGGAUAGGAAAUUUAAGUUAAUUUCGUUUGCUUUCAUUGAUAGUUAAUUCGAAUUCAUGUAAUAAGUGUAAGAACCUUAUAUCUUUUACUUUGAUUUUUUUUUUCUUGAGAAAACUGUUGUAGUCAUCUUGUUUCCAUGGGCGGAGUUGAUUUAGUUCUUCCAAGAAAUGCUACUGAUGACAUUUGUUUUAUACUUUCUCUUUUUUUUUGCAUGUGUUUAGGUAGAAUAGUGGUUUGGUUGCACUCUAAGAAGUCUAACUACACUAAAAGAAUAUGAUUUAAUUUAUUAAACAAAACUUCAAGUUCAAGAAAAGUAUCUCAUUGCCCCCAAUGCUUUGGACACCUAUUGGUAGGUUUGUACGUGUCCUCAACUUUUUUUUGGAGCACAAAAUUCGAGUCCCAUAAAGGCUCAAACAUUCCUUUCCUUCAUCCCGAGGGCGCCUUCUGUCCUCUGUUUUCUGUUUCCACACACAAAUAGCAAAAAGAAAUUAGAAUGACAACUGGGACAUAUAUAAGAGUGAAAUAAUUAAAAAAAUUAUGCUUUUUUGUCUGUCGUGUUAAAAUCGUAAGUACCGAAGUACUGUGAAAGAGAUUAAUUUACAGAAACUGAAGCCAAGGGUUCAAAAAAAACUAUUGAUGUAGGUAGAAUGCAAUGUCAUAUUCAUACAGAGAUGAAGUAUAUUAUUUACGGCUGGUAAGGACUAAGAAUUGAUGUAGCUAGAAUGCAAAGAUGAUGAGGUAUGUUGUACACUAUUGUUUUUAUUCUACAAUCAAUCUUGACCCCUGAUGCUUGGCUCUCAAUCUUGUCCAUUGAUCUUCUCUGAUUUUGGAGACUUGAAGACCUUUCAGUAUCAUGCCUUGUUGUUGGUGUCUUCCGUGCUGUAGAAUUCAUAUACAAGUUUUCCCGCCGACUUGCCAAGUAUUUGUUCAUUGAUGCAUUUUAUCAAACAGUUGGCCUGCUCAGAGCAAACAGCUCCUGUUUUAACUCCCCCUCCGUAGCUCAACUAUCUGGGAAGACAAUUAAUUGAGCUUGUUUCACAAUUAUAUGAAUCUGAAAGUUCAAUUAUAUCCUCUAAUGGAGAGAACUCAUUGCCUCAGUAUGAUCACUGUGUCAUCAACCCACUCCCCGCUUCUUUGCUUGGUUGUUGCAGCAAGCAACAAUUUUACCACAGAUCAACAAUAGUUUGUCCAUUUGUUCCAGUGAGGUCGUCAUUAAAAAUUAAUUUUCAUAUUGAUUUUCUUAAUUAUAAAUAAUACUAAUGAUAUUUCAUAGUUAUAAAUAUAUUAGAAUUAAUCGAAAUCAUUUUUUAGUGCGGCAUGGCUAAAACUACCUUUUUUUUUUUUAAGUAAUUACUACUUCAAGGAAAAUACUCCUAUUUUCAAGGAAAAGUCAAGUACCCGUAGUUGUGAAGACUCGAGCUCACCCUCUUAUGAUAAAUCUUCUUAUCAAUUACAUAAAUAUCCUCUAAAUUUUUAGUUAACUAUUCAAAAUUCGAUGUUAUACGGGUAUUUCAUUUAUUUGAGUAGGGGUUCGGGGUCAAUUGGAUACAAAUUCAAAAUUAUCCUUACUUGAGAAGGUGAUAAAAAUUGGGGAUUUAGUUUGGAUGCAUUAGCUACAAAUAUUAAACUCAUACAUCUAAUUCAAAAUUAGAGGGCUGAUAUAUGUGCAUCCUCGUGCACAUUAUAGUGACACGUGUCACCAUCCUACAACCUAUCCAAUGAAAAAUUGACAUGCAUCUUGUGCGCUUCUGAUCAAAAUCCUGAAAAUUAAUCACAAAGUUAUACUUUUAUUAUAAAAAGAAUAAAGAAACUCCAAAAAAAAAAAAAGACUUACAUAUAUAAAUAGUUUGAAUAAUCUAGAUUCCAAGUUGUCUAUAUUAGCUUGAUCUUUUUAUAAAUAGUCAUCUUCGAAAAAAAAUUCCACCAACAUAUAUUUUAAUUUUAUGUUAAUUAAUAAAUAGAAAAAAAUCAUUUUAGAAUUAAUUAAAACAUUAUUUAUUGUUGCCAAAAAAAGGAAGAAUUUAGUGAUAAGAAAAAAGUGUCUCAAAUAUACGUUAAAAAAAUUAAUCAUGGUGGGUUCGAUUGAUUGAAUUUUUUUUUUUAAUCUUUUUCUUUUUUAAGAAUUAAGACAAUUGGAUUGAUUGAGUAAUAAUAAAAUAUAUUUAUUUGGCAAAUGGCAGGUAGGCUUUCUUCUGAUGCAGAUUGAUUAUAGAGAAUAUACAACAAUUUUAAGCUCGUCAGAUUCGGAACCUGCUUAUCUGUCGUGUGGGGAUCACUUCCGUGUCUUAUUUUUCUAGAAAAAUCUGGACCAUUAGGCAGUAGAGAAAUGUUGAUCUUGAUUCCUGAUCAGGAUCGAAGUUUGAUUCUAUCUAACAUGAUAUCAGAUUGCGAAGCAGGCUAGUAUGUAAAUUUCUUUUAUCUUUUAGAGGAAAAUGGGCAAGAGAAGAAGAUUUGGCAAAGGAAUUGCAACCGCAUUUCUAGUAUGUUCUGAUCAGAGAAGCGAAAUCCAUCACGGUCUUUUAUCUUUACCCAUGUGGAGAAAUCAAGGGAUUUCGAAUCAGAGAAGCGAUGGGAUUUAGUUCUGAUCUGGGAUUUUGGAGACUUAGGGAGUGUGCGGUCUUGGACCAACAUUGAUGACGAUGACGCUUCAAAUUCAAUGACUUGAAAGCAGAAAACAAAGACAGACAAAAACAGACAUGCACUACAGCAAGAAAGAUUGACUGAAUCUUGGGUUACUGUGUCUGUGGUCUCAAAUGAAACACAAGUGGGAAGCCUUGCUGCAGUUUCAGCUUUGGUUUGUGUUUGAAGUUUUGAAUGUAAAAAGAGAACCGAGCAUGUGGUUGCCGACAAGAAUGGCCUGAGGUUUCUUAAGCUUCAUUGUAAUGUUACAACUGCUACUAAUUUGGUGGGGUGGGAGGUCGCUGGGUCGCUGUCAGUCCAUUUGCUUCUUUUCUUUCUUUUUGUUAUUUGUUGAGUUUUUUCCAUUUCUACUUUUCUUAAUAUAUAAAUUAUCAUUUUUUUAACAUGCAAAAUAUAUAGAACAUUUUAUGAGUUUAUAAAUAAAAAUUAUAUUAUGGGAUAAUAGUGAAUGAGUUCCUGGUGCUUUGGAGUUCUUUAAAUUAAGGGCCCAGUUUGUCCAUUUGUUUUAGUUAGGUCCUUCUUAAAAAUUGAUUUUCUUAAUUAUAACUAAUACUAAUGAUAUUUCAUAGUUAUAAAUAUAUUAGAAUUAAUCCAAAAUAUUUUUUAGCGUGGCAUGGCUAAAACUACCUUUUUCUAUAAGUAAUCACUACUUUUGCAUUAAGGAAAAUAUUCCUAUUUAAAAAAAAAUUGAAUAUCUAUAGUUGUGAGGACUCGAACUCACUCGCUUAUGAUAAAUCUUUGUUGAUGCGAGAUUCUGGUUACCCACUCGACCACGUCCAGGAUCUCUGCUCAAUCAACUAACUCGACCACGAUCAGGAUCUCUCCUCGUAUGCUUUCUUCUUCAAAAAUUCCUGCGUACACAGAAACAAGUCAGAGCACGCCAGUUGUUUUCCCGGCGUAAACCCUCCGACGCUCAAGUCAGAUAUGAAGGUUUUGUGUUCCUGGGAACGUUAGCCACUAGUCUUAAGCUUUGCUUUUGGUAUCGAUUGCUGAAUGCUCUCUUUAUCUCAAUUUCCGUAUUAAAAGUUAACCCUUUUACCUUCGUUGGCUGCCUUUUUAUAGGCUCCACCUGAGUCCAGAUCCUCCCCUCCAUUCACGCCCGUUACCUUCCCACCUCUCGAAAGUGGAUGCUUUGUUUCCGUAAUCGUGGGUGAUUGCAUGGCCUUCGUGCCUCGAUUCUCAGGCUGGAGAGUACGUCUCGCCAACUGUCGUUGACUGGGUCUCCUCGCCUCAAACCUUAGCAGGAAUGGCUUUAUGCUUCUAACAAGAGACCGGCUUCGCGGAUGGCGUAUUCAUGGACGAGCAGAUAUUCCUGCUUAUGUUCCAAUGCUACCAGACCUCUGCUCAUCACGGCUGGUCUCGUCGAAGUACAUCCCCCAAACACCGGUCCCCCAGUUUCUGGUGUUGGGUAACAUAGUGAGCCAACAGUAGAAACUCGACAGUUCUUGCUCGCGCGAGAUAGGAAAAGACUGCCAAGAGUCGUGUCGCAUUUAAUGGCGGAUGAGGUGAUGUGGCAGAAAUCUACCCCUCCAUUUGAAUUUCAAACCGACGGUUACGAAACCCUAGGGAUUUGUGCCGUUAAAUGCCGGCAGCCCAAGAGUUUGUUCUUCAUUAGGAAAACCCAAAACCCCCAAAAGAGGAACUCGUCUUUUACUCCGUUUCUGUCUCUCCUGCGAAUGAGUCCUUCCUCUCCCUCGGCGUAAAAGCUUCCUUCCUUGUCUCUCUCCGACUAAGUCACAACUUCAGGUACUAUUUCUUUUUUCCUCGGUCGUGGAUAGUUGUAAACAAUUUCUUUUACAUUUUGCUUGGGUAGUGUUUGGUGGUGCAGUUCUGGUUAUAGUUUAGGGAAUGUCGAAAGGUAAGGAGAAAGUCAUUGAGAUUGAUGACGACGAGUUAGACUUCUUGCCUAGUCUGCUCGCCGAUUCUGCUUUCGACACCGGGAUCCCCUUAGAACCCGUUAGACCUAAUGUUGCGACUAGUGCUAGGAGGAUGUCCCCCCAAGUAACCUCCUCAACUGGAAAUAGCGACGACGAGGGUUCUUCUGGUUCGGAAGACACUUUGAGUGAAGAUCAGGGAAAUGAUUCUGGUGAGAUGUCCUCACCAGGAACAUCGUGACCAGAUAGGAGGGGCAUAGUAGGAGGUAGAGCUCUAUCACAGAAUUACACUAUUGAUUUUAUGACGUGCACGACCACAGUAGAUGAGCUAGUUAGUCUCCGGGCUAGAUACGGCAUCCCUGAUGAAAUUUCCCUUAGGAUCCCAGGAAAAAAAGAUACCCCCAGCCGGCCUCCUAGGGGAUAUAUUACUCUGUUUCUAGAGAGUUUUAAACUUGGGCUAAGGUACCCCAUACAACCCUACUUUGCCCGAAUACUCAAUGGGUUGAAUUUAGCUCCUGGUCAACUGAACCCCAAUGGGUGGUGAGUACUUUCUGGUCUGUUCAUAUUGUGAGACAGAUGUUGCCAAAGCGAGCCAACAAUUGACGAGGUGAAGCACCUGUACCAGCUAAAGAGCAGCCCCAAAGAUGUCGGCUGGUAUUACUUCCAGUCUAGUACCAAGACCAGGAAACCCAUAACCGAUCUUCCAACUGGUGGUGGUAGGACUUGGAAGAAAAAAUUCUUUUUUGCUGGGGGUCCCUGGGGUCAAGUUGCACAGAUUGACGAGAAGGAUUACCGUGUCCCACCUCAUUUCGUGGUCCCAGGUUGCCUACUCGCUUAAGAUGUUUUGUCUCCAUAGUCGUUCUCAUUUUGCUGAUUUGUUUCUAAUCCAAAAUCUGUUCGCAUUGCAGGUUCCUGGGGUGUGCACUACCAGCUUAAACCCGAGCCGCUCAAGCGAGUCGAAGCUGUACUGGCCAAUUUCUACACGAACCGAGAGCUGCUAACUACUUUCAAUUUGGUCGAAUCUCGUUUGGUGUCUACCGGCCAUAAAAUGGAGGAUGCUGUGAUCGGGGCUCUGACUCGGAAACGUCCCCAACCUCAUGCUACCAAGCAGGACCAGAAUAAAUAUGCUCCCACUGCGAAGCGGGUGAACAUUGUGCAGCAGGUUCCUCCCUUGAAGACCCUACCACCUCCUUCUGCCAAAGUCGGAGAAACUAGCGGAGCAGCCACCGAUCCCGCUUCCUCUUAUCCUCCAGUCGGGCCGAGAUCUCGUUUAUCUGACAAUCGAGCAAAACAUUUGGUCCCCUAUAUCAACGAGUUCUCUAAACUCGUGAGCAAGAGGGACCUAGAGGACUUUGACGACAGCACCUUGGGUGAGCUGGUGGGGGCCAUGCAAUAUAGCGCUUUCCAUCUCGACUGUAUGGCCACUUACUACAAGGCCAAGGUUGGUCGUUAUGACCGAAAGAUGAAGGAGGACAUUCAAUCGGCCAUGAUCAAAGCUGAUGCUGCCGAGAAGAAAGCAGGGGACUUGAAUCUCGAGAAUUUGAAGUUGAUAGAGCGAGAAUCUCUUGCUCAAGCAAAAGCCAUUACUCUCGAGGAUGAGCUAGCUAAGGUCAAGGAGGAUCUGCAAAGACAGCAGGCUAUGUACGAGGCCCAGCUCGAAUCUCUUCGGGAUUCCCACAAGGUUUAGGUCGAGAACCUGGAGAAGGAAGCUGAUAAUCAAUAUGACCAGGGGCUUCAGCACUCCUAUCAUUGCAUCAUGGCCGUCCUUGGGAAGCAGCAUCCGGAUAUGAAAAUGGACGAGCUUGCUACUGGUGUUGCUCAGCAUAUGGAUGAGGAGGCAGCAAAAGAGGACGCCGAAGAGGUGGAGCCAACUGAGGUUGAGGAGGGAAACACUCCUCCUCGUGCAAUCCUUGCUGAUGUCGCUGAGGCGAGUACCCCCCGAAUGCAACUGGUGAUACCCCCUGCCCCUGAGGUGGACCAGCCAACCAAGGCUGCUCGGCUUACUGACCCGCCGUCCUCUUGAUUGUAUUUUGUGUUGUAGUUGCUUUCUUGAAACGCUAUAUGUUAUGACUAGCAGUUUUUUCUGGUUGUUGAUUAAUAAAUAAGAAUGUUCUCAUUUGCUUUCUCGUCGUAAAUCAUUUUAAGUUUGAGGGUCUACUUGCCUUCUCUUGUACUAGCAGUUCUUGACACGCUUGGCUUCUGGUCUCGCCAUAGAACAUGCUUGUGACUUGGUGAGCCUUUGCAUGCCUUAGAAAUUUUUUCAAUGUUGGGAUUCUGCUCGCCUUCGCUUGGUCGAGCAGAUCUUGGCACGCUUGGCUUUUGGUCUCGCCAUAAAAACAGGCUUUGAAAAUUGGUGAGCCUUUGCAUGCCUUAGAAAUUUUUUCAAUGCUUGGGAUUUUGCUCGCCGUCGCUUGGUCGAGCAGAUCCUGGCACGCUUAGCUUUUGGUCUCGCCAUAAAAUAGGCUUUGAGACUUGGUGAGCCUUUGUAUGCCUUCGAAAUUUUUUCAAUGAUAGGGAUUCUGCUCGUCGUCGCUUGGUCGAGCAGAUCCUGGCACACUUGGCUUCUAGUCUCGCCAUAAAACAGGCUUUGAGACUUGGUGAGCCUUUGCAUGCCUUAGAAAUUUUUUCAAUGCUUGGGAUUCUGCUCGCCGUUGCUUGGUUGAGCAGAUCCUGGCACGCUUGGUUUCUGGUCUCGCCAUAAAACAGGUUUUGAGACUUGGUGAGCCUUUGCAUGCCUUAGAAAUUUUUUGCACAGUUACAAGUGAAUGAAAUUCCUCGACGUUUCAUUAAUUACAGAAUUCAACUUACAUAGGAAUGCAUAGCAACGAGAACAAAUUAAAGUAAUUUUUGAACAUGAGCAAGUCUUACUGGAAAUAUUUCCUGAGGUGCGCUGCGUUCCAUAGGCGUUUCACCUCGUGGCCAUCCGUGCGAACAAGCUUGUAAGCUCCGAGUCCCACUAUCUGCUUGACCCUGUAUAGCCCCUGCCAAUUCGGUCCAAGCACUCCUUGAGUCGAGUCUUUGGUGUUCUGAUUCACUCUCCUUAGCACCCAAUCUCCGACCCUAAACUGCCGUACAUUCACCUUCUGGUUAUAAUACCGAGCAACCCUCUGCUGGUAAAUGGCUAAUCGCUUCGAUGCUUGCUCCCUCUUCUCUACAAGCAAAUUCAGAUUCAAGCACAUCUGCUCGUUGUUAUCUUGCUCAUUGAAAUGAUCUGUCCGGUGCGUGGUCGUUCCUAUCUCGGCUGGUACGACCGCUUCAUGUCCGAAGGCCAAGGCGAACGGUGUUUCUCCAGUUGCUGUUUUGUAGGUUGUCCUGUAUGCCCAUAAAACACAUGAUAGCUCAUCAACCCAUGCUCCAUUUUUUGCUCCAAGCCUGGUUUUCAAAAGCCUCUUGAUCGUCUUGUUGGCUGCUUCUACUUGUCCAUUGGAUUGAGGGUGAGCAAGCGAGCAGUACUUCAACUCUAUCCCGAGGUUCUGGCAGAAAUCCCUGAAACUGUGAUUAUCGAACUGCCUGCCAUUAUCCAUUACCAAGGCAUAGGGGAUCCCGUACCGACAGACCAGGUUUCUCCAUACGAAGUCUGUUGUCUUCUUCUCUGUGAUCUUGCUGAGGGCUUCUACUUCUAUCCACUUCAUGAAGUAGUCUAUUGCUACUAUUCCAUGUGUUGUUGCUCCUCGUCCCCUUGGCAACGGCCCGAUCAGAUCAAUUCCCCACUGAGCAAAUGGCCAAGGGGAGGCUAUAGAGGUGAGCUUCUCUGGUGUUUGGCUGGAGAAACUUGCAAAACUCUGGCAGCUUAAGCAGCUCCUGGUCUUCUCCUGCGCAUCCUGGUGCAUUGUCGGCCAGAAAUAUCCCUGCCUUAGAACCUUAUGGGCAAGGGACCUCCCACCAGAAUGGUUUCCGCAAAUUCCUUCAUGUACUUCUCUCAGUACGUAGUCUGCGUUGUCCUCAUCUAAGCACCGAAGGAACGUGAGUGUAUAUCCUCGCCGAUAUAGCACCCCAUCAAUCAUUGUGUACCUUGAGUCUUGGGCUCUAAUCUUCCGAGCUCGUAGCUUAUCUGGUGGUAACACCCCGUCUCUGAUAUAUGAAAUUAUCGGAUCCAUCCACGAGCCUUUUUGUUCUAUCUGCAUCACCUUCAAAUUCUGCUCGAUGCUAGGGUUGGUUUUCACUUCCAAAGGGACCGUCUUAGGCAUUUUAGGGUCUGCUACAACUGUCAUCCUGGCCAGAAUAUCGGCUCGACUAUUUUGUUCCCUUGGGAUUUGUAUCAACUUAACCGCUUCGAACUUCCUCAUCAUCUGCCUGACUUUCUUCAAGUACUGCUCCAUCUUCUCAUCUCUCGGUUGAAAACUUUCACUGACAUGAUUUGCGACCAGCUGAGAAUAAGUUCUGAUCUUCACCCUAUCUGCUUUCAUUGCCUUAGCCAAUUCCAAACCUGCUAUCAAGGCUUCGUAUUCUGCCUGGUUAUUUGUGGCUGUGAACUCUAACUUUACAGCAUAAGAAAUCUCCUCCCCCUCUGGGUCUUUUAAGACAAUUUCUGCUCCUGAUCCUUGCUCACCUGAUGACCCAUCUACAGACAUCUGCCAUACUCGAGCUUUGCUGCUAUCUGUAGCGGUGUCCAGUUGGUCCAAACAUACUUCAAGCUCCGCGAAUUCUGCUAUGAAAUCGGCCGUUGCCUGAGCCUUUAUUGCUGCUCGGGGUUUGUAAUCUAUGUCGAACUCGCUAAGCUCUAUAGCCCACUUCACGAGCCGACCAGAAGCAUCUGGCUUGUGCAGAGUUUGACGCAAUGGCUGGUUUGUUAUUACCGUGACGGGGAAUGCUUGAAAGUACGGCCUCAGCUUCCGAGCAGCAACCACAAGGGCGAGUGUCCAUUUCUCCACCAAUGGGUAUCUGGUCUCGGCAUCGAGCAGGGUCUUGUUGGUGAAGUAUAUCGGGUACUGAACCCCUUCUUCUUCUCUUACUAGAACAGAACUUGCAGCAUGAUUUGAUACCGCCAAAUAUAAGAACAACCUAUCGUCAUCCCUUAGUGUGGACAGCAAAGGUGCUUGUUGCAAGUACUGCUUCAAGUUCUGGAAGGCUUCUUCACAUUCUGGGGUCCAUUCUGUAUUCUUUCCUCUCCUUAUCACUUGGAAAAAUGGCUGACACUUAUCUGUAGCCUUGGAUAUGAAUCGGCUUAAUGCCGCCAACCUCCCCGUAAGGCUCUGUGUCUCCUUCAGGUUACGAGGUGACCUCAUCUGCACGAUCGCCUGGAUCUUCUCAAGAUUUGCCUCGAUCCUGCUCGAACAUGGGGAUUUGGUUGUAUCCCGAGAAUGCGUCCAUGAAGCUGAGCAAGCCAUGUCCGGCUUUUAAGUCUACAAGCUGGUCAAUCUUUGGUAAUGGAAAGCUGUCUUUCGGGCACGCCUUGUUGAGGCCCGUGAAAUCCACACACAUCCUCCACUUGCCAUUAGCCUUUUUUACUAACACCACAUUCGAUAUCCACUCGGGAUAAUUGACUUCCCGAAUGAACCCUGCUUUCAAGAGCUUCUCCACCUCGCCGUUUAUAGCCUCAUACCUCUCCUGGUUGAAGCACCUCCUUUUCUGCCUUACUGCCCGAGCACCUUUCUUUAUUGCCAGUUUAUGACAUGCGACCUAAGGGUCGAUUCUUGGCAUGUCUUCAUGUGUCCAAGCAAACACAUCUGCAUGAGCCCGCAAGCAUUGCACCAACUCCUGCUUCUGCUAUUCUUUAAGCCUCAACCCAAUUCGGAUCGUUUUUCCCAGAUCCUUUGGUCCUAGGCUCACUGUCUUCAACUCCUCUACAGGUUCUUGUCUACCAGUCUUGGUUCCCACUCGGGUAUCAAGGGAUGUUAUCUGCAUUGCUUCCCUUGCUGACGAGGAGUAAUAGCUUCGUGCGAUUCUCUGGUCUCCUCAUACCACUCCAACUACCCCAUUCACCCGGUACUUGAGAGCUAGAUAAUGGUUGGAUGACACCGCUUUACUCAUCCUCAGAAAUGGUCGACCUAGGAUCAUCUGGUAAGGACCCUCUUCAUCGACUACCAAAAAAUCCAGCAUCAUAGUCCUUUCUGUCGGGGAGCUUCCAAUCGUGAUAGGCAGCUCAACCACGCCCAGGGGGACCAGCUUUCCUCCUCCAAAUCCCUUCAAGGAGGUAUUGGUGUGCUCCAACCUCAGGUCUGUUAUUCUCAUCUCCUCCAGAGUUGACUUAAACAACACAUCAACUGAGCUCCCUGUGUCAACCAGUAUCCGGUCAAACUUCUUGCUGGCGACGGUGGCCUUGAUGACUAAGGCAUCCUUGUGUGGGUAUAGAAUCCCUUAUUCAUCCUCAUCUGUCCACAUGAUUGGCACUUGUCAGACUCUUGCUCGUUUGGCUGCUGGGGUGUUGAAGAACACAUCUUUACUAGUCAUGGCAAAUUUAGCAUAAUUUUUCCUCGAUCUGUUGGAAUCUCCGGCCAACGUUGGACCCCCUAACAAUCACUCUUACUAUAGGCUGCCUGUGGCUCAAGUUCCUGUUACCCUGCUCCUCUUCACAUAUCGGGGCCACCGUCGGAAAAGUCCCAUCGAUAAACUCGUCCAGGUAUCGAUUUCUCACCAAAUCUUUAACCUGGGUCUUAAGGUCUCUUCAUUCUAUUGUGGUAUGGCCAUGAGUACCAUGGAACUUGCAAUAGUGCCCCUAUCCCUUCUGCUGGGUAGCUUUGUUAUUGGGGCUGGGAGGUACAGUAAUCCCCAGUCCUUUAUGGCCUCACAGACUUCGUCCAGUGGGAUAUUCAAGGAAGUAUACUGCCCAUAGUCCUGGUUCUGGUCGAUCAUAUGCACUGCCCUUUCUCUGUUUGUGCCAUUCUGAGUUGGAGGUGGUGGCAGCGCUUCUGGUCUGCUCCCCCUACUACCAUGGGGGUGUGGGUGAAGGUGACCGUAUGUCGCGUCAUGCCUUCUCCUAGGCUCCCUAGCUGGUGAGCGAGAAGGUUGCGCCCUGCUGUGCUGAUACUGUGGUGGCCUCUAAUGAGGUUGGUAAGCGGUUACCCGACCUCUUGUACCACUACCUAAGGCAUGGUGGUCCCUCCUCUUAAUCGGCCCAUUUCCUGGUACGGCUCUCUUCUCUUUCCUCUUUAAUCCUUCCAGCUGGUCUGUCUUAAUCCGUGCCGCCUUUUCCUCCUCUAUUUCUAUGUCUCUCUUAGCCUGCUCGUAAGCAACUGAAUAUGUCUGAAUAACUGGGCUUCUCAAGUUAUAUCACAUCCGUCUUAUCUUCACUCCUUCUUUCAAUCCCCUUAAUGCCUGAGGAUGGUUGAAGGCUCCCAAGUCGAGGACAGCACGGUGGAACCUUUUGAUGAAUUCCCGAAGGGUUUCCUCCUCUCUCUGCUUCAUGCUCGUUAACUCCAUCAUAUCAUCUUCCGGUGCCAUUACCCCACGAAACUGCUCUGCAAAUUCCUGGCACAUCUGCUCGAAGGCUUUAAUGCUCCCUCGAGGAAGUUUCCUGUACCACUCGCGUGCUCGUCCCUCUAGAGAUAGUGGGAACACCCUGCAUCUUUGGGCUUGAGAUAGUCCUUGCACCCCGGUCAUGUUGUUGAAGCGCUCUAUGUGCACCAACGGAUCAGUUCGCCCCAAAUAUCUGAGGUCUGGGAGGCGAAAAUCUCUUGAAAUGACUGCCCUCAUGAUCUCUGCCGAGAGCGGGGUUUCUCCGUCCAGCAUUAUCCUCCAACCAGGUGCUCUACUCCUUCCUUGCAUAUCAUCAAUUACUUGCGCUAGUUUGCGCACUUCCUUCUCUAGCUGCAUUGCACGACCAGGGUCACGUGCUGUAACUUGAUCCCGCUCUUUCUCUACAUCAUGUAAGUAUUGCCUGAGCUCUGUUUCCUCUGCAUUCACCACCCCAUCAUCCUCAUCAAAAAUCUAUCUUCUUGGGGAUUGCUCUUCUUCUCUAUGAAUUCCUCCCCGUAAAGAUAAGUUACCUCUCUCACCACCAAAUCUCCUGGUGGUCUGACUUCUCAUCAUACCAUCGUGCCCUGGUGCCACUCUGCCACCUCUCACCCUUUUCUCAUGGGUUCCCCUUCGUUCACUCCUUAGUUCAUGUAGGAUGGUUGUCAGGGUCUCCAUCUGCUUUUCCAUCCGUUCCAUUCGGUCAUGCAUGGCUUUUUCCCGUGCUUCAAUGGCUAUCUCCCUUAACGUCAUGGAUUCGUUAAGCCUCAUAUCACCUCCUUGUGCACUACUUCCUCCUACAUCCAUUGUUUCUUCUCUUGCUUUGUUUUUCCUUUCUCUGUCAACAGAAGUUUUUUUAUCAGCUCCCUACAGACGGCGCCAAAAUGUUGAUGCGAGAUUCUGGUUACCCACUCGACCACGACCAGGAUCUCUGCUCAAUCAACUAACUCGACCACGAUCAGGAUCUCUCCUCGUAUGCUUUCUUCUUCAAAAAUUCCUGCGUACACAGAAACAAGUCAGAGCACGCUGGUUGUUUUCUCGGCGUAAACCCUCCGAUGCUCAAGUCAAAUAUGAAGGUUUUGUGUUCCUGGGAACAUUAGCCACUAGUCUUAAGCUUUGCUUUUAGUAUCGACUGUUGAAUGCUCUCUUUAUCUCAAUUUCUGUAUUAAAAGUUCUAACCCUUUUACCUUCGUUGGCUGCCUUUUUAUAGGCUCCUCCUGAGUCCAGAUCCUCCCCUCCAUUCACGUCCGUUACCUUCCCACCUCUCGAAAGUGGAUGCUCCGUUUCCGUAAUCGUGGGUGGUUGCAUGGCCUUCGUGCCUCGAUUCUCGGGCUGGAGAGUACGUCUUGCCAACUGUCGUUGAUUGGGUCUCCUCGCUUCAAACCUUAGCAGGACCAUUAUGCUUCUAACAGGAGAUCGGCUUCGCGGAUGGUGUAUUCGUGGACGAGCAGAUAUUCCUGCUUCUGUUCCCAUGCUACCAGACCUCAGCUCAUCACGGCUGGUCUCGUCGAAGUACAUCCCCCAAACAAUCUUCAUAUUAAUUACGAAAAUAUCCUCUAAAUUUUAACUUAACUAUUCAUAAUUCAAUGUCAUUCGGAUAUUUCGUUUAUUUGAGUAGGGAUUAGGGGUCAAUUUGAUACAAAUUCAAAAUUAUCCUCAUUUGCGAAGGUGAUAAAAGUUAGGGAUUUAGUUUGGAUGUCACUAGCCACAAAUAUUAAACGCAUGCAUCUAAUUCAAAAUUAGAGGCAUUAUCGUUAUAUUGACAUGUGUCACCAUCCCACAACCUCUCCAAUGAAAAAUUGACAUGCAUCUUGUGUGCUUCUUAUCAAAAUCCUGAAAAUUAAUCACAAAAGUUAUAUUUUUAUUAUAAAAAGAAGAAAGAAACUCCAUGAGUGAAGAAAAAAAAAAAAGACUUACAUUAAUAGUUUGGAUAAUCUAGAUUUCAAGUUGUCUAUAUUAGCUUGAUAUUUUUAUAAAUAUCAAGAUUUCAAGUUGUCUAUAGUAGCUUGAUAUCUUCUAAAAAAAACUCCAUCAACAUAUAUUUUAAUUUUACGUUAAUUAAUAAAUAGAAAAUCCAUUUUAGAAUUAAUUAAAGCAUUAUUUAUUGUUGCCAAAGAAGGAAGUAUUUAGCGAUAAGAAAAAAGUGUCUCAAAUAUAUGUUUAAAAAAAAAUAAUCAUGGUUGGUUGGACUGAUUGAAUUUUUCUUUUCUUUUUUCUUUUUUAAGAACUAAGACAAUUGGAUUGAUUGAGUAAUAAUAAAAUAUAUUUAUUUGGCAAAUGGCAGGUAGGCUUUCUUCUGGUGCAGAUUGAUUAGAGAGAAUAUAUAACAAUUUUAAGCUCGUAAGAUUCGGAACCUGCUUAUCUGUCGUGUGGGAAUCACUUCCGUGUCUUAUUUUUCUAGAAAAAUCUAGACCAUUGGAUUUACCAUUGGGCAGUAGAGAAAUGUUGAUCUUGAUUCCUGAUCAGGAUCGAAGUUUGAUUCUAUCUAACAUGAUAUCAGAUUGCGAAGCAAGCUAGUUGUGAGUAACUUGUUCUAUUUUGAUGGAAGAAACACAAGUUCUAAUAAAAAAUUCUAAGUAUACAUUUUUUUUUUUAAUUUUUUUAUUGUGAUCAAUAUAACUAGUCAAAUCUAUUUUUAAACAUUUUUUUUAAAUAUUUUGUUAACAAUGAUAUGAAAAUAUUCGAACCCCUCCUCAUAUAGUAAAGUGAAUUACUAUCCAACGAUCCAACUAACGUCUUCAAAUUGUAAAUUGCAAAUCGUGUGUUUGCUCCAUUACAGAGUUUCUUCAAUUUAAAAUAGAGAAUCGUUUGUGUUCUAGAUUAAUCGUGGGUCUAUAUCCAAAUCUAAAAAUUGACUAACUUGAUUUCUAUUAAAUUCUUAACCCUAACAAGAAAAAUAGAAGAUUAAAAAUGACUAAUUUGGUUUCUAUUAAUUUGAGUAACGAUUAAUAUUUAUCAUUCAAUAGUCACUUAUAUUAUCAAAAUCUUGGGUCGAAAAUAUUAGGAUAGGUGAUAAUUGGAAUUAAGUUGUAGAUAAGAUAGAAAUGGAUUUGGAGAGAGAUUGGAAUCCUGGGUAAAUCCGGUACACGUUGGUGUGUUAAAUUCUCGUUGACUUCACGUUGACCGAGGCAUUAUUGGAAGAAACAAGCAAGCUUAUUUUCUUCUCUCAUUUUUAACCUUUGUCUAAAUUUAUUGGUGUGAGGCCUUUGAGAUGGUAAAGUGUUAAAUCUGAGAAGAGUACCCACACUAUUACUCUUAUUUUAUCACGUUUUAUCACAAUAUUACUCUUAUAGUCAAUGUUUGAUUCGCACGAAAAAAAAUUUGCGAGGAUUGUGAGGGUUGAUGCAAUAUAAUUUAGAUGCAAAGUGUUUACAAGUGCGAUGCUUCGUAAGUGUACUCGAAUCAUUAUAAACUCACGUUAUUUUCAUAGUGAUUAUUUCAUUUGCACGUGAAUAUAAUCAUAUAUGUGGAGAAUUUUUUUUCCUAAAUUAUGGUCUUAUUUAGUAUUGAGAUGUUAUAUCUUUUAAAUUAUAAUUAAUAUUAGUAAAAAAACUGCAACUAUAAAAUAAAAGUUAAUAUUAUGUCCUGAAUAUAAUUGUUAAAUAAUAAUUUUGACAAAAUUAGUGAAGACAUACAGAUUUUUUUAUCAUAUAAGUGUAAAAUUCUAUCAACUUAGCUUUUAAGUUAUACAGCAUCUAUUGUUUACCAAAUACUUUAGUGUUGUAACUUUUAAGUUAUAACUGUCUAACCUUUAACCUCAAUCUCAAACGAGGCUUAUAAAGAUCAAGGAUUUCCUCAUAAAAAUUAUUACGUCAUGUGAUUGCUUAUUUAAUUUAUAUUUUCGUCAUUUAUCUUUAUUAAUUAAACAUGCACAUAUUAUUUCCUUUUAUUUUCUGCUUGGUAACCCGUAAAUACUAAUCCAGUACUACUAAUUUCAGACAGAAAAUUUUGAACUCUAGGCUGCAGUUUGACUCAAAAUGAUGGUCACUGGCUUCGCACCAUUUUACCGGUAUACAUUUCUACAAACUGAACAAGGCUAUUGAUUAUUAUUAUUAUUAUUUUAAUUUGUUUAUAAAUUACUAUUUUAAUUUUCACUUUUUAUUGGGUUGUUUAACGGAUUGGUGAAGCUGGUGGUCGUUGAUGCACUCACAAGGUACAAUUUUAUUUUAUAAUUUCAAAUUCGUAUUUUAAAACGCAGGUACAUUAUGUAUAUACAUAAUUAUUGAUUUUCGUAUGAGGGUGUUUUGAAAUAUUGCUAAAAGACCAAACUUUAAUAAACUAUUUUUGAUCUUUUUUUUUUUUCCUAAAGUUUGGGUGAUAUGCGCAUUUUAAAUUCACGUGGAACAAAAGUUAAUGUAUGUAUAAAAAUUCUUUUAUUUUACUGAGCAAAAUAGGCAAGCGAAAAAGUUUUGGCAAAUGAGUUGCAACUGAAUUCAAAACCAAUACAAUGCGAGCAUAGGAAAGAGGCCAGUGUUUAGGAUUUGAAUUUAGGUAGCGUUUACUUUUUGGAUUGGAUUGGGAAUCCUGGGGAGUGGGAAUCCUAGGAUUGAGAGUGUGGAGUGGGAGUGGGAGUAGGUUGUUUACUUACACUGGAAUGGAAGCAUGGAAUGGAGAUCAGAAUCCAAUUUAUGUGUUUACUUUGUCUUGGAUUGGGAGUAAAUAGUUUCAAAUUACAAUUUUAUCCUUAUUUAAAGAAUUAUAAUUUUAAUUACAAAACUAAUAAAAUAUAUAUUUAAUGAAUAAUAUUUAUUUUAUUAUAUUUGUAAAUUUAUUAUAAUUAUUAAUAUUCUUAAUUAUGAACAAUAAAUUAUUAAUUGUAAUUUUAAUAUAAAAUGAAAUGUUAUUUUAUUUAAUAUAAUUAUAUUAAAUUUAUUAUUAUAUAAAAUAAUAAUAUAAUAUUAUUUAGUACAAAAUUAAUAUUUUCUUAGAAUAAAGUAUUUAUUAUUAUUAUUAAAUAAAAUAUAGUACUAUUAUUUUUAAAAUAAAUAUAAUAAUAUUAUAUUUAUUAAUUCUCUAUUAAUAUAAUAAUAUUAUUUUAAAAUAAUUUUAACUUAGAAUCAAUGUAAAUUAUUAUUUAGUUAAAUAUAAUAUUAUUAUUUAAAUAAAUAUAAUAUUAUUAUUUAAAUAAAUAUAAUAUUAUUUAUUUUAUUUUAUUAAUUAUAAAACAUAAAAUAAAAAAAAAAAGGGUAGAAAUGGGAGAGGUGGGAGUGGAUUCCCACUCCCACCUCCCCCAAUGGGAGUCCCACUCCCACUCCCCACUCCAAAAAUGGGUGGGGCCCACGGAGUGGGACUCCCAAUUCCUUCUCAUUUUAAGUAAGUAAACGCUGGAGUGGGAGGAAUCCACACUCCUCACUCCCACUCCAGCAAGUAAACACAACAUUAGUAUUAAGCUGAAUUUUAUGGUAAGCUCUUUUAUAGUACUGUGAUUGAUAAGCUCAGCCCCGGAUUUGCUUUUGCUUUUGCUUUUACUUCAAGUGAAAGAGAGAGGAAACCUUUUGUUUUUUUCUUUGGUUUUCAACUAUGUUACCUAUACAAAGAGUCAAGAUACCUGCCAUAAGUGAUGGUGUUAAAAAGAUUAAGCAGCGCACACAAUCUUACUGUCGUCUAGACCAUCCAGUGAUGACUCUAGUCUUUUGGUUACGUUAGCUUUAGUUGAAAGAAGGGCCAAUUUAACAAAGACUAGAUUUGAUGGCUUACUAUGUUUAAUGUAAUGCUAAUUCUCAGGGAAUCUAAUGUUAUAACUUAUAAGACGAUCUCCUAUGAUGAAUAACAGUAACACAUUACUGUGAUUGAGAAAACUCAGUUACAAUAAACUAUUCAUUUACUCAUUGCGGAGAUUGAAUAGCAAAUAGAGAAUAGAAUGAAGCAGAGGAAUCUCAUUGCCAAUAAAAUUGACCCUCUUUAAUGUUAUAUGGCACAGGUGUGGAGGAAGAACAAGUUACUUGCAGUUUUUAUUGUAAAAUAUACAGGUAUGACCAUGAUCAUUACAGUUGGGUUUUGAUAAUUUCAGAUGCUUUUUAAAAAAAAAAAAAAUUAUGACAUCUUUGAUUUACGGUAGUUUUGCAGAAAAAAAAAUAUAAAAAUUAAGAGGGAUGAGUUAAACUGACGAUUACAAUCAUUCCAGCAAUGCUGAUGAGUGAUACAUCACUUGAAAUUUACUUGUCAGUUGCUGAAAUGAUGAAAAAAAAACAAUAAACGAUAACAGUAAUAAUGUUCCGUUGCUGAAAUUCAAUUUUGACUUUCUACUCUUGGCUUUUAUGGAAAGUAAAAUGACUUGUAUAUUAUCCUCAUACAAUCCACUCUACAUAAUGAUAUCAUUUUAAUAAGGCAAUGGCUGAUGAUCUCCAUUUAAAAACUACAUCAUUUUUUUUGCUUCAUUUAACUUUUUGGUUGUUGAAAAUAACCUUAAUUAUCAAAUAAUUGGAGAAAGAGUAAAGAACAUUUAACAAAUUUAUGUGCAAAAAAAAAAAAGGAGAAGUUGAAGAGAAAGGGUGCUUGCAGAAGUGGGUGUCAAAGAUAAAUCGGUCCAUAAGAAUUAUUGUGGUUAUUUUUUUGGCAAUAUAAGAACUUAUGCGAUAGCAUUUUUUAUGGGUGCAUAUAACCUCCCUUUAAAAAUAUAUAUAAUAAUUACUGCUUAAUAUAGUAUUAAAUACAAAAAUAUCAAUAUUUGACUACUUAAAUUUAUAUCAUUAGGUCCUUAAAAUUUAAAAUGGAAGAUAUGAAAGGAAAUAUAUAUAAAUUUCAUUGUCCUGGUAAAGGGCCCUCUUAUAAUCUUAUAAUAUUUGAACUUUGAUAGAUUUUUUGAAACAAAUGUACUUUUAUUUGUGUACAAUCAAUAUUUACUCAUUUAUUAUAUUUUAAUUUAUUAACUAUUAAUCAUGUAAGUAUACUUAGUCAGAAAAAUUAUAUCAAGAGAAAAUUCUAAUUUCACGCAAAAACAAAUACCAAAACAAAUAUCUCAAUUUCUAUACUAUUCACUUUCCUGUAGAAUCAAUUAUUUAAAAUGCAAGUUUGUGGCUACAGAAAACUCGCCAAAGAAAAAAGAUAAUAACAAUUGAGCAUUGAUAGCAAAACUAAUGCAUCCAAUUCUUCUUGACUUGAUGAGAUGGCGCCAUAACGUAGACACAAGUACCUAAAUUGACCGGCACUGAGUGAUGUGAAUACUACCAGCCAGUUCAUCUCUUCCAGUCUUGCUUAAUCACAAUCACAAACACCACGAGAUCGACAUUUGCAUUAUAUAUAUCUUCUGCAAUCGAAACACCUUGCAUUACCAAAUAAGCCCGUAACAGACAAAGCAAUCUUUCAUGGAGAGAAACCUUAGUCUCAGUAUGAUCACUGUGUCAUUAACCUACUGCCUGCUUCUUUGCUUGGUUGCUGCAGCAGCAGCAGCGGCAAGCAACAAUAUUACCACAGACCAACAAGCUCUUCUUGCCCUGAAAGAUCAUAUAAUUUAUGAUCCUACCAGCCUUUUAGCUCACAAUUGGACCUCGAAUACCUCUGUUUGUACCUGGAUUGGCAUCACUUGUGAUGCCAAUAGCCAUAGAGUCAAAACCUUAGAUAUUUCUCAAUUCAAUCUACAAGGCACCAUCCCUCCUCAACUUGGAAAUCUCUCUUCACUCACAACACUUAAUCUUAGUCAUAACAGGCUUUCUGGAAGUGUUCCCUCCUCCAUCUACACCAUGCAUACGCUAAAAUUUCUUGACUUCACUGAUAACCAGCUCUCUGGUUCAGUGUCUUCCUUCGUCUUCAACAUGUCUUCAAUAUUAGUAAUUCGUUUGACCAAUAACAUAUUUUCUGGUGAGCUUCCGAAAAAUAUUUGCAACUAUCUUCCUUAUUUGAAGGCCCUUUUCUUAAACAAAAACAUGUUUCAUGGCAAAAUUCCUUCUGCUUUAUCAAAGUGCAAACAACUGCAACAAUUAAAUUUGCAGUUCAAUAAUUUAUCCGGUGCAAUACCAAAAGAAAUCGGCAACUUGACUAUGCUCAAAGGGAUAUAUCUCCUCUACAACAAACUCCACGGUAUGUUCACAAUACUAUAUAAAUAUUUUAAUUUAUCACUUAUUAUCUUUCUUGAAUAAUUUAGUUAAGAUCUUGUAAGAGAGAUUUUUUGCAUCUACGUUAAUUUACCAGGUGAGAUACCCCACGAAAUCGCUAAUCUUCCAAAUCUAGAGGCUUUAGCGCUUGGAAUCAACAACGUAGUUGGUGUGUUACCAGCUCCCAUCUUCAACAUGUCAACACUGAAGGUACUUAUCCUCAUAAAUAACUCUCUCUCCGGAAGCCUUCCAUCAAGAGUAGACCUUUCACUUCCAACUGUUGAGCAACUUAACUUGGCACUUAAUAGAUUUUCUGGAACCAUUCCUAGUUCCAUCACCAAUGCUUCUAAGCUCACCUUUCUAGAGUUGGGAGCAAACACAUUUUCGGGGUUUAUUCCAAACACAAUUGGUAAUUUAAGAAACCUUAAGUGGCUCGGCUUGGCUAAUAACUCCUUGACAUCUUCAACCUCAAAAUUGAGCUUUCUUUCCUCUUUGGCAAAUUGCAAGAAAUUAAGAUUCGUAAACGUAAUAGGCAAUCCACUGGACGGCUUCCUUCCAAGUUCAAUAGGUAAUCUUUCUGUGUCUUUGGAAACACUUGGCAUCGGCAAUUGCAGUAUUAGUGGCAACAUUCCUCCAGCAAUUAGCAAUUUAAGCAACUUGUUGACCUUAGUAUUAGACGGCAAUAAAUUGACUGGACCAAUCCCAACUACAUUCGGCCAACUGCAGAAACUCCAAGGCUUAGAUCUUGCAUUCAAUAAGUUGGUAGGUUCAUUCCCAGAUGAGCUUUGCCAUCUGGCAAGGCUGGAUCAAUUGGUCUUAUUUGGCAAUAAGCUUUCAGGAUCUAUACCUUCAUGCUUAAGUAACCUCACUUCUCUAAGAUCUCUCUAUUUAGGGUCCAAUAAGUUUACUUCUGUUUUUCCCUCAACCUUCUGGAGCCUAAAAGACAUCUUGUUCUUUGACUUUUCAUCAAAUUUCUUGGUUGGUCCUCUUUCUUUAGAUAUAGGAAAUUUGAAGGUGCUUCUAGGAAUAAGUUUAUCAAAAAAUAAUUUAUCCGGUGAUAUCCCAGCCACAAUUGGAGGACUGAAAGAUCUUCAAUUUAUGGACCUAGCAUAUAAUAGAUUGGAAGGCCCAAUUCCUAAAUCAUUUGGUGACUUGAUAAGUUUAGAAGUUCUGAAUUUAUCAAAUAAUAAAAUCUCUGGGUCUAUUCCAACAUCCAUGGAGAAACUCUUUUACCUCGGAGAGUUAAAUCUCUCUUUCAAUAAACUAGAAGGUGAGAUUCCUAGUGGAGGAACUUUUGCCAACUUCACAGCUGAGUCAUUUAUGGGAAAUGAGUUUUUGUGUGGUUUACCAAAUCUUCAAGUCCAACCAUGCAAAGUUAGCAAGCCGAGGACAGAACAUAAAUCAAGGAAAAAGAUACUUCUCAUUGUGAUUGUUUUGCCAUUGAGUAUUGCUCUAACAAUAGCAAUCACUCUAGCUCUCAAAUCUAAGCCGAUCGAAUGUGGAGAAAGAAGCACAGUGUUGUCAAAUGAUAGUAUCUUGUCAUCACAAGCAACACUAAGAAGAUUUUCAUACUUAGAACUUUUACAAGCAACAGAUAAUUUUGCUGAAAACAGCAUAAUUGGCAGAGGAGGUUUCGGUUCCGUUUAUGGAGCAAGACUUGAAGAUGGGAUGAAGAUUGCAAUAAAAGUGUUUCACCGGCAAUGUGCAAGCGCAUUGAAGAGUUUUGAGGCUGAAUGUGAAGUGUUAAAAAAAAUUCGCCAUCGAAACCUUAUCAAAGUUAUCAGCAGUUGCUCGAACGAUGACUUCAAAGCAUUAGUCCUAGAAUACAUGUCCAACGGGAGCUUAGGGGAUUGGCUGCAUUCGAGCAAUUACGUGCUGAAUAUUUUUCAAAGGUUGAACAUAAUGAUUGACGUUGCAUCAGCUUUAGAAUACCUCCACUUCGAUCAUUCAACUCCUAUUAUUCAUUGUGACUUAAAGCCUAGUAAUGUAUUGUUGGACGAAAAUAUGGUUGCUCAUUUGAGUGAUUUUGGCAUAGCAAAGCUUUUAAGUGGAGAAGAUGAGUCUACGAUGCGAACAAAAACCCUUGCCACUAUAGGUUAUAUGGCACCAGGUUUGCUUCAAACAACUUUUUUUUUUAAGUUCAUUUUAAAUUUUCUAAAUCAUUGAUUUUUACGAUCCUCAUAUCAAAUUGUUAUUGAUUAUUUAUCUAAUUGUGAAAUUAAUUUGAUUCAUAGAGUAUGGCAUAGGAGGAGAAGUAUCUACAAAAAGCGAUGUUUACAGCUACGGGAUUAUGUUGAUGGAAACUUUUACCAAGAAAAAACCCACAGAUGAAAUUUUUGUUGGAGAAUUGAGCUUAAAGCAUUGGGUUAAUGACUUGCUUCCUAAUUCAUUAGUGGAAGUUGUGGACAAAACUCUGCUAAGUGGAGAGGAAAAACAUUUUGCAUCAAAGGGGCAAUGUCUGUUGUCUAUCUUUAGUUUGGCUCUGGAGUGUACAAUGGAAUCACCGGAAAAGAGGAUUAAUGCAAAAGAUAUUGUUACCGGAUUACUCAAGAUAAGAGACACAUUGAGUAAAAGGAUAGGAAAUUUAAGUUAAUUUCGUUUGCUUUCAUUGAUAGUUAAUUCGAAUUCAUGUAAUAAGUGCAAGAAUCUUAUAUCUUUUCCUUUGAUAUAUUCUUUUUCUUGAGAAAACUGUUGUAGUCAUCUUGUUUCCAUGGGAAGAGUUGAUUUAGUUCUUCCAAAAAAUGCUACUGAUGACCUUUGUUUAAUACUUUCUCUUUUUUUGCACGUGUUUAGGUAGAACAGUGGUUUGGCUGCAGGCUAAUAAGUCAAGCUACGCCAAAAGCGUAUGAUUUAAUUUAUUAAACAUAACUUCAAGUUCAAGAAGUGUUUCUCAUUGCCACCAAUGCUUUGGACACCUGUUGGAAGGUUUGUUGUCCUCAGCUUUUGUUUAGAGCAAAAGUUCGAGUCCCAUAAAGGCUCAAACAUUCCUUUCCUUCAUCCCGAGGGCGCCUUCUGUCCUCUGUUUUCUGUUUCCACACACAAAUAGCAAAAAGAAAUUAGAAUGACAACUGGGACAUAUAUAAGAGUGAAAUAAUUAAAAAAAUUAUGCUUUUUUGUCUGUCGUGUUAAAAUCGUAAGUACCGAAGUACUGUGAAAGAGAUUAAUUUACAGAAACUGAAGCCAAGGGUUCAAAAAAAAACUAUUGAUGUAGCUAGGAUGCAAUGUCAUAUUCAUACAGAGAUGAAGUAUAUUAUUUACGGCUGGUAAAGACUAGGAAUUGAUGUAGCUAGAAUCCAAAGAUGAUAAGGUAUGUUGUGCACUAUUGUUUUAUUCUACGGUCAAUCUUGACCCUUGGUGCUUGGCUCUCAAUCUUGUCCAUUGAUCUUCUCUGAUCUUGGAAACUUCAAGACCUUUCACUCUCAUGCCUUAUUAUUGGUGUCUUCCAUGCUGUAGCUUUCAAAUACAAGCUUUCCCGCCAACUUGCCAAUUAUUUGUCCGUUGGUGCAUUUUAUCAAACAGUUUGGAUACUUAUACCAAACGCCUUCUGUUUUAACUCCCCCCCUCAAGCUCAAGCAUCUGGGAAGACAUUAAUAAGCUUGUUUCUCAAGUAUAUAUAUCUGAAAAUUAAAUUUUAUAAAUUAUAUUCGGACUCUACAUUUUCUAAUGAACAUUGGUUUGGCUUAUAAGCUUAUUAUACUCAGGUUUGGUAGGAGCCAUAUCACAAUGUUAACGCUAACCAGCAGUACUGCCAAAGCUGGCCAACUCAGCCUGCAAGUUCAUAGCAACCAUAGUUACAGUCCUAGUCCGGUACAAAAAUCGUAAAUAUCAUUUACAUUACAAUGGUGUGGGGGGGGGGGGGGGGGUUUGUUGGGUGGCUGGAGAGGGAAUCAACAAAGAUCUAGAACGAAGGGUAGGCUUGUAUCCGUAACCCAUGUCACAGUGUUAAUGCUAACCGUGGACCUUAUUAUAUUAGUUGCUGGACUAUUAUUACUUUUGAAUUGCCAUCUUUGAAUUUACGUUCAUUUCUGCCUCGACAAGAUGUUUGUAAAAAUAUGCUAAUUAUUAAUGUGCCGUGUACAAAUAAGCAUGUUACUGUGCAAGGAUUGUAGUCAUGAUACAGUGGUGCAAAAUGUACAUGCUACUUCUUCUUUUCCUCAGUUAGGAUCACCGUCGUCACCAUUUAAUUCUAAGUCCACCCAUGCGGCCUAUGCAAUUGAAAUCAUGUGACCAUGUAAUUUUAGGUUCUGAUCUUCCUUGUGGGGUUAAACCUCAAAACUGUGACCAUUUUGGGACUUUUAAUCAGUUCCAAUCAUUUUCUGGUUCCCAUUCGUCCACCCAAGCCUUGAUUCCCCCGAUAUAGCAUUGCAAUAUAUAUAGGAAUAUUAAGGUUGUGUACAGUUUUUUUCUUUUCUGUUUUUAAUUUGAUAUAAAUUAUCAAUCAUGAAUCUACAUAAAGUUUCAACUAGGCUACUACCACAAUAAACAUUUGGAUGAACUAUUAUUGAAACCUUAUUGAGAAGUAGGACAUGUCGCAUACCAAUGCACUGACAUAUCUUCAAAUAGUGGUAACUCCACACAACAUGGCACAAUAAAUUAAGAGUUAUAUAGAUAAAAUCUUUCACUCUUUGGUAAUCAUCAAUGUCGGCAUGACAAUGCGUCCCACAAAUAUGGCUCCUUAUCAAAAUUCAUAAAUCAAAACAAAAAUAGAGAAUCAUAUUUGUUCUAGAUUGUAGUGAUGGUUGUUGAUGCACUCACAAUUUACAAUUUUAUUUAAUAUCUUCAAAUUCGCAUUUUAAAAUGCCCAAAUGUUUGUGUAUACAUAAUUAGUAAUCGAUUCUCAAGCAUGGCCAUUUAAAAGCAUUGCUGAAAGACAAAAUUUUAAUUUACUAUUUUUUGUCUUUUAAUUUUCUUUAAGUUUUUAAUGAUUCCGCAUUUUAAAAUCCUGUGGAACGUGUAUGUAAAAUUCUUUUAUCUUUUAGAGGAAAAUGGGCAAGAGAAGAAGAUUUGGCAAAGGAAUUGCAACCGCAUUUGGAGCUAGUUUUAAUUUUGUCUUUUAAUUCUUUUACACUUGGCUUUUGUUAUUGAUGUCAACUUCGAUGUGUGUGAAGACUCGAGCUCACUCCCUUAUGAGCUAGUUUUAUUUUUCUACUUUCACAUUAAGAAAAAUACUCCUAUUUUUAAGGAAAAGUCAAGUACCUGUAGUUGUGAAGACUCGAGCUCACUCCCUUAUGAUAAAUCUUCAUAUUAAUUACGUAAAUAUCCUCUAAAAUUUUAAAUUAGCUAUUCAAAAUUUGAUGUUAUACGGGUAUUUCAUUUAUUUGAGUAGGGGUUGGGGGUCAAUUGGAUACAAAUUCAAAAUUAUCCUUACUUGAGAUGGUGAUAAAAAUUGGGGAUUUAAUUUGGAUGUCAUUAGCUACAAAUAUUAAACUCAUACAUUUAAUUCAAAAUUGGAAAGCUGAUAUAUGCGCAUCAUCCCACAACCUCUCCAAUGAAAAAUUAACACGUUUCUUGUGUGCAUUUGAUCAGAAUCCUGAAAAUUAAUCACAAAAUUGUCCUGGAAAAAAAAAUGCUUACAUAAAUGGUUUGAAAAAUCUAGAUUUCAAGUUGUCUAUAUUAGCUUGAUAUUUUUAUAAAUAGUCAUCCUCUCAAAAAAAUUCCAUCAAAAUAUAUUUUAAUUUUAUGUUAAUUCAUAAACAUGAAAAAAUCAUUUCAGAAUUAAUUAAAACAUAAUUUAUUGUUUCUCAAAAAAGGUAGAACUUAGUGAUAAGAAAAAAGUAUCUCAAAUAUAUGUAAAAAAAAAAAAAUCUUGGUUAGUUGGAAUGAUUGAAUUUGUUUUUUUUUUCUUUUUUAAGAAUUAAGACAAUCGGAUUGAUUGAGUAAUAAUAAUAUAUAUUUAUUUGGCAAAUGGCAGGUAGGCUUUCGUCUCAUGCAGAUUGAUUAGAGAGAAAAUAUAACAAUUUUAAGCUCGUCAGAUUCGAAGCUGCUUUCCUGUCGUGUGGGGAUCACUUCCGUGUCUUAUUUUUCUAGAAAAAUCAGGACCAUUGGAUUUAUGCGAAUCGUACUGAACAUUGGAAUUGAUGUAUAAGAAAAAAAUUCUGUAGUUUAAGAAGAACAAAAAGGCAUGUUGAAUAGAUUACAAUAGUUUAAGGAAAAAAAUUAUUCAAUUGGGAAUUUUUUUUUCUUUAAUUUUUGUUGUACUUGAUUGAGAUUUCUCCUUAGUCCUUAGAGUUUUAAGUUUGGAAACCGUAGGAUCAGUAAUUUCGUACUUCCUUUGCAAGCUGAGUAUAAGGAUGAAAUUCUUUUAAGAAAUUAAAAAAGAUAAAAAAAAAGCAUACCAAUAGGUAAUUAUAAAUAACCACAAAUAAAUAUAAACAAAAUGUUUAUGAAGUAAAUUAAACAUGCUCAUAUUAUUUUCUUUUAUUUUCUGCUUGGAAACCCAUAAAUACACUAAUCCAGUAUUACUAAUUUCAGACAGAAAAUUUUGAAUUUAACCAGUAUACACUAAUCCAGUAUUAUUUUUAUUAUUAUUUUAAUUUGUUUAUAAAUUACUAUUUUAAUUUGUUUAUAAAUUACUAUUUUAAUUUUCACUUUUUAUUGGGUUGUUUAACGGAUUAGUGAAGCUGGUGGUCGUUGAUGCACUCACAAGGUACAAUUUUAUUUUAGAAUUUCAAAUUCGUAAUUUAAAAUGCAGGCACAUUAUGUAUACAUAAUUAUUGAUUUUCAUAUGUGGGUGUUUUGAAAUAUUGCCAAAAGACCAAACUUUAAUAAACUAUUUUUGAUCUUUUUUUUUCCUUUGUACCUAAAGUUUGAGUGAUAUCCGCAUUUUAAAUUCAUGUGGACCAAAAGCUAAUGUAUGCACAAAAUUCUUUUAAUUUUUUCCGAGAAAAAUGGGUAAGAGAAGAAGAUUUUUCUCUUGAAAAAGAAAAAAUAAUACGUUGCAAGCAUAGGAAAGAGGCCAGUGUUUUGGAUUUGAAUUUAGUAUUGGGUUGAAUUUUAUGCUAAGCUCUUUUAUAAUACUUUAUAGAAUAAAAAUGUAAGGGAUAUUUGGCUAGGCAUGUACUUUAUAGAAUAAAAAUGUAAUAAUGUAAGUCAGUGCAAUGAUCUGCUGUCAUAGUAGUUAUAAAUAUUUAUGUGUAAUACAGUAACAUGAUGCUUAAUCAGUUAAAAAAAAAUUGUAUAUCUUUUUUUAUUUUUUUUAUUGUGAUCAAUAUAACUAGUCAAAUUUAUUUUUAAAUAUUUUUUUAAAAAUAUUUUUAUCGUGUGUUUGCUCCAUUACAGGGUUUCUUCAAUUUAAAAUAGAGAAUCAUUUGUGUUCUAGAUUAAUCGUGGGUCUAUAUCCAAAUCCAAAAAUUGACUAACUUGAUUUCUAUUAAGUUCUCAACCCUAACAAGAAAAAUAAAAGAGUAAAAAUGACUAUUUUGGUUUCUAUUAAUUUGAGUAACGCUUAAUAUUUAUCAUACAAUAGUCACUUAUAUUAUCAAAAUCUUGGGUCGAAAAUAUUAGGAUAGGUGAUAAUUGGAAUUAAGUUGUAGAUAAGAUAGCCUUUCAAAAAAAAGAAAAGAAAAAAAGUUGUAGAUAAGAUAGAAAUGGAUUUGGAGAGAGAUUGGAAUCCUGGCUAAUCCGGUGCACGUUGUUGCGUUAAAUUCUCGUUGACUUCACGUUGACCGAAGCAUUAUUGGAAGAAACAAGCAAGCUUAUUUUCUUCUCUCAUUUUUUACUUUUGUCUAAAUUUAUUGAUGUGAGCCCUCUGAGAUGGUAAAGUGUUAAAUCUGAGAAGAGUACCCACACACCCAUUUGUUGGAGGAUUAACAAUUAAAACACACUAUUUUAUUUCUUCAACAACACUCCUCACCAAUUACAACUCUUAUUUUUCACUCUCUACACCUUAGAGAUUUUGCUGCUUCACUUGAUGUUUAAACCAAAAGGGAGAGGGGGUAUUUAUAUAUGAAACAAACUAAUCACAACCAUUCAUUUAUUCAACUAAUAAACACAUCCUCACCAUCCAUUAAAACCUACCACUCACCUACUUCACCAACCACACCUAACACACCUAACACAAAUAAUUCAAACCUCACCAACCAUACCUACUCAUGGAACCUUCCAUGAGUUGGGCUUGAUUUAUUCAUCUUGGAUCAAGUUUAUGAUCCAACACCUCUCCUUAAACUUGAUCCUGUGACACCAAGCAAACUUCUGAAUCUUACAAAGUCUUCUUGUUUGAGUGGUUUAGUGAAGAUAUCAGCUGCUUGAUCUUGUGAUUUUACAUACUUGAUUUGCACUUCUUUUCUUGCAAUACACUCUCUUAUGAAAUGAUAGCGAGUGGCUAUGUGUUUACUUCGAUCAUGAAAGACUGGAUUCUUGGAUAGGGCAAUUGCUGAUUUGUUAUCAACACAAAUCUCAGUUGGCUCUUCUUGUGCCAAACUCAACUCCUUUAGCAAAUUUCUGAGCCAAAUUGCAUGACAAACACUUGAUGUGGCAGCUACAUAUUCAGCUUCACAGGUGGAUAGCGUGACAAUUGGUUGCUUCUUUGACAUCCAUGUGAAAGCAGUAUCUCCUAUGAAGAACACAAAUCCUGUGGUGUUAUUUCGAUCAUCUACAUCUCCACCCCAAUCGCUAUCGCUAUAUCCAACAAGCUUGUAGUCAUUAGAAAAUGAGUAUAGCAAGCCGAAAUUAGUUGUACCUUUGAUGUAGCGAAGGAUUCUUUUUGCAGCUUUAAAAUGGGUGGUCUUUGGAUUCUCCAUGUAUCGGCUCACAAGUCCAACAACAUAAAGGAUAUCUGGUCUUGUGCAUGUCAAAUAACGUAGGCUUCCAACCAAACUUUUAAAGAAUGUUGGAUCUAUAUCUUCGCCUUCAUCAUGUUUGGAUAACUUGACUCCGCAUUCCACUGGCGUGCUUAUAGGCUUACAAUCAUUCAUCUUGAACUUCUUGAGAAUCUCCUCUGCAUAGCUUUCUUGGGAGAUAAAUAUGCUUUCUUCCUUUUGCUUGACUUCAAUGCCGAGGUAAUAUGCCAUCAGUCCGAUGUCAGUCAUCUCGAACUCUUUGAUCAUCACUCUCUUGAACUCUUCAAACAAGCCUGGAUUACUUCCAGUGAAAAUGAGAUCAUCCACAUACAGGCACACAAUCAAAAUAUCUCCAUAUUUUUCUUUGACGUAGAGAGCAUGUUCAUAUGGGCAUUUGGUGAAGCCUUUCUCUUGAAAAUACUUGUCAAUUCUGCUAUUCCAUGCCCUUGGUGCUUGCUUUAACCCAUAAAGAGCUUUCUUCAAUCUCAAAACUUUGUCCUCGUGUCCUUUCACCACAUAGCCUAAUGGUUGUUCGAUGUAAACUUCUUCUUCAAGGAAUCCAUUCAAGAAAGCAGACUUCACAUCCAUUUGAAAAAUCUUCCAUUUGUUCUGAGCAGCCAAAGAAAUAAUAAGUCUAAUAGUUUUAAGUCGAGCUACAGGAGCAAAUACCUCGUCAUAGUCUAUGCCAGCCUUUUGACUAUAGCCUUUUGCAACUAGCCUCGCCUUGUGCCUUUCAAUUUCUCCCUUCGCAUUUCUUUUUGUUUUAUACACCCAUUUGACACCGAUCGCCUUGUGACCUUUUGGAAGAGUAGUAAGCUCCCAAGUAUCAUUCUUCACAAUGGCUUUGAUUUCUUCAUCCAUUGCAAUUCUCCACUUCUCAUCUAGUGCAGCUUCUUGGAAGUUGACUGGCUCACAAUCAGCAAAGAGGCAAAAGAGAGUGAGAUUAUCAUGUCUCUCAGUUACCUCAUAGAGAUCUUGAAGACUCCUUGCACGUUCUUCGGUUCUUUCAUUUAAGAAAGACGGCGGUGAAUCUCCGCAUGUGGUUGGUGCUGGUGAGAUAGGUGGAGUGGCAGGCUCUUGUUGUUCGUCUACUUGUUUUACCUGUGUAUGAUCAUCUUCUUCAAUGGGAAAGAAGUUGAAGUCAUCCACACCAGAGCCAAAAUCUCAUUCUCCUUCUUCAUCAAAAAUUACAUCUCGACUGAUCACAAUCUUUCCGUUGUUUGGAUUGUAAAGCUUGUAUCCUUUGGAGUUGUUGUCGUAGCCGAUGAAGAUGAACAACUCACUUUUGUCAUCCAGCUUGGCUCUACUUUCGUCUGGUACAUGUACAUGGGCAAUGCUUCCGAAAACUCUUAGAUGGGUGAUGCCAGGUUUUCUUCCACUCCAAGCUUCUUGUGGCGUCUUGCCCCACACGCUUCUUGUUGGAGAUCGAUUGGAUAAGUAGAUUGCACAUGCAACUGCUUCAGCCCAAAAUUCUUUAGGUAGCCUCUUACUCUUAAGCAUGCUUCUUGCCAUGUCGAGGAUGGUUCUGUUCUUCCUUUCUGCAACACCAUUUUGUUGGGGGGAUCUUGGAACUGUCAAAGGGCGUCGAAUUCCAUUUGCUUCACAAAACUCUAAAAAUUCUUUGGAAGUGAACUCUCCACCUCGAUCAGAUCUCAUGGCUUUAAUCUGGUAUCCACUUUCUUUUUCAACUGCAGCUUUAAACUUCUUGAAAGCUUCAAAGACUUCUGAUUUUUGCUUCAAAAAAUACACCCAAGUUUUUCUUGAAAAAUCAUCUAUAAAAAGAAUGAAGUAGUUACUUUUACCAAGGGAGUUUGGCUUGAAUGGACCGCACACAUCAGUAUGAAUGAGCUCGAGUGGCUUCUGAGCUCUUGAGUUUGACUCCUUUGGAAAGCUCUUUCUGAACUGCUUGCCAAGUAAACAUCCUUCACAAAGUUGAUCAGGGUGAUUGAUGUAUGGUAAGCCUUUCACCAUGUUCUUCUUAGAGAGUAGCUCCAGUCCUCUAAAGUUGAGAUGCUCAUAUCGAAGAUGCCAAGUCCAGGAUUGAUCUUUGUGACAGGCUUUGAGACAUUUUGCAACAUCAUUUUGAAUAUUUAAAGGAAACAUUCUAUUCUUUGACAUUCUCACUUUUGUAUUUAGAUUUCCUUUUUCAUCUCUUAGAAAAAGACUAUAAUCUUUUAAGUGAAUAUCAUAGCCCUUUUUCUAAAAGUUGACCUAAACUAAGAAUGUUGCUUUUCAUAUUGGACACAUAGUAAACAUUCGAAAUUAUUUGGUGGCUACCAUCUUUUGCACGAAAAAGAAUGUUACCUCUACCCUUCACUGGUACUUUUGAAUCAUCUCCAAAAGUGACACUGCCAUUCACAAAUUCACUUAGUUGCACGAACAUGCUUCUGUUUCCACUCAUAUGAUUGCUAGCACCUGUGUCAAGAUACCAUGUAUUUUCUUGACCUCCAUUUGUGUCAUUGCGUGCUAGUAAAAGUGUGUCAUCUUCACCAUUUUUCUCUUCAGCAUAGUUCACUCUCUCUUUAAUUCUGGUGCUUGGAGCUCUGCAUUCUGAAGCAUAAUGCCCAAACUUUUGACAAUUAUAGCACUGUACUUGGGAUUUGUCAUACCUCGAUCUUGAAUUGCCUCUGCCUUGUUCUCUGGUUGAGCUUUCUCCUUUGGCAUAAUUGGAGUUGUUGUUGUUGAAAUUCCAACCUCGUCCAUGACCACGACCUCUACCUCGUCCUCGACCUCUACCUCGGACAUAGUGCCUUCUCUCAUUGUCGGAGCUUUCUUCUCUUUUCUUUGGAUUGACUUCCAUCUUGAGAAGUUGUUCUUCGAUUCCUUGCUUCUUUUUUUGUUUUUCUUCAUAGGCUUGCAACCUUCCUUGAAGUUGCUCGAUCGUCAUAUCCUCCAGAUCUCUUGUUUCUUCAAUUGUCAUAACAAUAUGAUCAAACUUCGAGUCUACUGAUCGAAGUAUCUUUUCAAUGAUCCUUACCUCUUUUAACUCCUCGCCAUUUCUUUUUAAUUCAUUGGAAACGGUCACAACUCGAGUAAAGUAGUCAGAAAUUGACUCCGACACCUUCAUGUGUAAGGACUCAAAUUCUCCUCGUAAUGUUUGGAGACGAACCUUCUUAACUUGCUCUGCUCCUUUGUAAGAGGUCUUUAGUUUCUCCCAUGCUUCUUUUGAGGAGGUUGUACCAGCAAUCUUUUCAAAAGCAUCUUCAUCUAAUGAUUGAAAGAUGAGAUACUUUGCUUUAUUCUCUUUCUUCUUCAAGUCUUUUAAAUUCUCCUUCUGCGCCGCAGUUAAAGUGGCUUCAUUUUCUGGCACAAUAAAGCCUUUCUCCACGACAUCCCAUACGUCAUGUGCACUCAAUAGAGCCUUCAUUUUAAUACUCCAAUUGUCAAACUUACUUCCUUUUAAUUGUGGAACUUGAAAUGACAUCAUCAUACCACCGUUUGCCAUAACUCACAAAUUGAGUGAGAAUUUGGAGAUUCUGAAUGCACAGAUGGAUCCGGCACGUCGAAAAACCUUGGGAAGGACUCGAGUCAACUUUCGGUCAACGGUCAACGUCGGUCAACGGUCAACACCGGCUUGGUAGUCUCGGUUCGGUCCGGAUUGGUUCAGCUCGAGUUGGCUCGGUUCGACUUGAUUCGGUUCAGCUCGGCUCGGCUUGGUUCAGUUCGGCUCAGCUUGGUUCAACUCGGUGAGUCGACUCAGCUUCAGGACAUAAAACUUCCGGCGGCAGGUGUGGGCGCGUACGGUCUCGGAUCGGGAUGAUUUUUGCGGCGUCACGUUCCUCUCGUCGAGAUCUUCGAUUUGAUAUGCUAUAUGACUAUAUAUAGCAUCAAACACUAGCUCUGAUACCACUUUGUUGGAGGAUUAACAAUUAAAACACACAAAAAACACACUAUUUUAUUUCUUCAACAACACUCCUCACCAAUUACAACUCUUAUUUUUCACUCUCUACACCUUAGAGAUUUUGCUGCUUCACUUGAUGUUUAAACCAAAGGGGAGAGGGGGUAUUUAUACAUGAAACAAACUAAUCACAACCAUUAAUUUAUUCAACUAAUAAACACAUCCUCACCAUCCAUUAAAACCUACUACUCACCUACUUCACCAACCACACCUAACACACCUAACACAAAUAAUUCAAACCUCACCAACCAUACCUACUCAUGGAACCUUCCAUGAGUUGGGCUUGAUUUAUUCAUCUUGGAUCAAGUUUAUGAUCCAACACCAUUAUCCUAUUACUCUUAUUUUAUCACAUGCAGAGACGUCAACGUUUGAUUCGCACGGAAAAAAAUUUGCGAGGAUUGUGAGGGUUGAUUCAAUAUAAUUUAGAUGCAAAGUGUUUACAAGUGCGAUGCUUCGUAAGUGCACCCGAAUCAUUAUAAACUCACCUUAUUUUCAUAGUGAUUAUUUCAUCUGCAUGUGAAUAUAAUCAUAUGUGGAGAUUUUUUUUUUCCCUAAACGAUGAUCUUCUCUAGUAUUGAGGUGUUAUAUCUUUUAAAUUAUAAUUAUUAUUAGUAAAAAACUGCAACUAUGAAAAAUAAAUUUAAUAUUAUGUCCUGAAUAUAAUUGUUAAAUAAUAAUUUUGACAAAAUUAAUGAAUAUAUACAGAUUUUUUUAUCAUAUAAAUGUAAAAUUAUAUCAACUUAGCUUCUAAGCUAUACAACGGUUACUAUUUACUAAAUACUUUAGUGUCGUAGUUUUUAAGAUAUAUUUAUCCACCCUCAAUCCCAAACAUAACCUGUAAGGAUAAAAAAUUUCAUCCUAAAAAUUAUACGUCUUGUGACUUAUUUAAUUUAUAUUUUUGUUAUUUAUAUUUAUUAAUUAUAGUCAUCUUUUAAUAAAUUACAAUUGAAGGAAGGUGGUUGAUGUUGUCGAGACACACACACAAAGAUAUAUUGGAAGUGCUUAUGUCCACUCGAAGUUGUGGGGAGUUAAUGCAUGUAUUGAUUUAUUGGGAGUGUUAAUGCAUGUAUUGAUUGAUUGAGUGAUUGAAUACUGUUUGAUUGCUUCAUAUCAAUUCUAGAAAGUUUAUUUCUUUGUGAAAUUUCAACGAAACGUGUUUUUUAGAAUAAUAAGGGUGUUUUAAGUAAUUUUAAAAAAUGAAUGGACUAAUUAGAAUUAAUUAUUAGGUAAUUAACUCGAAUUGUAGAGGGUAAGCAAACAUUUAUCCUAAUUAUAUUAUGAUAAAUCCUUUUCCAAUUAGAAUUAGGAAACCAUAGAUAUACUGAAUUUUUUUUUAUUUCCCUUCGCGAAAACGGAUCAGAGAAUUAGAAAACAAUCCUAGUGAUACUAUUGUUAGGUUUAAAACACUGCAUAGAUGGUAAAAACAUUGGAAUUGAUGUAGAUUAAUUUGUUAAUUGCUAUCGUACUGAACAUUGUUUUAUGCAAAUUAAUUUGAGAAUUAGAAAAAAGUUUGUUGCAUGCAAACUUUUUGUUUUAUGCAAAUCGUACUGAACAUUGGGACUGAUGUUUAAGAAAAAAAUUCUGUAGUUAAAGAAAAACAAAAAGGCAUGUUGAAUAGAUUACGAUAGUUUAUUCAAUUGGGAAUUUUUUUUCUUUAAUUUUUGUUGUACUUGAUUGAGAUUUCUCUUUAGUCCUUUCGUACUUCCUUUGUAAGCUGAGUAUAAGGAUGAAAUUCUUUUAAGAAAUUAAAAAAGAAAAAAAAGCAUGCCACUACGCAAUUAUAAAUAACCACAAAUAAAUAUAAACAAAAUGUUUAUGAAGUAAAUUAAACAUGCACAUAUUAUUUUCUUUUAUUUGCUGCUUGGAAACCCAUAAAUGCACUAAUCCAAUAUUACAAUUAAUUUCAAACAGAAAAAAUUGAACUCUAGGCUGCAGUUUGACUCAAAAUGAUGACCACUGGCUUCGCACCAUUCAACCGGUAUACAUUUCUACAAACCGAACAACGCUAUUGAUUUUUAUUUUUUUUUUUAAUUUGUCUAUAAAUUACUAUUUUAAUUUUCACUUUUUAUUGGGUUGUUUAACGGAUUAGUGAAGCUGGUGGUCGUUGAUGCACUCAUAAGGUACAAUUUUAUUUUAGAAUUUCAAAUUCGUAUUUUAAAAUGCAGGCACAUUAUGUAUACAUAAUUAUUGAUUUUCAUAUGUGGGUGUUUUGAAAUAUUGCCAAAAGACCAAACUUUAAUAAACUAUUUUUGAUUUUUUUUUUCCUUUUUACCUAAAGUUGGAGUGAUAUCCGCAUUUUAAAUUCAUGUGGAACAAAGCUAAUGUAAGCACAAAAUUCUUUUAUUUUUUCCGAGAAAAAUGGGUAAGAGAAGAAGAUUUUUCUCUUGAAAAAUGAAAAAAAAUACAAUGCAAGCAUAGGAAAGAGGUCAGUGUUUUGGAUUUGAAUUUAGUAUUGAGCUGAAUUUUAUGCUAAGCUCUUUUAUAGUACUGCGAUUAAUAAGCUAGCUCAGGAUUUGCUUUUGCUUUUACUUCAAGUAAAAGAAAGAGGAAGCCUUUUGUUUUUUUGUUUGAUUUUUGACUAUAUAUGUUACCUAUAUAGAGAGUUGAGGUAGCAGCCUUAAGUGAUGGUGAUAAAAAGAUUAAGCAGUGCACACAAUCUUACUGUCAUCCAGACCAUCCAGUGAUGGCUCUAGUUUUUUUGUUACGUUAGCUUUAGUGGAAAGAAGGGCCAAUUUAACAAAGACUAGAUUUGGUGGCUUACUAUGUUUAAUGUAAUGCUUAUUCUCAGCGCACACAAUCUUACUAUGUUUAAUGUAAUGGUUAUGUUGAAUGAUCUUCUAUGAUUGUGAGUAGUAUAGUAUAAUUGAAAAGGGCCUGGGCUCCUAUGAUGAAUAACAGUAACACAUUACUGUGAUUGAGAAAACUCAGUUCCAAUAAACUCUUCAUUUACUCAUUGCGGAGAUCGAAUGGCAAACAGAGAAUAGAAUGAAGCAGAAGAAUCUCAUUGUUAGGUUUUGAUGAUUUCAGAUGCUUUUUUUUUAAAAAAAAAUUGUGACAUCUUUGAUUUACGGCAGUUUUGCAGAAAAAAAAAACAUAUAAAAAUUAAGAGGGAUGAGUUAACUGACGAUUACAAUCAUUACAGCAAUGCUGAUGAGUGAUAUAUCACUUGAAAUUUACUUGUCAGUUGCUGAAAUGAUGAAAAAAAACCAACAAACGAUAACAGUAAUAAUGUUCCCUUGCUGAAAUUCAAUUUUGACUUUCGACUCUUGGCUUUUAUGGAGAGUAAAAUGACUUGUAUAUUAUACUCAUACAAUCCACUCUACAUAAUGAUAUCGUUUUAAUAAGGCAAUGGCUGAUGAUCUCCAUUUAAAAACUACAUCAAUUUUUUUGCUUCAUUUAACUUUUUGGUUGUUGAAAAUAACCUUAAUUAUCAAAUAAUUGGAGAAAGAGUUAAGAACAUUUAACAAAUUUAUGUGCAAAAAAAAAAAAAAAAGGAAGAAGUUGAAGAGAAAGGGUGCUUGCAGAAGUGGGUGUCAAAGAUAAAUCGGUCCAUAAGAAUUAUUGUGGUUAUUUUUUGGCAAUAUAAAAAUUUUUUAGCAAGUAAAAAUAAUUUUUUUUCCGAUUUACUAAAAAAUUAACUAAAAACUUCUGCGAUGUCAUUUUUUAUGGGUGCAUAUACCCUCCCUUUAAAAAAUUUAUAAUAAUUACUGCUUAAUAUAGUAUUAAAUACGAAAAAUAUCAAUAUUUGACUACUCAAAUUUAUAUCAUUAGGUCCUUAAAAUUUAAAAUGGAAGAUAUGAAAGGAAAUAUAUAUAAAUUUCAUUGUCCUGGGAAAGGACCCUCUUAUUAUCUUAUAAUAUUUGAAAUUUGAUAGAUUUUUUGAAACAAAUGUACUUUUAUUUGUGUACAAUCAAUAUUUACUCAUUUAUUAUAUUUUAAUUUAUUAACUAUCAAUCAUGUAAGUAUACUUAGUCAAAAAAAUUAUAUCAAGAGAGAAUUCUAAUUUCACGCAAAAACAAAUACCAAAACAAAUAUCUCAAUUUCUAUACUAUUCACUUUCCUGUAGAAUCAAUUAUUUAAAAUGCAAGUUUGUGGCUACAGAAAACUCGCCAAAGAAAGAAGAUAAUAACAAUUGAGCAUUGAUGGCAAAACUAAUGCAUCCAAUUCUUCUUGACUUGAUGAGAUGGCGCCAUAACGUAGAAACAAGUACCUAAAUUGACCGGCACUGAGUGGUGUGAAUACUACCAGCCAGUUCAUCUCUUCCAGUCUUGCUUAAUCACAAUCACAAACACCACGAGAUCGACAUUUGCAUUAUAUAUAUCUUCUGCAAUCGAAACACCUUGCAUUACCAAAUAAGCCCGUAACAGACAAAGCAAUCUUUCAUGGAGAGAAACCUUAGUCUCAGUAUGAUCACUGUGUCAUUAACGUACUGCCUGCUUCUUUGCUUGGUUGCUGCAGCAGCAGCAGCGGCAAGCAACAAUAUUACCACAGACCAACAAGCUCUUCUUGCCCUGAAAGAUCAUAUAAUUUAUGAUCCGACCAGCCUUUUAGCUCACAAUUGGACCUCGAAUACCUCUGUUUGUACCUGGAUUGGCAUCACUUGUGAUGCCAAUAGCCAUAGAGUCACAACCUUAGAUAUUUCUCAAUUCAAUCUACAAGGCACCAUCCCUCCUCAACUUGGGAACCUCUCUUCACUCACAACACUUAAUCUUAGUCAUAACAAGCUUUCUGGAAACGUUCCCUCCUCCAUCUACACCAUGCAUACGCUAGAAUUUCUUGACUUCACUGAUAACCAGCUCUCUGGUUCAGUGACUUCCUUCGUCUUGAACAUGUCUUCAAUAUUAGACAUUCGUUUGACCAAUAACAGACUUUCUGGUGAGCUUCCGAAAAAUAUUUAGAGCUAUCUUCCUCAUUUGAAAGCCCUUUUUUUGGACAAAAACAUGUUUCAUAGCAAACUUCCUUCUGCUUUAUCAAAGUGCAAACAACUGCAACAAUUAAAUUUGAAGUUCAAUAAUUUAUCCGGUGCAAUACCAAAAGAAAUCGGCAACUUGACUAUGCUCAAAGGGAUAGACCUCGGCUACAACAAACUCCACGGUAUGUUCAUAAUACUAUACAAAUAUUAUCUUUCUUGAAUACUUUAGAUAAGAUCUUGUAUGUGAGAUUUUUUUGCAUCUAUAUUAAUUUUCCAGGUGAGAUACCGCACGAAAUCGCUAAUCUUCCAAAUCUAGAGGCUUUAGCGCUUGGAAUGAACAACCUAGUUGGUGUGUUACCAGCUCCAAUCUUCAACAUGUCAACACUGAAUGUACUUAUCCUCAUAAAUAACUCUCUCUCCGGUAGUCUUCCAUCAAGAAUGGACCUUUCACUUCCAACUAUUGAGCAUCUUAACUUUGCACUUAAUAGAUUUUCUGGAACAAUUCCUAGUUCCAUAACCAAUGCUUCUAAGCUCACAUUUCUAGAGUUGGGAGGAAACACAUUUUCGGGCUUUAUUCCAAACACAAUUGGUAAUUUAAGAAACCUUGAGUUGUUCGGCUUGGUUUUUAACUACUUGACAUCUUCGAGCUCAAAAUUGAGCUUUCUUUCCUCUUUGGCAAAUUGCAAGAAAUUAAGAGUCAUAGGCUUAACAGGCAAUCCACUCAACGGCAUCCUUCCAAGUUCAGUAGGUAAUCUUUCUAUGUCUUUGAAAACACUUCACAUCGCCAAUUGCAGUAUUAGUGGCAACAUUCCUCCAGCAAUUAGCAAUUUAAGCAACUUGUUGGCCUUAGUAUUAGAAGGCAAUAAAUUGACUGGACCAAUCCCAACUACAUUCGGCCAACUACAGAAACUCCAAGGCUUAGAUCUCGCAUUCAAUAAGUUGGUAGGUUCAUUCCCAGAUGAGCUUUGCCAUCUAGCUAGGCUGGAUGAAUUGGUCUUAUUUGGCAAUAAGCUUUCAGGAUCUAUACCUUCAUGCUUAAGUAACCUCACUUCUCUGAGAUCUCUCCACUUAGGGUCCAAUAGGUUUACUUAUGUCAUUCCCUCAACUUUCUGGAGCCUAAAAGACAUCUUGUUCUUUGACUUUUCAUCAAAUUUCUUGGUUGGUCCUCUUUCUUUAGACAUAGGAAAUUUGAAGGUGCUUCUAGGAAUAAAUUUAUCAGAAAAUAACUUAUCGGGUGAUAUGCCAGCCACAAUUGGAGGACUAAAAAACCUUCAAAUUAUGGACCUAACAUAUAAUAGACUGGAAGGGCAAAUUCCUGAAUCAUUUGGUGACUUGACAAGUUUGGAGGUUUUGAAUUUGUCAAAUAAUAAAAUCUCUGGGUCUAUUCCAAAAUCCAUGGAGAAACUCUUUUACCUUCGAGAGUUAAAUCUCUCUUUCAAUGAACUAGAAGGUGAGAUUCCUAGUGGAGAAAUUUUUACCAACUUCACAGUUGAGUCAUUUAUGGGAAAUGAGUUAUUGUGUGGUUUACCAAAUCUUCAAGUCCAACCAUGCAAACUUAGCAAGCCAAGGACAGAACAUAAAUCAAGGAAAAAGAUACUUCUCAUUGUGAUUGUUUUGCCAUUGAGUAUUGCUCUAACAAUAGCAAUCACUCUACCUCUCAAAUCUAAGCUGACCAAAUGUGGAAAAAGAUGCACAGUGUUGUCAAAUGAUAGUGUCUUGUCAUCACAAGCAACACUAAGAAGAUUUUCAUACUUAGAACUUUUACAAGCAACAGAUAAUUUUGCUGAAAACAACGUAAUUGGCAUAGGUGGUUUUGGUUCUGUUUAUAGAGCAAGACUUGAAGAUGGGAUGAAGAUUGCAAUAAAAGUGUUUCACCAGCAAUGUGCAAGCGCAUUGAAGAGUUUUGAGGCUGAAUGUGAAGUGUUAAAAAAUAUUCGCCAUCGAAAUCUUAUCAAAGUUAUCAGCAGUUAUUCAAACAAUGACUUCAAAGCAUUAGUCCUAGAAUACAUGUCCAACAGGAGCUUGGGGGAUUGGUUGCAUUCCAGCAAUUAUAUGCUGAAUAUAUUUCAAAGGUUGAACAUAAUGAUUGACGUUGCAUCAGCUUUGGAAUAUCUCCACUUCGAUCAUUUACCUCCUAUUAUUCAUUGUGACUUAAAGCCUAGUAAUGUAUUGUUGGAUGAAAAUAUGGUUGCUCAUUUGAGUGAUUUUGGCAUAGCAAAGCUUUUAAUUGGGGAGGAUGUGUAUGUCAUGCGAACAAAAACCCUUGCCACUAUAGGUUACAUCGCACCAGGUUUGCUUCAAACAACUUUUUUUUAGUUCAUUUUAAAUUUUCUAAAUCAUUGAUUUUUACGAUCCUCAUAUCAAAUUGUUAUUGAUUAUUUAUCUAAUUGUGAAAUUAAUUUGAUUCAUAGAGUAUGGCAUAGAAGGAGAAAUAUCUACAAAAAGUGAUGUUUACAGCUAUGGGAUUAUGUCGAUGGAAACUUUUACCAAGAAAAAACCCACAGAUGAAAUUUUUGUUGGAGAAUUGAGCUUAAAGCGUUGGGUUGAUGACUUGCUUCCUGAUUCAUUAGUGGAAGUUGUGGACAAAACUCUAGUAAGUGGAGAGGAAAAACAUUUUGCCGCAAAGGAGCAAUGUCUGUUGUCUAUCUUUAGUUUGGCUCUGGAGUGUACAAUGGAAUCACUGAAAAAGAGGAUCAAUGCAAAAGAUAUUGUUACCAGAUUACUCAAGAUAAGAGACACAUUGAGUAAAAGGAUAGGAAAUUUAAGUUAAUAUCGUUUGCUUUCAUUGAUAGUUAUUUUGAAUUCAUGUAAUAAGUGUACGAACCUUAUAUCUUUUCCUUUGAUAUUUUUUUCCUUGAGAAAACUAUUGUAGUCAUCUUAUUUCCAUGGGCAGAGUUGAUUUAGUUCUUCCAAGAAAUGCUACUGAUGACCUUUGUUUUAUACUUUCUCUUUUUUUGCAUGUGUUUAGGUAGAACAGUGGUUUGGCUGCAGGCUAAGAAGACUAACUACACUAAAAGAAUAUGAUUUAAUUUAUUAAACAAAACUUCAAGAAAAGUAUUUCACUGCCCCCAAUGCUUUGGACACCUACUGGUGGGUUUGUACGUGUCCUCAACUUUUUUUUGGAGCACAAAAUUCGAGUCCCAUGGAGACUCAAACAUUCCUUUCCCACAUCUCGAGCACGCUAAAUUUAUCAGACUGACAACUGGGACAUAUACAAGAGUGAAAUGUUUAGAGCACUCUAAGUUCGAGUGAAAGAGAUUAAUUUACAGAAAAUAAAGCCAAGGGUUCAGAAAAAAGUGCAAAGAGAAUAAAGGAACGUCUGAGCUAUUUAAAGCUUCAUGGAAAGUUGAAGGCUCUCCAUAUUUUGUUAGAAGAUAGUAUGCAACAUUGAUCUCUGUGACAUACUCCGAGUGCCACGUUGGCGGUCGUCUCUCACGAGUUGACCGACGAAUUUCUUGAGCCUCGGACUCGACUAGUUCUUGUUCCUCGUGCUCUGGUGCUGCUUCAGAAGAAUUUGAAUCUUUUGAAUUAUUUUUCACAUAUACCGGUACAGUCUCUGACUUUUCUUUUACAGUGCUAUCAUCCUCAUCUUUCCUUUGCAAUUGAUCUUCUAUAAAAAUAACAUCUCUGCUGAUGACGAUCUUGUGGGCAGUGGGAUCCCACAGACGAUACCCUUUUACUCCAUCAGCAUAUCCCAAGAAGAUACAUCUUCUAGAUUUUGCAUCCAGUUUUGUUUUUUCUUGAGCAUUGUACAUCACGUACACAGGACAUCCAAAUGUAUGUAGGUAGGAAUAAUCAGCUGGCUUUCCAGUCUAUAUCUCCAUCGCUGUCUUCAGCCCAAUUACUGUAGAUGGUGAUCGAUUUACUAUAUAACAGGCAGUUUUGGCUGCUUCUACCCAAAAUGAAUUGGGUAGACCAGCAGUCCUCAACAUAGCUCUUAUCCGUUCUGUAAUAGUUCUAUUCAUCCGCUCUGCCACUCUAUUUUGUUGAGGAGUGUAUGCCACCGUGAACUGUCUCUGAAUACCUUCUUGCUUACAGAAAACAAGAAACUCGCCGUCUAUAUACUCUCCACCAUUAUCUGUCCUCAAGCACUUGAUCUUUUUACCAGAUUCAAGUUCUACCGUGCUUUUAAACACUGGAAAUACAUCUGACUUUUUCUUAAUUGGAUACACCCAACAUCUUCUGGAAUAAUCAUUAAUGAAAGUCACCAUGUACUUUGCACCUCCCAUGGAUAUAUCCGGUGAUUCCCAAAUAUCAAAAUGAAUCAAGUCUAUAAUGCAUUUACUUCUAGCAAUAGAUCUACUGAAUUUUAAUUUAUGCUGCUUACUUGUAACACAAUGCUCGCAAAAUGGUAAACUUACCGAUUUGAGCCCCGGAAGCAAUUUUCGCUCAAAGAGAAUCUUCAAUCCUUGUUCUGACAUGUGGCCAAGUUUGAGAUGCCACAUCAUCGUUGACUCUUCUCCAUUUGACGCGACACAUGCAUCAGCCUCUUGUAGUGUUUCUCCUUUAAGCAUGAAUAAAUUAGCACCGAUCUUUUCUGCCUUCAUCAAUACAAACGCACCUUUAACGAUCUUCAUAAUUCCAUUCUCCACAUGAGUUUUGUACCCAUGACUAUCCAUUUGUCCCAAAGGUAAAAGAUUUUUCUUCAGGCCGUUGACAUGUCGUACCUCCCUAAUUGUGCGAAUUGUACCAUCAAACAUUUUUAUUUUGAUAGUACCAAUACCAACGAUCUCCAAGGCAUGAUCAUUACCCAUAUAUACAGAUCCUCCUGAGAUAGGUUCAUAUGUGUGGAACCAUUCUCUCCGAGAGGUCAUGUGUCAGGUAGCUCCUGAGUCUAUAAGUCAGACAUCAGAUAGUCGUUUUCUGCCUUCUAAAACAGUUGUUGCCUCGCUGUAGAGAAUUUCGCCAUCAUCCGAGGUACUUACGACACAACCCUGAGCAUUUGAUGACUUAGGUUCUUUGCCCACUCUUGUCUUCUAAUUACUCCAACACUCUUUCUUGACGUGCCCUUUCUUGCCACAGUUGUAGCAUUUAACAUUCUUCUUACUUCUAGAUUUUGAUCUACCAUGAUUUUGACUCCCAUUGGGGCCACGUUCCGUUGAUCUCCCUCUCGUCACCGAUAGCGCCUCCGCUUGCUGCGAACUUGCUUGUCUGUUUUUCUUAUUUUUUCGUCUGCUUUCCUCAUUUAAUACAGAGGCUGCAACAUCGUCGAAAACUAGACUGUCCACUGGAUUGCUGUUCGUUAGGUUGAUGAUGAGUUGAUCAUACGAAUCUGGUAGACUUUGAAGUAGAAGCUCUGCACGUUCAUUCUCCUCUAUAUUAUGACCCAACGUUGUAAGUUGUGAAAAUAGAGUCUUCAAGGUGUUGAUGUGAUCGGUUACCAUUAUAGAUUCCGCCAUUUGAAGAGUAUAAAGUUUCCUCUUCAAGAAGAUUUUGUUGUGUAGUGACUUGGCCUCGUACAAUUUUGUGAGAGUAUCCUAAAUUUCCUUCGCUGUAUUUUUCUUUGCCACACUGGAUAAUACUCCGUCUGCAAGUGCCAAGUGUAGAUCAGAAAUGGCAUUGCCAUCUAUCUCGUUCCACUUGUCAUCAGUUAUCUCCAUGGGCCUUUCUCCAAUUGCUUCCAAGUAAUUAUUUUUCCUCAAUACAACUUUCAUCUUAAUUUUCCACAACGAAAAAUUAUUUUCGUUAAAUUUCUCAAUUUCAUACUUUGCUGUCAUUUUGUUGAUAAAUAUUGUACACAAACUAGUGUAUCACCUUGAAUAGUUGUGAGUAUGUGUAAGAAUGCACACCAGAAAAGUUCCUAGGAAAGACUGGAGGGGUCACAAUAGUCCCACUUAAAACUCAGACUCCUUAAGCUCUUAUCGCCUUUGUGACAGAACUUUCCUAGACAUGUAUAAAACCACACAAUUGCUUUACUCACACCACUAUUCCCUGCUUUGUACCGCCAAAUUCUUCGAUCGCUCCCACCGUUUCACGUGAAUAGUACUGUAUACGUGAACAGUACCGUGUACGUGAAUAGUAUCCCUUACGUGAACAGUACCCAACUCUAAAAAAUACAAUAAAUAGCUCUGAUACCACUGUUAGGAAAUUGGUGGGUGAAGCAGGACCGCAGCUAAUAUGAAAUUGGAAGAAAAUAAAGAACAAGGACAAAAAGAGGAUACCAGAAAUUACGUGGUUCGGCUUUUAACCUACGUCCACGGGCGAAAACAGAAGGAAAUAUUUUACUCGUAAAAAGGAGUUACAAGUAUUGUAGUAUUUUAGCUCACUUUCCAAAAUCCCAAUACACCCAAACUCUCAAAACACUAAAACAAGAGCUUAUAAUUUCAAGCUCUCUAAACUCUCUCUAAAUACAAGAAAACUCUUCUCAAAAUUGGAUAAGCAAAUGAGGGAAUGAGCCCCUCUAUUUAUAGCCAAAAUCUUGGCUACUAUUCACUUUUUUUUAAAAAUUAUUUAUUAUUGUUCAAAAUUUCAACAUUCAAAGUUUGAUAUUCAAACUUUGAAUAUCUAGAAUUUUGAAUUUGAUAUUCAAAGUUUGAAUAUCUAGAAGUUUGAAUUUGAUAUUCAAAGUUUGAAUAUCAAGACACCCAAUCUUGACACUAAAUUCACCAGACUGACAACUGGGGCAUAUAGAAGAGCGAAAUAACUGGGACAUAUACAAGAGUGAAAUGUUUAGAGCACGCUAAGUUCGAGUGAAAGAGAUUAAUUUACGGAAACUGAAGCCAAGAGAAUAAAGGACAACACUUACGUGAAGCGACAUAAUUGUAUUGAAAGCACAAUGUCAAAUUCAUACGGAGAUCUAGUAUAUUAUUUACAGCUGGUGAGGGCUAAGAAUUGAUGUAGCUAGAAUACAAAGACGAUAAGGUAUGUUGUGCACUAUUGUUUUAUUCUACGAUCAAUCUUGACCCUUGAUGCUUGGCUCUCAAUCUUGUCCAUUGAUCUUCUUUGAUUUUGGACACUUCAAGACCUUUCAGUAUCAUUCCUUGUUGUUGGUGUCUUCCGUGCUGUAGAAUUCAUAUACAAGCCUUCCCGCCGACUUGCCAAGUAUUCGUUCAUUGAUGCAUUUUUAUCAAACAGCUGGGCUACUUAUGCCAAACACCGCCUGGUUUAACUCCCCCUCUCUAGCUCAACUAUCUGGGAAGACAAUUAAUUGAGAUAUGAAUCAGAAAAUUAAAUUUUAAAAAUUGUAUUCGGACUCUACAUUUUGUAAUGAACAUUGGUUUGACUUGUUAUACAUUUAUGCGUACAUAAUUAAUAACCGAUUCUCAAGUGCGGACAUUCAAGAGCACUGCUUAAAGACCAAAUAUUUUGAUUUACUAUUUUUUGUCUUUCAAUUUUCUUUUAAGUUCUGAUGACGUCCGCAUUUUAAAAUCCUGUGGAACAAAGGCCUGACGUGCAUAUAAAAUUCUUUUAUUUUUUCAGAGGAAAAUGGGUUAGAGAAGAAGAUUUGGCAAAAGAAUUGCAACGGCAUUUGAAACUAGUCUUCGUCUUUUAAUUCUUUUAUAUUUGUUUUUGUUAUUGAUGUUAGCUUGGAUGUGAACCCGUGUGACUGAAUUCAACUUAUAUUUGUUUUUGUUAUUGUUAUUAAUUUUAUUUGUUUUUGUUAAAUUGGACCACCAACAAGGGCGGUCCAUUAUCAAAUCAACACGGUUUAAUUAUUAUUAUUUCUACACUUUUUUUAUGAACAAAUAUAAAAUAAAAGGACAUUUACACCCUCAAUUUUAGUGAAAUAGUCAUUAACACCCCUAAAUUUUUAAAAGUAGACAUCAAGAUCAUUUUUUUACCUUAAUACUCUUAUACGGUACCUCUAUUAUUCCCAAAAAUUGAUUCUAAUGUUUUAUAAUAAAUAAAAAUAAAACAUUAAAAUAAAUGUAAUAACAUAUAUAUUUUAAAAUAAUUUCAAUAUUUAAAAAAUAUUUUUAACAUUUUACAAUCUAUUAACUAUAUUUUAUUAUAUUGAAGUAAAUUUUAUAAUAAAUAGAAUCAUAUUAUUAAAAUAAAUGUAUUAAAAUUUAAAUGAUUUUGAAUAUCAUGUACAAUAAUAAUUUUAACAUUACUAAUAUGUCAGAUUUUUUUUUAAGAAUGUAUUUAGUGCAAAUAUUUCUUUCAAAUCUCCACAAUAAAUAAAAGAUUAAAAUAAAUAUAAUAAUUUACAUAUCUAAAUUUAUUAAAAUAUUUUAAUAUUGUUAGUCUACUGCAUAGAUCACAAUAUUUAUAUAAUAUUUGUAUUUAUUAAAAACUUUAAAAUCAAUUCUUUUGAGAAUAAUAGAGGUAAAGGGUAUAAUGGUCAAAAUGGGGACUUUGUACUCCUUUUUGAAAACUUGAAGGUGUUGGUGGCUAUUUUUCCAAACCUUCAGGGUGUAGAUGUCAUUUUUCCACAAAUAUAUGAGAAAAUUAUCAAGAAAUACAGUAUCUGAACUCUGAAGUAACAAGGAUCACCUUUUAUGAAAUCGAUUGCUUUUCAUGAUAGACUGUUACUAUUUUUCUACAAUAGAUUGAAUUUAGUAAAAAAUUGAUUAAGAUGUCUACUCAUGGAGAGUGAAAUUUAUGUUCAAUACUAAUUUCAACAUGCAUGCACCACCGAACGUGUUUCUCACGGAAAAGUUGCUUGGAUUUUUGGGACUUCCUGUUCAAAUAUUCAACACGGCAUGCACCACGCGAUUGAACAUGCAAAAGUAGGGGUCUAUUAUCAUUUCCAGCAUUAUAGAAAUCUUAAUUUUGUUCAUUAUUUAUUUUGAUCAGCACUGUUGAAUCUCCAUGUAUUGCCAAUCACUGGGAAACAACAUAUUCUUAUUAAUUAUAUCCUCUAAUGGAGAGAACUCAUUGUCUCAGUGUAAGAUCACUGUGUCAUUAACCCACAGCCUGCUGAUUUGCUUGGUUGCUGCAGCAAGCAAAAAUAUUACCACAGAUCAAAAAGCUCUUCUUGCCCCAAAAGAUCACAUAACUUAUGCUCCAACCAAUCUUUUGACCGAAAAUUGGACCUCAAAUACCUCUGUUUGUACGGGGAUUAGCAUCACUUGUGAUGUCAAUAGCCGCAGCCUUGGAUAUUUCUCAAUUCAAUCUACAAGGCACCAUUAUUCCAAACACAACUGGUAAUUUAAGAAACCUUAAGUGGCUCGGCUUGGCUUAUAAACUACUUGACAUCUUCAACUUCAAAAUUGAGCUUUCUUUCCUCUUUGGCAAAUUGCAAAAAAUUAAGAAUCUUAGGCUUACUGGAAAUCCACUUGACCGUAUCCUCUCACGUUCAAUAGGUAAUCUUUCUAUGUCUUAGGAAAGAUUUCACGUCGCCAAUUGCAGCAUUAGUGGCAGAAUUCCUCAAGUAAUCAGCAAUUUAAGCAACUUGUUGGCAGUUGUGCAAAAUUUUAAUAUACUCGCAAGUGCACGAAUCUAGAAAUAGAAUAAUGGUAAUGAGGUCAAACCCAUAGGGAUUGUUUUAAAAUGACAAAAGAAUAGCUGCUGGUCUAGAGGUGGCUUACUACAUUCAUACAAGAUCGUUUCUUGUUCUCUAAGAUGUGCAUUAUACUAAUAAUGCUAUACAAACUUAUCCAAAGGUCUAUUAAUUAAUUCAUUAAUCCAACGGCUUGUUAGGUUGUCCUUUCAUCCAUACAGCUGCAUGCUUGUCUUCAUAUACACUGAUCUUAUCCUCUAGAUCUGUUCAGGCUGAGUGAUCUCUCACAUUUGCCAUAUCAGAAGAUUACAUGCCAGUAAUGUCAUGUGAUGACCUGUUGCUUGGUGAUGUCGAAUGCCUGGCCUUUACUUCUCUGAGCAAAUUGAUCAAACAAUUUGUUCAUUUUAUCGAACACCUUCACCAACUAACAUUUUAUUUACUUUGGAUGGUUUUUAAGUGCAUUUAAUGAUUAUUUUUGCUCCAACUUCAGAUAAACCAAACGCCAGUAUAUUAGAAGAAGAAGUUAACUGGCAGCUAACCAGGUCAAAAUAGCGACUCUAUAUAAAAAAAAUAUAUAAAAUAAAAAAAUGGGACUUUAUUUAAUUAAUUGUUGGUCUAAAGCUGUUGGUAUCCGUUGGCCACGUUUCUGAAGAGUCAUCUCAAAUCGAAAUUUUUAACGAACAAAGGACAUUGCUGCUGGCUGCCGCCCGUGAGAUAAAAGUGCUAAAAUCCAAAAUGUUCCACCAUCAUUUAUUCUAAUUUUAAUUUUCCAAUGGAAAAAAUUACAUAAUUAAAAUGGCUUCUAAUAUCAUUUCCACACCUCAAUAUGUGUCACUAUCAUAAAGUUGUUCUCAUGAUUCAUGGAAAAUUUGGAUUACAGCACCUGUACUUUCUGAUGGUUCAUUAUUUAUUCUCAGGAAUCGAGUCUCCUUACAUUACCAAACUAAUAACAAACAGGAAUCUUUUAUCCUUUCACGGUGAGAAAUUACAGUCUUCGUAUGAUCGCAGUGCCAUUAACCCACUGCCUGCUUCUUUACUUGGUUGUUGCAGUAGCAGCAGCAAGCUACAUUACCACAGACCAACAAGCUCUUCUUGCCCUGAAAGCUCAUAUAAGUUAUGAUCCAACUAAUCUUUUGGCUCAAAAUUGGACCUCAAAUACCUCUGUUUGUAACUGGAUAGGCAUUACUUGUAAUGUCAAUAGCCAUAGAGUUACAGCAUUUGGAUGAAUUUUUAUUGAAACCUUUCUGAGAAGUAGGACAUGUCAGACAUCAAAGCACUGAGAUAUCUUCAAAUAGUGGUAACCCCACUCAUCAAGGCACAAUAAAUUAUACAGAUAAAAUCCUCCACUCUUUCGUAAUCAUCGGUGUAGGCACGGUGAUGCGUCGGACAGAUAUGGGUCGGAUCCACUCCAGCUCCAUAUCAAGAUUCAUAAACCAUGACAAAAAUAGAGAAUCAUAGGUGUUGCAGAUAGUGAUGGUUGUUGAUGCACUCGUAAUUUAAAAUUUUAUUUUAUAUCUUCAAGUUCGCAUUUUAAGUGUACAUUUUUUUUUUAUUUUGUGAUCAAUAUAACUUGUCAAAUCUAUUUUUAAAUAAUUUUUUAAAACAUUUUAUUAACAAUGAUAUGAAAAUAUUCGACCCCUUUUCAUAGUAAAGUGAAUUAUUAUCCGACAAUCCAACUCAUGUUUUCAAAUUGUAAAUUGCAAAUCGUGUGUUUGCUCCUGUUAGAGUGCAAUUUAUGCACUAGUUUUGCAUUGUUUACUUCCCUUAAUAUCGAUGUUUUGCACUUAAUAAUAAUGAUUUACUUGUGUUUUACUUUUGUAGGUGCAAUUCUAUUGAUUUGUGAUAAAAUUGAGCUAUAAGAUGAUGUUUAAAGAUGAUUGUUCUCUUGGAGAAAUGAUGAGCGUCAGAAGAACUUUGUUGAUAAGGCGUGAGCGCGUGCUGUCAACUACGGGCCUGCUGUUUUUAGUUUAACGUGUUUUGUAUUUUUGGUUAUUUUUGUAAUUACGAAUUUAAUAUUUCAGAUAUUAGUAUUUUAUUUUAAAUAGAAUUCUAGAGGAGAAGAGAGAGAGAGUAUUUAAGGGAGGAAUCUAUUGUGAAAAAAGGGGAUUUUGGAUUGGAGGAAAAGAAAAGAAACCCUAGAUCUAAUUUUUCUCUUCUCUCUAUGAAGAACUAAACUUAUUUUUCUGGUUGAAGGAUAAUGAAGCUUUGAUUCAUCACUACUGUGAGAUCUUUCUUGUGCUUUAAUUGUUUUAUUGCUUUUUGGGUAUUUGUUUAUUCUCUGAAUUAUUUUCAUGAUUAUGUUUGUUAAUUAGAUAAUUGGCCACUAUUUAAUUAUCAACUUAAUCUAUUGUUAAUUAAAGGAUUUAUCGUAUGAAGAAUUUAAUGUUUGUGACAAAUAACAUAGCAGAGAGUUGUGUUGUGAGAAUAAACAAUCUAAUUUAAAUGAAUCAUCAUAUGUGUUGAUUAGGAUUUAGGUCUCUCUGGUUUUUCAGGCUGUCAAUUGAUUAAAUCCUAUGAUCGUAUCUAGGGUUGUCCAUUGAUUAGGGAAAUAUCCAACGGUCGUACCUUGGUUAUCGACUAAUUAAGGAGAGAUUGGCUAUUAGAGGGUCUCAGUAGCUAUAACCGGUCUAUUCAUAAGUAAUAAUAAUUUAUAUUUGAAUCAAUGAUCAGUAGUCGAAUCAAGCUGAGUUAAUUCCUUCAACCGGAGCUUUCUCCAAUUUGAAUUACAACUUUAAUUUGCAUUCUUGUUAUUUUAAUUUGAUUUUUAUUAUUGUCAACAAUUCCCCCAUUUUACGUUUUACGUUUCAAAAGGAUUUAAAUAAUUACCGAUCUCUGUGGACACGACCCUGCUCAAUCACUAUACACAAUUUAUUUAGAGUAGGAAUUUAUUUUUGUUGGCUUCGACAACCAUCAAAUUUUGGCACUGUUGCCGGGGAUUGGUGUCAUUUAUUUAAUCCUUUUUACGUUUUACUUGGUGUAUGAUUCGUUCUUCUCGUACAGGUACACUUUCGUUUGAUCCUGAAAUUGAGAAGAUAGCUCGCCACCUGAGACAGCAGACGAAGCGAGCUAAGCAACGAUCCUCGUCACCUUUGCUUUCUGAAACAGAUACGGUGCUUGAUUUAGUUGAAUCAUCUAGCGAUUCGGAAGAACAAGUGAUGGAUAGAGUUGCACCUGUAGAAAGAACUCUUAGAGAGUUAGCUGAACCAGACUUGAAUCAACAACCACUCUGCAUUCAAUAUGUAGACUUGGAGGUAAAUUUUGAAUUAAAGUCUGGUCUUAUUCAUUUAUUACCCAAGUUUCGUGGUUUUGCAGGUGAAGAUCCUCAUAAACAUCUUAAGGAGUUUCAUGUUGUGUGUUCAAGUAUGAGGCCACAAGGCGUGACUGAAGAGCAGAUUAAGCUGCGUGCUUUUCCGUUCUCUGUAGAUGGGCUAGCUAAAGACUGGUUGUACUACUUGCCUCCUGGAUCGAUUACAACGUGGAAUGGUUUGAAGAAGCAAUUCCUCGAGAAGUACUUUCCUACUUCAAGAGCUGCCAACAUCAGAAAAGAUAUUUGUGGGAUCAGACAACUUCCUGGGGAGACUUUGUAUGAGUAUUGGGAGCGAUUUAAACAAUUGUGUGCCAGCUGUCCUCAGCAUCAGAUUUCUGAUCAACUUCUUAUUCAAUAUUUUUACGAAGGACUGUCAUUGAUGGAUAGGAGUAUGAUAGAUGCUGCUAGUGGAGGCGUGUUGGUGAACAAGACCCCUACUCAAGCAAGGGAGCUGAUAUCAAAUAUGGCUGCCAAUGCACAACAAUUUGGCAGCAGGCAAGAUCCCACUUCAAGGAAGGUAAAUGAGGUAAAUAUUUCUUCUGUUGAACAACGUUUAGAUAAACUUACUUCUCUUGUGGAAAAGUUUGUUGUAGGUAAUGUGCAACAUAUGAAGACUUGUGGCAUUUGUUACAAUAUGGGUCAUUCAAUUGAUAUGUGUCCUACACUUCAAGAAGAACCCGUUGAACAAGCCAAUGCAAUUCAAGGAUUUCCAGGCAUGCCUCAGAGGAGGUAUGAUCCUUAUGCACAAACAUACAAUCCGGGAUGGAAGGAUCAUCCCAACUUCAGCUAUGGAGUUAGGCCGUCAGGAUUCCCACAACAGUAUCCACCAAGACAACCAGCACCUCCACAGUCAAACUCCAAGUCAGGUAUAUCUCUUGAAGAAAUUGUUAAAUCACUUGCGACUAACACUCAACAAUUUCAGCAGGCAACUACAGCAAGCAUUCAGAAUUUGGAGAACCAAAUGAGUCAAUUGGCGAUUACAGUGAGCCGUCUGGAGUCUCAAGUAUUAGGGAGAUUGCCUUCACAAUCUGAGGUGAAUCCAAAGCAAAACAUUAGUGCUGUCAUCCUUAGAAGUGGGAAGGAGUUGCAAGAGCCUAGUAAGAAAGUGACAAAGCAUGUAGAAGAUGAGUUUGAGAAGAAUGAAUUGAUGCCUCAAUCUCAAGAUGUGGAACCCACCAGAGCGAAACCCCUACCUAUUGUGAUACCUCCUCCUUUUCCAAGCCGGUUUGCAAAAUCCAAGAAGGAGGAACAAGAGAAAGACAUCCUUGAGACAUUUCGCAAGGUUGAGGUAAAUAUUCCUUUAUUAGAUGCUAUAAAACAAAUACCUCGAUAUGCUAAAGUCCUUAAGGAACUGUGCACCUCCAAGAGAAAAUUAAGAGGAGAUGAAAAAGUUCACAUGGGGGAGAAUGUUUCAGCAGUUCUCCAAAAGAAACUACCUCCUAAGUGCAAGGAUCCAUGUAUGUUUACUAUCCCUUGUAAAAUUGGUAGUGUUAGAAUUGAAAAGGCUUUGUUAGAUCUAGGAGCUGCUAUUAAUGUCAUGCCUCGUUCCAUUUAUUCAUCUUUAAAUUUGGUCCAUUAAAAGAAACUGGCGUGAUAAUUCAACUAGCUGAUAGGUCUAAUGCAUAUCCUGAUGGGGUAUUAGAAGAUGUCUUAGUACAAGUUAAUGAGUUGGUUUUUCCUGCUGAUUUUUAUGUACUUGAUAUGGAAGAGGAUAACUCCUCUAAUUCUGUCCCAAUUUUGCUAGGAAGACCUUUUCUUAAGACUGCUAGGACUAAAAUGGAUGUACAUAAAGGGACUCUUACUAUGGAGUUUGAUGGAGAGGUUAUAGAAUUCAAUAUGAAUGAUGCCAUGAAAUAUCAUAGUGAGGAACAUUCGGUAUUUUCUGUAGAUGUUAUUAACCCGAUAGUGCAGGAAGUUAUUUACAAGGAAAAAACGACGACAUUUCAUGAUAGAAUGAUUUUGUGAAAGGAGUUCUCUGUUGGUCAAAAAGUUCUUCUUUUUCAUUCUAAGCUUAAACUUUUUUCGGGUAAAUUACGUUCUUGCUGGGUUGGACCUUUUAUUGUUACUAAUAUUUUUCCUCAUGGUGCAGUUGAGAUUCGGAGUCCGACCUCUGACAAAGUUUCUAAGGUUAAUGGUCAUCGCUUAAAACCUUUUUAUGAAGGUUUUUCGGUGAAUAUUGUGGAGGAUGUGGCUCUCGAGAGUCCCAAUUAUGGAGAUUGAUGCAUAAAUGUGUCUAGCCAAAGACAUAAAACAAAGGCGCUUUUUGGGAGGCAACCCAAAUGAUUUAUUUAUUUUGGUUUUUGUUAUAUCUUCUUUUAAUUUUGAUUCUUUUUUUUUUUAAUGUGUUUGCUUAUUUUGGUCAGAAUAAAAUUUUUGAUAAGGCGUGUCCACGUCUUAACUAAUAAGUACUUCUGUGAUUUUUAAAGUAAAAUGGUUUUAAGGUGUGCCCACGUGCUUAUUAAAAAAGUGCAUCUGAAAUUUUUGUUGUCUCAAAGUGAUUCAUCACAAAAAUAAAAAAAAAAUUAUUUAUUUAUUAUUUUUUUUUCUAUUUAUUUUUUUUUAAAAAAACGAAAAAAAAAGGAGAUUUUCUUUUGUUCUUUCUUUUAUAUAUUUAUUUAUUUAUUUAUAAAAAAAAUUCAAAAAAUCACUGUUAAAAAAAAAAAUUUACUGUUCAUAAAAUCCCUAAUUUUCCAGAACUUGUUUUCUUCUCCAACCGCUUGCAGCACACCAGCAGCAAAGCAGCCCGCCGGAAAACGCACCACCCCGCGCGCGCAGCACCAGCAUCGAGCACCAUCCCGCGAGCGCAGCACCAGCAUUCUGUGUCUCGCAGCCCAGCAGCGCGCAACGAAGUCCCACCAGCGCGCAACGCAGCCUCACCAGCGCGCAACGCAGCCCCAACGCACAGCAAACGAGCACGCCCCGCAACGCAGAUCCGCAGCUCUAGCCCGCCCGCGCAGCGCAAAUCAAUCCAGCCAUCACCAUCGCGCAGCGCAUCGGUCCCGCGCGCGCAACGCAACGCAGCAUCAGCAUCCCACGUCCAGCGAGCAGCAACCCGCGCGCGCAGAUCUAGUCUUCGCCCAGCAGCGCGCAGAACCAGCGUCAGCCUAGCUCUCGCGCGCAACACAGCCCACGCAGCACGCAGAUCUAGUAGCCCCAGCGCGCGCGCACAACACAAUCAGCGCCAUCCCGCGUCCAUCAAGCAAGCUCCAGCCGAGCAGCAAUCGCAACGCAACCAACGUACGACCUAUAUUCCAGCUGGAUAAAUCGAAAUCCGUGAGUGCAAUUAUUGUAACAAUGCCGAAGAGAAAAGCAUCAACUUCCAAGUCAUCUAAAAAGACACCCGUCGCAAAUAAAUCCAAGAUUGCCGGUCCCACUACGGUUCCUUGGAACACAAUUUCAGAUUCACGCCAAGCCGUGAGACAAAGCUCGAAACAUGGAAAAGGCAUGAGUGUUUUGCCACUUGCAGAAUCCAAUCUUGGAGGGUGCCUCGCAUUCGCGACUCAACAAGAGAAAGAGAGGUACAAAGAUAUUUUCACGCACAAAAUACUUCCAGCUAAGUAUAUUCCUUACCUGACUCUUGAAAAAUUGAAUGUUAAGGAUAAUUUUGAUUCUUUGAUAGAUAAGAUUGGGUUGCGUAAGUUUGUUGAUGUUGAUUGUUUGGGUUAUGUUGAGUUGAUUAGGGAGUUUUAUGCUACUUUUCAAUUUAAUAUGUCGAAUGAUUUUACUUUGCAUACCCCGGAUGUCAUAAAGUUUAGGUUAAUGGGACGAAAUUUUUCACACUCUAUCACGGAUUUUAACCUAGCUUUAGGAUUCAUUGAUGAUGAUUAUUCUUCUAGUGAUGCAUAUUUAGGAACAACUUGUGACUUUAGCGAAAAUUUUGAGCCUUAUGGUCUUUGCCGUAAUUUAUCUGUUGAUCACAAUGCUUAUGACCCAAGUAAAUCAAAGAGUUCUUUCUUACGUGAUCCUGUUUUGAAAUGUGUGCAUCGAUUCUUAGCAUAUAAAUUUUUAGGCAAGAAAGAUCACUCAGGAGUUUUCUCUAAAACUGAAUUUUAUUUUAUCUGGUGCAUGUUAAAUGAUGUGAGGCCUAAUUUAGGUUUUUGGUUAGCGGAUUAAUUUCAAAGUGUGCUUAAACGGUAUAUGACUUUAUUUCUUGGUCCAUACAUUACUCUGUUAGCUGUAAACCUACCUAUGUGUGCUUGAUCUUGACAAUAAUGAUUUGCAUCUUGCUUGAUUUUUGGAUAUGUCUGAGUUUGAAAGAACAGGUGUGGUCGAAUUCAAGGAGGGGAGAUUUCAGUUUACUGAACCAGCACCCACUCAACCUCCGAAGAAGCUUUAUGCUAGAAGUGGUGCUACCUCUGAUGACGAGUUUGACGACGACACUGCUGCCCCGCCAACUAUUCCUUCUACAUCCGCACCACCUUUGAGCAUUCAGUUAGAGAAAAUGGAGCACAAGCUGCACAAGAUGGAGCAGAAUUUGGCCGCACACUUCGAGAGUGUGGGAUUUACCCCACCAUUUCCGCCAAGCCCAUAGACGUUAUGUGGAUCAAAGUUCACAAUUCAGGGAAGUUUCUUUUUGCCCUUAAUCUUUUAUCCUUACGCUUUAAUUUUUGUGUGAGCUUUGAUUAUCUUACAUUGGGGACAAUGUAAGUUCUUGGUGUGGGGGAGGGAUUUUUGCAUUAUUGAUGUCUGAAAUUAUUGUUUUCACUCUACUCAUCCUUAAAUGAUUUUGGAGUUAGUAUGCUUUAUAUAUUAUUAAUUUUCUUUUCCUUUCUCUCUCACUACUCUUUUCCCAUCUAUCUCAAAUUAUUUACAUCUAUUUUUUUUUCUAUCAUACUCUUUCAUCACUCACAUUUUAUCUUUCAUUUUUUUUACUACAUACAUCUUUCUCGCUUAUUAUCCUUUUUACCUUUCCUUUUAUAUCUCACUCAUACCUUCUUCUCAUUCUACACCACUAUUGAUGGUUGAUUCGUUUGAAGAGUGUACAGGAUUUGAUGGCAAAUUUACCAACUUUGUGAGGAUUUAAGCCUAUGAGCAACCACUUUGCUCUAAUUAUUUUUUGUUAUGUGAAUAUCAAUCCUAGUUUGUUUAUUCUAGAACUUGCUUUGUUAUGCAUGUUGAAGCCACAUUACGGGAUUUUAUGCAUUAAAAUGAUAAGGGCAAACCCUUUUCUAUUUUUCUAUUCUCCCAUUUUUUUUUCUCUAUCCGAAGACCUUUAUUUGCUAUCUUGGUUUGAGCCUUAACCAUUACCCAUCUAAUUCUCUCCGUCUACUUAACCAUUUUUCUUCUUUUUGAGCCUCAAUUUAAUGAGAUUUUUUUUGGACUCAUUGUGUGGAUAUAUUUUGUUGCUUUUUCUACCUUGUAUUAAAGUUUCUCAAUUAGAUCAACAAGCAUUAUGCUUGAAUUGAAUUGUGCAAGGUUCGUUUCUUUUGUUUGAUUCAAAAACAAAAAAAAAAAGAAAAAGAAAAAGAAAAAGAAAAAUCGAAAAAAAAAGAAAAAAAAUGUUUACAUUCUUGGUGACAUGAGUAGAAAUAAGCAUUUUGAUAUCAUAAGUUCAUUCAAUGAGUUCAUUCUUCUCAUUUUGAUCUCUUUUUCUUUCGUAAACCUUUCUUUUUCAUUCAACCUAUUUAACCCCAUUACAACCCUUUUAAGACCCUUAGAUUUUUGCAUUUUAUUCAUGUUUUGUGGAUUGAGAUGUGAUAUAUGAGCAAGCUUAUGGUAAUAGCAUUCUUUGAUUUGAUUUGAGUGAAUAAAUGACACCCUAAAUACUUUGAGUGCAUGGAGUGAAGUUAUUGAGAGGGCUAUUAAAUAUUGUUGCACUUGAAUUUUGAAUGGAUCUUCUUGGUGGUUGAAUGUUCUUAUUCUAUCUUAUGAAAUUCUAUGCUUUAAAAUCCUUGUCUCUAGAAUGUUGAUCGACUUAAUUUCUUGAGGUAUGCUUGCCUAAAAUUGUUUUUGGAUGAGUUGAGAUGAGAAUUGAGUGGAACUUUGGGAUUAAUCUUGAGUUAUAUGCUUGAGGACAAGCAUCAUCUUGGUGUGGGGGAAUUUGUUAGAGUGCAAUUUAUGCACUAGUUUUGCAUUGUUUACUUCCCUUAAUAUCGAUGUUUUGCACUUAAUAAUAAUGAUUUACUUGUGUUUUACUUUUGUUGGUGCAAUUCUAUUUAUUUGUGAUAAAAUUGAGCUAUAAGAUGAUGUUUAAAGAUGAUUGUUCUCUUGGAGAAAUUAUGAGCAUCAGAAGAACUUUGUUGAUAAGGCGUGGGCGCGUGCUGUCAACUACGGACCUGCAGUUUUUAGUUUAACGUGUUUUGUAUUUUUGGUUAUUUUUGUAAUUAUGAAUUUAAUAUUUCAGAUAUUAGUAUUUUAUUUUAAAUAGAAUUCUAGAGGAGAAGAGAGAGAGAGUAUUUAAGGGAGGAAUCUAUUGUGAAAAAAAGGGAUUUUGGAUUGGAGGAAAAGAAAAGAAACCCUAGAUCUAAUUUUUCUCUUCUCUCUAUGAAGAACUAAACUUAUUUUUCUGGUUGAAGGAUAAUGAAGCUUUGAUUCAUCACUACUGUGAGAUCUUUCUUGUGCUUUAAUUGUUUUAUUGCUUUUUGGGUAUUUGUUUAUUCUCUGAAUUAUUUUCAUGAUUAUGUUUGUUAAUUAGAUAAUUGGGCACUAUUUAAUUAUCAACUUAAUCUAUUGUUAAUUAAAGGAUUCAUCGUAUGAAGAAUUUAAUGUUUGUGACAAAUAACAUAGCAGAGAAUUGUGUUGUGAGAAUAAACAAUCUAAUUUAAAUGAAUCAUCAUAUGUGUUGAUUAGGAUUUGGGUCUCUCUGGUUUUUCAGGCUGUCAAUUGAUUAAAUCCUAUGAUCGUAUCUAGGGUUGUCUAUUGAUUAGGGAAAUAUCCAAUGGUCGUACCUUGGUUAUCGACUAAUUAAGGAGAGAUUGGCUAUUAGAGGGUCUCAGUAGCUAUAACCGGUCUAUUCAUAAGUAAUAAUAAUUUAUAUUUGAAUCAAUGAUCAGUAGUCGAAUCAAGCUGAGUUAAUUCCUUCAACCAGAGCUUUCUCCAAUUUGAAUUACAACUUUAAUUUGCAUUCUUGUUAUUUUAAUUUGAUUUUUAUUAUUAUCAACAAUUCUCCCAUUUUACGUUUUACGUUUCAAAAGGAUUUAAAUAAUUACCGAUCUCUGUGGACACGACCCUGCUCAAUCACUAUACACAAUUUAUUUAGAGUAGGAAUUUAUUUUUGUUGGCUUCGACAACCAUCAGCUCCAUUACAGAGUUUCAUCAAUUUGAAAUAGAGAAUCAUUUGUGUUCUAGAUUAAUCGAGGGUCUAUAUCCAAAUCUAAAAAUUGACUAACUUGGUUUCUAUUAAAUUCUUAAUCCUAACAAGAAAAAUAGAAGAUUAAAAAUGACUAAUUUGGUUUCUAUUAAUUUGAGUAACGAUCGAAUUACCUCAUUUAUUAAGAUUUAUCAAAAUCCUAUGUCAAAAUCCAUUAAUAAUAUAGGUUGGAUGAUGAAAUAGUCACUUAUUAUUAUUUUUGACUUCAUAAAUAGAUGAACGGAUGUUAUUUUUGGAUUCUGGAGAAUCCAAAAUAUCAGGAUAUGUGAUAAAUGGAAUUAAGUUGUAGAUAAGAUAGAAAUGGAUUUGGAGAGAGAUUGGAAUCCUGGGUAAUCCGGUGUACGUUGUUGUGUUGAAUGCUCGUUGACUUCACGUUGACUGACACAUUAUUGGAAGAAGUGAGCAAGCUUAUUUUCUUCUCUCAUUUUUAAAUUUGUCUAAGUUUAUUGAUGUGAGGCCUUUGAGAUUGUAAGUUUCAAAUCUGAGAAGAAUAACCACACACCCAUUAAUAAAUUUGUGAGGAUUGUGAGGGUUGAUGCAAUAUAAUUUAGAUGCAAAGUGUUUACAAGUACGAUGCUUCAUAAGUGUUCUUCAAUCAUUAUAAACUCACGUUAUUUUUAUAAUGAUUGUUUCAUCUGCACAUGGAUAUAAUCAUAUGUUGAGAUUUUUUCCUAAAUUAUGGUCUUAUUUGGUAUUGAGGUGUUAGAUCUUUUAAGAUACAAUUACUAUUGGAAAAAAUAGUGCAACUAUGAAAUAAAAGUUAAUAUUGUGUACUAAUUAUAAUUGUUAAAUAAUAAUUUUGACAAAAUUAGUGAAGAUAUAUAGUUUUUUUUUUAUCAUAUAAGUAUAAAAUCAAAUCAACUUAACUUCUAAACUAUAUAGCAGCUACUGCUUACCAAAUAUUUUAGUGCUGUAGCUUUUAAGUUAUAACUGCCUAACCUCAGUCUCAAACAAUGGCUAUAAAGAUCAAAGAUUUCCUCAUAAAAAUUAUACGUCUUGUGAUUGCUUAUUUAAUUUAUAUUUUUUUAUUUAUCUUUAUUAAUUACAAUCAUCUUUUAAUAAAUUACAAUUGGAGGAAGUUGAUGUUCGAAGUGCUUAUGUCGACUCGAAGUUGUUGGGAAUUAAUGCAUGUAUUGAUUUAUUGGGAGUGUUUAAAUGAUUUUGUGAUUUACUUGAUUGAUUGAUUGAAUAUUGUUUGAUUACUUUGUAUCCAUUCUAGAAAGUUUAUUUCUUUGUGAAAUUUCGACAAAAUAUGUUUUUCUUUUUAAAUAAUAAGGGUGUUUUAAGUAAUUUUUAAAAAUAAAUGGACUAACUAGAAUUAAUUAUUAGGUAACUAACUCGAACUGUACAAGGUAAGCGAACAUUUAUGCUGAUUAUAUCAUGAUAAAUCAUUUUCCGAUUAGAAUUAGGAAACCAUUAGCAUAUUGACUUUUUUUUUUUUUUUUUUCAAUCUCCCUUUGCGAAAACGGAUUACAGAAUUAGAAAACAAUCCUAAUGAUAUUAUUGUUAGGUUUAAAACACGGCAUAGAUAGUCAAAAGCUAACUAGUCUGCAGUAAUUUGUUAAUUGCUAUCGCCUCUCCAUGCGUGGUGAAUAAUUUGUUGCAUGCAAACUUUUUCCAUUUUAAAUAAACACAACGCGAUGUUUAUCUGCUCCGCGUUUUGCAAUCUGUUUAUUCGUUGUUUAUUUGCUUCGUAAGUCCUCAAACUUUGAUAACCAAAAAUUUCACCAAACUAUGAAAAUUAUUCUGCAGGUUAGUUUUUAUUUUCGGAAUAAUUAUUUGAGAAUACUAAAACACAAUAUAAAAUAAGAAAAUAGGGGGUUAAAAUUUGAAAAAAAAAAACAAAAGGGCAUGUUGGAUAGAUUACUGUGGUUUAAGAAAAAAAAUUAUUCAGUUGGGAAUUUUUUUUCUUUAAUUUUUGUUUUACUUAAUUGAGAUUUCUCCUUAAUCCUUACAGUUUUAAAUUUGGAUAACAUAGGAUUAGUAAUUUAGUACUUCCUUUGCAAGCUGAGGUUAAGGAUGAAAUUCUUUUAAGAAAAAAAGAUAAAAGAGCAUAACAAUAGUCAAUUAUAAAUAACCACAAAUAAAUACAAACAAAAUGUUUAUGAAGUAAAUUAAAAAUGCACAUAUUAUUUUUUAUUUUAUUUCUUACUAAUCUGUGUAUUUGCUGCUUGAAAAACCAUAAAUACACAGAUGACCAUUGGCUUCGCACCAUUUAAUCGGGAUACAUUUCUACGUACAAACUGAACAAGGCUAUUGAUUUUUAUUUAUUUAUAAAUUACUAUUUCAAUUUUCACUUUUUAUUGGGUUGUUUAAUGGAUUAGUGAGGCUGGUGGUCGUUGAUGCACUCACAAGGUACAAUUUUGUUUUCAAAUUUCAAAUUCGUAUUUUAAAAUGCAGCACAUUAUGCAUACAUAAUUAUUGAUUUUCAUAUGUGGGUGUUUUGAAAUAUUGCUAAAAGGCCAAACUUUAAUAAACUAUUUUUGAUCCUUUUUUGUUUCUUUUUUCCUAAAGUUUGAGUGAUAUCCGCAUUUUUAAAAGCUAAUGUAUGCAAAAAAUUCUUUCAUUUUUCUGGGGAAAAUAGGUAAGAGAAAAAGUUUUGGCAAAUGAGCUGCAACUGAAUUCAAAACCAAUACGAUGCGAGCAUAGGAAAGAGGUCAGUGUUUUGGAUUUGAAUUUAAAGAGGUCAGUGUUUUGGAUUUGAAUUUAGUAUUGAGCUGAAUUUUAUGUUUAACACAUGAUUCUAUUAUAGUACUGCGAUUAAUAAGCUCAGCCCCGGAUUUGCUUUUGCUUUUGCUUUUACUUCAAGUGAAAGAAAGAGGAAACCUUUUGUUUUUUCUUUGGUUUUUGACUAUGUUACCUAUACAGAGAGUCAAGAUAUCAGCCAUAAGUGAUGGUGUUAAAAAGAUUAAGCAGCGCACACAAUCUUACUGCUGUCUAGACGAUCCAAUGAUGACUCCAGUCUUUUGGUUACAUUAGCUUUAGUUGAAAUAAGGGCCAAUUUAGCAAACACUAGCUUUGGUGGCUUAUUAUGUUUAAUGUAAUGCUUAUUCUUAAGGAAUCUAAUGUAUAUAAGAUGAUUGAAUGAUCUUCUAUGAUUGUGAGUAGUAUAGGAUAAUUGAAAAGAGUCUGGUGUUAAAGGCUUACAGUUUUAAGCCUUUUAAACCAUGCGAUUUUAAAGUUUUACCGGAUUUUCCCGCACUUUAAAAUUUUAGACUGAAACAUUUUUGUAUAUAUAUACAUAAAAAUAUAUAUAUAUAAAUAUAUAAAUUAAGAGGGAUGAGUUAACUGAAGAUUAUAAUCAUUACAACAAUGCUGAUGAGUGAUACAUCACUUGAAAUUUACUUGUCAGUUGCUGAAAUGAUGAAAAAAAAAAUAAACAAUAACAGUGAUAAUGUUCUCUUGCUGAAAUGACUUGUAUAUUAUACAAUCCACUCUACUUAAUGAUAUCGUUUUAAUAAAUGUUUGAUGAUCUCCAUUUAAAAACUACUUCAAUUUUUUUCUUCAUUUAAGUUUUUGGUUGUUGAAAAUAACCUUAAUUAUCAAAUAAUUGGAGAAAGAGUAAAGAACAUUUAACAAAUUUAUGUGCAAAAAAAAAAAAGGGAGAAGUUGAAGAGAAAGGGUGCUUGCAGAAGUAGGUGUCAAAGAUAAAUCGGUCCAUAGGAAUUAUUUUGGUUAUUUUUUAGCAAUAGAAAAAUUUUUUAGCAAGUAAAAAUUAAUUUUUUUCCGCUUUACUAAAAAAUUAACUAAAAACUUAUGCGAUAGCAUUUUUUAUGGGUGCAUAUACUUCCCUUUAAAAAAAAUAUAAUAAUUAAUGCUUAAUAUAGUAUUAAAUACGAAAAUAUCAAUAUUUGACUACUCAAAUGUAUAUCAUUAGGUCCUUAAAAUUUAAAAUUGAAGAUACAAAAGGUAAUAUAUAUAAAUUUCAUUCUCAUGGGAAAGGAUCAUCUUAUAAUCUUAUAAUAUUUGAGCUUUGAAAGAUUUUUUUGAAACAAAUGUACUUUUAUUUGUGUACAAUCAAUAUGUACUUAUUUAUUAUAUUUUUAUUUAUUAACUAUCAAUCAUGUGAGUAUAUUUAGUCAGAAAAAUUAUAUCAAGAGAGAACCCUAAUUUCACGUAAAGACAAAUACAAGACAAAUAUGGCAAUUUCUAUACUAUUCACUUUCCUGUAAAAUCAAUUAUCUAAAAUGCAAGUUUGUGGCUUCAAAAAACUCGCCAAAGAAAGAAGAUAAUAGCAAUUGAGCAUUGAUAGCAAAUCUAAUGCAUCCAAUUCUUCUUAACUUGAUGAGUGACGUGAAUGCUACCAGUCUGUGACACCCAAAUUUUUAUUAUUUUAUUUAUUUUUUUAAUGGAAUUUGUAAAUGACGUUUUUGCCCUUAUAAAAAGGGUUAUUCAUGGAAUAAUUUUUAGGAAAGGGUUAUUUUUCCAAAUUCAAUAGGGUUUCUUAAGACUCCCUAUAAAUUCAUAUUUUUCUCCUUUCAUAACCCUAAAAGCACGACGUUUCUUCUUUUUCUAUACUGCUCAUUACACUCUUACCCAAACCCUAAGAUUCAAACCUUUGGUUAAGAGAGAAUCAAAGCGAUUGGUAAGUUUAUUCCCCUUAUUCUCUACAAGAUUCCCAAUCACUCUAUCUAGGGUCUAUAUUGGCAUGAUUUUAGAUUGUUAUAGAUCAUAAUACAUGAUUUAGAAUGUGUUUAGGCUUUGUUUAGAGUUUUGAUUUAUUAUGAGUUUAGUUAAUCAACCUUGACGUAUUAAGCACAUAGAAUAGUUCCAUAGAAUAUUAUGUUAUUCUAAGUUUUAGAUUAAGAGUUAAAAUUCUAAGCAUCAGACUUGUACGGGUACGAAUUAGAAAAAUCGGGUUCUUAGAAUAAGUUAUUAAUUGUCAUAUCUUGUAUUUGUUUAAGGUGAUUGAGGCUCUUAGAGGGUUAGAGGUGUGUUAAUUCAAAUUCUUUUGUCGAGGUAAGUAACUUCAUUCCUAAUGUACUGGAUAUAUAUAUAUAUAUAUGAUUAUUUUGAUAUUAUUAUAAGUACACAAAUUUUUUUACUACUUAGAAGAUUAAUUGAUUUUCAUAACAAAAUCAGUUUGUGUAAAUGUUUUCAAACCUAAAUUCCUUUUAAUAAAUUAUUUUGUAAAGGCUUUUAAAUAUGUAAGUUAUUUUAUGACAUGACUACCUUUUAUAAUUUUGUCUAUGAAAUAUUUGCAAGCCUAAAUUGUGGUUAUGGACUUUCAUGAAACUAAUACGAAUGUUUUGUACCUAUGUAUGAUUUCAAUUAUUUAUGAUUGUACGGGGGCCACCUCUUGGGACUAUAUGGGGGCCACCUCUUGAAAUUCAAAGCAUCACAAAAGUGCCACGUAUAAGUCAUUAUGUUUUGGCUCAUUAUCUGUAGUUAUUCUGAUUCUGAUUCUGAUGGUAUAAUACAAUAUAUGUCUGUUCUGGACCAGUACUAGGUUUUUGUUUUGAGUGUGCACAUGAUAUUCUGACUCUGUUUCUGGCCGGGUCACUAGGACUAUAGGUGACACUAUGUGACAUGAGCUAACCUUUUGUUUUCUGUGAAUGUGAUAUAUGAUUUGCUUUUGUAAAUAACUAUGCUUUUGAUAUUCUGAGUUACAAUGAAUUUAAAUUAUUUUAUAGUGAUAUAUCGUUUUAUGAAAUUUAUGGAUUAUGAUAUAUGUUUUAAUUAAAAGAAGGCUUGCAAUAUUUUUGGUAUUGAUAGGUCUAGUGUGUUAGGAAUAUUUUUACUUACCGAGUUGACGGCUCACCCCUCGUCAUUACUUUUUGCAGAUUAAGUUUCUUUUGAGAGCUGCGCUUAGCUUUGGAGUUAGUAAUUUUCUGUUUCCGUUUGCCAUUUGAAUAAGAGGAGAAAUAAACUCAUGUUUCUAUUUAGUUUAUUUAUGUUAUGAAUGUGUAAUUUGGAGUUUGAGACUUUUGUUAUUUUUUUUAUGUCCUCGGGAGAGAUUAUUUAGUAUUAGACGUUUGAAUUUGUGGAUUUAUUUGAAUAAGAAUUUGAGGUAUUUCAGUUUGAAACUUAUGAGUAAAGAUUAUGAUUUGUAAGUAACAUCCUUCUUCACGUGCUCCGCACGUGUUAGAUUUGGGGUGUUACAAUUGUGGUAUCAGGGCAUUAGGUUUGGGAUUCUGUAAACUUUAUUUGAGGCUAGAUUUCUUAAGCACAAUCAAUUAGUUCAAUGGUAUUGCUUGCCAUGAGGUUAUCGGAAAGAGUAGAUCUUUAAGGCGAGGAGUAAUUUUGGUCUUUUUGAUUUUCUAGUUGCUUGUGACUUUGUAAUAACUCCUUGAUAUAGGAUUUUGGUAUUAACGUAGAAUGAAAUAUUUGUUUGCUCUUGUUGUCAAUUACUAACUUUUCUCAAUUAUACUAUUUACUCAGUACUUUGUGCUAUAGCAAGCCCUUUAACUAUGAAUUAUUUACCAUUUUAUUUAUUUAUUUAUUUUUAUUCUUCGUGUUAUAGUCAAAAGAUGUCACGUAGGGGAGGUGCUAGGCAUGCCUUUAGCUCGAGAGAUGUUUUAGGUAUCGUUGAUGACGCUGACCUAACCUUGCGCGAGAUGGCUAACGAAGGGAAUCCUAUGAUGCGCGCAAUGGUUAGAUUGAUGGAACAACAAAGUAAGUUGAUUCAAGAUAUGGCUAGAGGUAAAGUUGGGGCACAUGAGAUUGUGCCAGUUGAAAGACAAGGUGGUGGAAGAGAUCAGGGAGGUAUGAUGAGCUUAGAGCGGUUUAGGAAAUUGAGACCACCUACCUUUCAGGGGGCUGCCAAUCCUAUGGUUGCAGAGGCAUGGCUAAAACAGAUGGAGAAGAUAUUUAUGGCUAUGGGUUGUAAUGAUGAUUAGAGGGUGAUAUUGGCCUCAUUGGUCCUUUAGGGUGAGGUAGACCACUGGUGGGAUGCCAAAUCCCGUCUUUUGAGGGCCGGGUUGCAAGAUGCACCUAUUACUUGGGAGUUAUUUCUGAAGGCUUUUCAUGAAAAAUAUUUUCCUGAACGAGUUCGACAUCAGAUGGAGGCUGACUUCCUGAAAUUGACUCAAGGAACAAAGCAUGUUGCGGAGUAUGAGGAGCAAUUUACUGCUCUAUCUCGUUUUUCUCGUACCUUAGUUGCUAAUGAGGGUAGUAAGUGUAGGAAAUUCUUGGAAGGCUUACAUCCAAACAUAAAAAGACGGUUGACCAUCCUUAAGCUUAAUAAUAAUGCCCAUUUGGUGGAUAGUACGAUUAUUGCAGAGAGGGAUAUAAUUCAAUCUCAAGUUGCACGAUCUAAUCGACAUAAUAACCAGCCAAUAAAACAUGAUAGUAAUGGUAGUGAAGGUGAACAUAAGUGCACUCUAAUGGUGGGUCUAUUCAAGAGAACAAACCAUUCUGUAAUCGUUGUGACAAGUACCAUAAUGGCACGUGUUAUUUAAAGAUAUGAGCUUGUUUUGGCUAUGGACAGAUUGGGCAUAAGGUUAUAAAUUGCCCAAAAAAGCACAGUGGUAACAUAGAUUCUGCCGAGAACCAAAGGAAAAAGCCACGUGUCUUCGCCAUGGUGGAGCAAGAUAUUAAAAAACCGAAUAACGAAGCCUCAGGUGCAUUACCUAUUUUCCAUAGAAAGCCUUGAAUUUUUGAGUAAUUGGUAUUGUGCUUUUCCUCCAUCCUUUCUUAUUGGAUGCAUCGUAGCUAGAGUUUUUAGCCUAAUAAUCACUACUAGAAAAAUAGGCUUUACUGACGCUAAAUUAGUGUCAGUAAUUACUUUUCCUGACACUUAUUAAUUGUGUCAAUAAUGCUCCAGCCAUAAUACACUGACACUAAUUUCUAGUGUCAGCGAUUUUUGUGUCAGUAAUUCAUGUCAUUAUGGUAUCACGAAAAUAAUGACACGAUAGCGUUAGUAUUUAAUGAUACUAUUUAUAUGUCAGUAAUUUAUGAGACUACAGUAUCAAGAGCACACUGACUCAAUAACAUCAAAAAUUACUACUGCUAUUUUAAACAUUUAGUGUCAGUAUUUAGUGAUGUUAUGGUUCUUUUGGUUAAUAGUAUACUUUGAUUUUAAUUAUAUUUUCCUAUUUGUUUUACAACUGAAAGAAAACUCAAAAUAUAUUAAAUAUACAAAAUCUCGCAACACAAUUGCAUAAGAAACAUCUCAAAUACAUCACUCAAAUUCAUAUCAUUAAACUACAUCAUUGUUUGGAAAAGAAAAAUAUAAAUACUAAAUUAAGUCUUGGACAAGCUCUUAACAACCAAGUACUAAGUUAAGAUUCAACAAAUAUUAACCAACAAAAAGAAGCACAUAAUGUCAUUGAACAUCCACAAGCGGCUUCAUUUUUCUUUUCCCACCUACAAGUACAUAAAAUCAAUUAGUAUACCACAAAAAGUAAUUCUUGAAUUUUUGGGAGAAAAAACAAUCAGGCCAAUUUCAGUGUUCAAAGAGACUAACAAAGAAUGGGGGCAAAAACAAUACAUAGCUCUCUUAGUGCAAGCUAAUUGUAAUAGGUAGUAUUGUGAAGAAUAUUUAUCUGCUAAGAAUUGAACUUGAGUGGAUUUUCCUACAGAUCUAUACACAACUCAACUUAAGAAGAAUAAAAAAAUAAAAAAAUAAAAAUCCUAAGGAUUAAGAAAGAUAAAUGGAGAUUUAUUAGUAUACAUCCAAAAUUAGAAACUCAUUAAACAAUCCAGGGGUAAAAAUUGAGGAAUAAGAAUAUAGCGUAUCUCAGGAUAAGACCAAAGACAUAAUAACAGAAACAUUUGAGGCAAACCACUACAAAGUUUUUACAUAAUAACCCAAAGCAAAGCAAACCAUUAUAAAAUUUUUACAUAAUAACCUAGAAACAAAACAGACGAAAAUUGGGCAAGUCCAUAUCCCAAACCUCUGUUAGGAAAAAUGUGUUCAGCAGACUCAUGGCUCCAACAAUAGAAAUUAACCCGUACACAAGGAAACAAAUUAAUUGAUAUAAAAAACAGUCAAAGACAAAGCCAACUAAGAAGAUUAACUAAUUUGGAGAUUGAAUUACAUAGUUAUUUUUACAAAAUAUAGCAUAAGCCCAUUGUAUUUCAUAGUAAGCAACUGCAAAAAUGCCUAGAGGCAAAUUCAUAAAGGAAGAGUAGAUAGAAGAAAAAAAAGACGAGGAAAUAAACAGCUUGAAACAAACAAAUCACCUAACACAUCAUGGGGAAUUGACUUGUUAACGUUAAAGAGCAAAAUAAAACUUGGCACCUUCAUUCGAAAAAGAACAGACGCUUACCCCUUACGGAGAAUGGCUUAGGUUUUUCUUUAGAGUUUCAGGCUGAUUUAUAAGAAUAUGAAGAAGAAAUGAUUAUGGAAGUUUGAUAGUGAUCAAGGAUUGAAUAUUGGGCUUAAAAUACAAAUUGGCAGUGAGGGCUGGUUUUCGAUCAUAAUGUUGAGAGACCACUAAUUCCCAAUACUUGUACCCUCUCACAGAAAAAUCCAAAUUUAAUAAACAUGAACUAAAUCCAGUGUAUUGAGUGUUAUUAUUUAAUGGAACAUAAAAUCUCUGGGUCAAAUAAUUCUAAAGUUAAACCAACAAUAAUCCCAAAAGCUAUAGUUGAUAAGAAAGGCCCAACAGUAUACUUCUAUCACACAAAAUUUGAAGAUAGAAAAAAGAAGGGCCUUUUUGUUUUUUAACUGAAACUGAAAAAAGAUUCAGUAUUAACAAUUCAUAAAUUUUAAAGACGUUGGUUUUCCAUCUUAACACUGAAAACUUGGUGUUUAUAUAUCCGAAUAUAAUUAAGCCAAAAAUUUUAAUUUAUCACUAAAUAGGAAAACAACUAAAUAAGCUGCAUAGUUUUAUUUUCCAAUAAAUGCUUAUAAUAUUUAUUCAUUCCUUACCAUAUAAAAACCUAUCCUUCAUUAUUUAUUUAUUUUUUAUAGGAAACAGAGAAAUUAGUAUUAAUAAGAACAAUAAUUACAAAAUGUCAAAAGGGUGUCCACAAAAAAAGGCUAUUGAAGUAUCACAGACCAAUCUCCAAAUUAGGCAAGCACUCAGAUUCCAAGCUAAUACUCCAAAAAACAAAUCUAACCUCAAACUACCUGAUAAACAGCUCAAAAUGACAUAAUCCUCAACAUUCUUCAGACUAAUUGAUCAUGCAUCAAGGUAUGUUGGGAUCUACAAAUACAUUGAAAAGAUCUUUGCAAAUAACAGUACAACUAGAAAGCUUGGUGUUUACAUUCUUGAAAAUUCUUUUUAUUGCUGACAAUAGAAAGGGAUUCCUUUUUCUGCUUAUUUCCUAAAAAUACUAAUAUAUGCUGCCCCACUAUACUCACAAGUAAUCUUACACAAAUGCUCUUUAGACAAGAUUAGUAUUUGCUACCUUUCACCCCAAUUACAAAACCAUAGAAACUCACCACCUAGACAAAUUUUAAAUUGUCUCUAUAGUUGGCUAUUAAAAACUGCUAAAUUUGUUUGCAGCCAUGCCCAAAAAUUUCAAGAACAUUGAACACAACGUAUUAUAGGUACAAACAAGAUAAAAUGAUGUUCCAGGAUUCACUCGACAUGUCAUCCAAGGUGAUACAAAACGGUAGAACUAUAGAACUAGGACAAAACUUGCAGCAAGAUAAUGGCAAUUUCCCCCUUUCGUGUAAGAUAAUCAUAUUAUUCUUCAAAGAGAGACGCACAAAAAAAAAAUGCUUGUUGAAAACAAGCAAGCAUAUGGGUAUGAGUCUAUUGUUGUUUAUCUGUGAAUCAUGUUAAUAACCAGCCACAGAAAAAUAGUAAACAAUAGUUUUCACACAAUCGAUGCAUAUUAACACAAGCCACGGAUUAUGAUUUCACUAACCAUUGCACACAAAGGUUCCAGACCAAUUUUAGAAGGAGGUUCUACAAGUUACUUUCCUUCAACUACUUGAAAAUCAAUCAUUAACUAAAGAAAUACACAUGAAAUUAGUUUAAAUAAUAGGAAAGGUAAAGGAGACAUUUUAUAAAAACUCUUAAAUGUGGUACUAUGAUUUCCACAGACUGUGCAACAAAAAUAAAAUUGGAUGAACUAUAAUAAGUGAGAAGACAUAUUGUAAUUCUAUCAUCAAAGAAAGAUAAGCUUAAUCAUUUUUAAUUUUUUCUCAAAUAUCCAGUAGUACCUUAAGGUAAUAGGACAAGAUCGCAGAAGUUGUCAUGAAGAGUGUAAAGCACUAAAUAACAAAAAUUAUACUAAUAAAUAAAACUCAAUUUAUUUUCUCCCUCAAUCAAUUGCUUUGAGCUUACUAUGAAUUCAACUAUGAAUUUGAGGAAAAAAUACAGACCUCAGUUUGUCAACUUCUUGUUCAUGAGAUUCAGCCGCAGUAAAUGCAAACCUCCAUUUCUCGUCAAGCAUUGUUAACCUCUACGACAAAUUGAAGGUAAGAAGAUGAACAAAAUAAGUGUAAUGUGCAGGAAAAAAAAUGAAGUCUAUGGGUACAACAACACUUCAAGAUUUUUCAAGUUCUAGUUCAUUUAAAUAGACAUUCCUUGAACUUCAGUAGCAAAGAAAGUACAUUAUAGCAACAAUUUCAAUUCAUUUCAAUCUUUAGAAUUUUUUAUUUUAAAAAAAUAAAUUCCUUCAAACUAGUGAAAGGAAAAUAAAAGUGUGUUUACAGAAGAAAAAUCAUGGAAUGAAUUAAUGACCAUGCAAGUGAGGAAACACAGAAAUUUCUGAAUAAGAGCGAAACUAACCGUGCAAAUGAACAAAGAAAAUGUAAGUCUUCAAGUGCUACAACAAGCAAAACUACCUAAAAACAAGCAUUUUCUUCUUGAAUUAAAGACAAAUCAUGAACUUUGUGCAAUCUCAAAACAUUCAGACAAGCAUGAACUUAGUUAAUUCAUAUCAUAGUCAUUGUCUCUAUUAAAAAUCUUCCAACUAAAAAAAAUAAAAAAAUAAACAUGUUGGUUUCUAUAACAUAAUUUGCCUAUCUUUACAUGAAACAGAGCAAUAAAUAACACUUAAUAAUUAUGAAAUACACAGCCAUUCAAUCUAUAUAAUAUAGAAAUAAAGGAAAAAAAAGAAAAAAAUUCAAAUUACAAUUAAAUAAACAAAAAAUAGAUAUGGAAAAGAAAUCCCACCAAGACUGCACUACUGGGAGAAUUUCUCAACAUCUGCAACAACCCAUAAAAUUAAAAUUAACAAAAAACCCUAAUAAUCAUAAGCUAAAAUAAAACAAAUUUAUUAAUUAAUUUGACAAAGAAAAUAAAAUAUUAAGCCAUUACCAGCAGUUAAAGCCUUAAUCAAGGCAACCUGUUUGCCCUUAAAGUCAUUGAAAAUCUCCUUCACAGGUCUAAGUAUAAGGUGUGGUAUCCCUUCCAUAGCAAGAAAAUUAACUAAUUUCUCAAUAAUUUUAUUCAAAUUCAAGCAAAUGGGUUUUGAAUAUUGAACAAAAAAAAGUGAAAUUUGACCAUAAAAAGAAAAAAAAUUGAUAAAAGAAGCCUCGAUUACGGUUUUGGUCCGUUUUUCAAUUUGAGAAAAAAAAGGAAAAAGGGAAUAAAAGCCUCACUUAGGGUUUUAGCUUUAUAUUAUCUAUUUGAGUUAAAUGAACGAGUUUGUGAAUGGAAAGAAAAAAAAGGAAGAGAUCGAGAAGAGAAAAAGGAAAGAGAAAGGGAAAGAGAAAGGCAAGAGACAGUUUUGGGUUUGAGUUUGGGUUAGAGAUUUGUGUGUAUAAAAGACAGGGAGAUGGGGACAAUUGCUAAGUUUGGGAUAUGUUUUACUUUCGUUUUACAUGUUUUAAAUUCUUAAUUUAGUACCUGCAGUGUCGAACCACUUGAACGGAAGUGAUAGUGGCAACGGCGUGGGGGUGGGCGCAGCCAUGGGGGUUGGGCGCGGCCGUGGGCGUGGGCGUUUGGGCCUGGUCAUUCUCCAUCUUUCACGAUAGAGAAGAAGAAGUCAAGAAAGGCAAGGAAAUUACGCAGCAGCUACGACAUGGGCUCUAUUGCACAAUGGAAAAGGGGAAUUAGGGUUUGGUUUUUUAUAUGUUAAUAUUUUAUAUAACAUUGUAAUUCCAACUCAAUUUUAUGGGGUCCAGUGGUUUGCAAUCUAAACGUAAAAGUUUUGAGUUUUAGAAAUCCCAGGUUCGAGUUAAAAUCAAAACAAAUUUUAAUGAUUCUUUUUAGAUCUCUGAUGCUGAAGUAUCAGUGAUCUCUAAUAUUUAAUUUACUGAUACAUUAGUAUUAAUAAUUUGUGACAUUUAUUUGUUAAAAGUGGAAAAUGGUGCAUAGUUAGGUAAUUACUGACACUUUUUUUAAAGUGCCAGAAACAAAGUGUCAGUAAAAGUCAUUUUUGUAGUAGUGAAUUUCUUUUUUCAUCCAUUGAAUUUCUAUGGUACAUUAGUAGGAUAUGAGGUGUGAUUUUAUAAGGCCAUUAGGAUUAACUUAUGGUUGGAUGGAGUAGGGACUAAUAUGAUAUUUAGUAGGAUAUGGGAUGAAGAUUGCAAUAAAAGUGUUUCACCAGCAAUGUGCGAGCGCAUUGAAGGGUUUUGAAGUUGAAUGUGAAGUGAUAAAAAAUAUUCACCAUCGAAACCUUAUCAAUGUUAUUAUUAGUUGUUCGAACGAUGACUUCAAAGCAUUAGUCCUAGAAUACAUGUACAACGGGAGCUUGGAGGAUUGGCUGCAUUCUAGCAAUUAUGUGCUUAAUAUUUUUCCCAGGUUGAACAUAAUGAUUGACGUUGCAUCAGCUUUAAAAUAUCUCCACUUUGAUCAUUCAACUCGUAUCAUUCAUUGUGACUUAAAGCCUAAUAAUGUGUUGUUGGAUGAAAAUAUGGUUGCUCAUUUGAGUGAUUUUGGCAUAGCAAAGCUUUUAAGUUGAAGAUGAGUCUACGAUGCGAACAAAAACCCUUGCCACUAUAGGUUAUACGGCACAAGGUUUGCUUGAAACAACUUUUUUUUAGUUUAUUUUAAAAUUUCCAAAUUAUUGAUUUUUACGAUCCUCAUAUCAAAAUGUUAUUGAUUAUUUAUCUAAUUAUGAAAUAAUUUGAUUCAUAGAGUAUGGCAUAGAAGGAGAAAUAUGUGCAAAAAGUGAUGUUUACAGCUACGGGAUUAUGUUGAUGGAAACUUUUACCAAGAAAAAACCCACAGAUGAGAUUUUUGUUGGAGAAUUGAGCUUAAAGCGUUGGGUUAAUGACUUGCUUCCUAAUUCAUUAGUGGAAGUUGUGGACAAAAUUCUGCUAAUUGAAGAGGAAAAACAUUUUGCCGCAAAGGAGCAAUGUCUGUUCUCUAUCUUUAUUUUGGCACUAGAGUGUACAAUGGAAUCACCGGAAAAGAGGAUCAAUACAAAAGAUAUUGUUACCAGAUUACUCAAGAUAAGAGACACGUUGAGUAAAAGGAUAGGAAAUUUAAGUUAAUUUUGUUUGCUUUCAUUGAUAGUUACUUUGAAUUCAAGUAAUAAGUGUAAGAAUCGUUUAUCUUUUCUUUUGAUAUUUUUUUCUUGAGAAAACUGUUGUAGUCAUCUUUUUUCAAUGGGCAGAGUUGAUUUAGUUCUUCCAAGAAAUGCUAUUGUUGAUCUUUGUUACAUACGUUUGUCUUUUUUUGCAUGCAUUUAGGUAGAAUAGUGGUCUAGCUGCAGGCUAACAAGUCAAGCUACGCUAAAAGCGUAUGAUUUAAUUUAUUAAACCUAACUUCAAGUUCAAGAAUUGCAUCUCAUUGCCACCAAUGCUUUAGACACCUAUUCGUAGGUUUGUGUCCUCAACUUUGUUUGGAGCAAAAGUUCCAGUCCCAUGGAGGCUCAAAUAUUUCUCUCCUACGUCCCGAACACGCUAAAUUCAUCAGCCUCUUGAACCCUCUCCUGAGGGCGCCUUCUGUCCUCUGUUUUCUGUUUCCAUACACAAAUAGCAAAAAGAAUUCAGACUGAUAACUGGGUAUCUAAGAAUAUAUAAGAGUGAAAUAAUUAAAAAAAAUUGUGCUUUUUUGUUUGUCGUGUUAAAAUCGUAAGGUAUCUAAGUACUAUGAAAGAGAUUAGUUUACGAAAACUGAAGCCAAGGGUUCAUAAAAAAAAGUGCAUAGAGAAUAAAGGACAACGCUUAUGUAAAGCGACAUAAUUGUAUUGGUAGCACAAUGUCACGUUCAUACAGAGAUCAAGUACAUUAUUUACAGCUGGUAAGGGCUAAGAAUUGAUGUAGCUAGAAUACAAAGAUGAUAUGGUAUGUUGUGCACUAUUGUUUUAUUCUACAAUCAAUCUUGACCCUUGAUGCUUGGCUCUCAAUCUUGUCCAUUGAUCUUCUCUGAUCUCGAAAACUUCAAGACCUUUCAAUCUCAUGCCUUAUUAUUGGUGUCUUCUAUGCUGUUAAUUUCAAAUACUAGCUUUUCCGCCAACUUGCCAAUUAUUUGUUCAUUGGUGCGUUUUGUCAAACAGUGUGGAUACUUAUACCAAACGCUUUCUGUUUUAACUACCCCUUUCAAGCUCAAUUAUCUGGGAAGACACUAAUAAGCUUGUUUCUCAAGUAUAUGUAUCUGAAAAUUAAAUUUUCAAAAUUAUAUUCGGACUCUACAUUUUCUAAUGAACAUUGGUUUGGCUCAUAAGCUUAUUAUACUUGGGCUUGGUAGGAUUAUCGGUCGGUAGAUGAACAAGUGUUAGAGCUUUCGAAUUUAUGCCAAUUAAAAAAAAUCUAUAUAAAUUUUCCACUAGGCUAUUACCACAAUAAACAUUUGGAUGAACUAUUAUUGAAACCUUAUUGAGAAGUAGGACAUGUCGCAUACCAAUGCACUGACAUAUCUUCAAAUAGUGGUAACUCCACACAACAUGGCACAAUAAAUUAAGAGUUAUAUAGAUAAAAUCUUUCACUCUUUGGUAAUCAUCAAUGUCGGCAUGACAAUGCGUCCCACAAAUAUGGCUCCUUAUCAAAAUUCAUAAAUCAAAACAAAAUAGAGAAUCAUAUUUGUUCCAGAUUGUAGUGAUGGUUGUUGAUGCACUCACAAUUUACAAUUUUAUUUAAUAUCUUCAAAUUCGCAUUUUAAAAUGCCCAAAUGUUUGUGUAUACAUAAUUAGAUAAAAUCUUUCAUUCUUUGGUAAUCAUCAAUUUCACUAUUAUUCGCUUUAUUAUGUUUGUUUCUUGCAGUAUGUUAAAAGAUUAUGUUGUGAAUUUGUUUUACAGGCCGCCCGUAAGUCUGCGCCCACUGUUGUGAAUUUGUGUAUACAUAAUUAGUAAUCGAUUCUCAAGCACGGACAUUUAAAAGCACUGCCGAAAGACAAAAUUUUAAUUUACUAUUUUUUGUCUUUUAAUUUUCUUUAAGUUUUAAUGAUUCCGCAUUUUAAAAUCCUGUGGAACGUGUAUGUAAAAUUCUUUUAUCUUUUAGAGGAAAACGGGCAAGAGAAGAAUAUUUGGCAAAGGAAUUGCAACCGCAUUUGGAGCUAUAUUUAAUUUUGUCUUUUAAGUCUUUUACACUUGUUUUUGUUAUUGAUGUUAGCUUGGAUGUGUGUGCGUGUGCGACUGAAUUCAACUUACAUGCUAUUGAUGCAGCCACCAAAAAGGGGUGGUCCAUCAUCAAUCAACAAGGUUUAUUAUUAUUUUCAUAUGGAUUUUCUUAAUUAUAAAUAAUACUAAUGCUAUUUCAUAGUUAUAAAUAUAUUAGAAUUAAUCGAAAUCAUUUUUUAGUGUGGCAUUGCCAAACUACCUUUUUUUAUAAGUAAUUACUACUUUCACAUUAAGAAAAAUACUCCUAUUUUUAGGGAAAAAUCAAGUACUUGUAGUUGUGAAAACUUGAGCUCACUCGCGUAUGAUAAAUCUUCAUAUUAAUUACAUAAAUAUCCUCUAAAAUUUUAAAUUAACUAUUCAAAAUUCGAUGUUAUACGGGUAUUUCAUUUAUUUGAGUAGGGGUUAGGGGUCAAUUGGAUACAAAUUCAAAAUUAUCCUUACUUGAGAAGGUGAUAAAAAUUGGGGAUUUAAUUUGGAUGUCAUUAGCUACAAAUAUUAAAUUCAUACAUUUAAUUCAAAAUUGGAGGGUUGAUAUAUGCGCAUCAUCGUGCACGUUAUAGUGACACUGCGUCACCAUCCCACAACCUCUCCAAUGAAAAAUUAACACGUUUCUCGUGUGCAUUUGAUCAGAAUCCUGAAAAUUAAUCACAAAAUUGUACUUUUAUUAUAAAAAGAAUAAAGAAACUCCUGAAAAAAAAAUACUUACAUAAAUGGUUUGAAAAUUCUAGAUUUCAAGUUGUCUAUAUUAGCUUGAUAUUUUUAUAAAUAGUCAUCCUCUCAAAAAAAUUCCAUCAAAAUAUAUAUUUUAAUUUUAUGUUAAUUCAUAAACAUGAAAAAAUCAUUUCAUAAUUAAUUAAAACAUAAUUUAUUGUUUCUCAAAAAAGGUAGAACUUAGUGAUAAGAAAAAAGUAUCUCAAAUAUAUGUAAAAAAAAAAAAAAUCUUGGUUGGUUGGAAUGAUUGAAUUUGCUUUUCUUUUUCUUUUUUAAGAAUUAAGACAAUCGGAUUGAUUGAGUAAUAAUAAUAUAUAUUUAUUUGGAGGUAGGCUUUCGUCUCAUGCAGAUUGAUUAGAGAGAAAACAAAACAAUUUUAAGCUCGUUAGAUUCGAAGCUGCUUACCUGUCGUGUGGGGAUCACUUCCGUGUCUUAUUUUUCUAAAAAAGUCUGGACCAUUGGAUUUAUGUGAAUCGUACUGAACAUUGGAAUUGAUGUAUAAGAAAAAAAUUUUGUAGUCGUUUAAGGAAAAAAAUUAUUCAAUUGGGAAUUUUUUUCCUUUAAUUUUUGUUGUACUUGAUUGAGAUUUCUCCUUAGUCCCUACAGUUUUAAGUUUGGAAACCGUAGGAUUAGUAAUUUCGUACUUCCUUUGCAAGCUGAGUAUAAGGAUGAAAUUCUUUUAAGAAAUUAAAAAAGAUAAAAAAAAGCAUACCAAUAGGCAAUUAUAAAUAACCACAAAUAAAUAUAAACAAAAUGUUUAUGACGUAAAUUAAACAUGCUCAAUUAUUUUCUUUUAUUUUCUGCUCGGAAACCCAUAAAUGCACUAAUCCAGUAUUACUAAUUUCAGACAGAAAAAUUUGAAUUUAACCGGUAUACAUUUCUACAAACCAAACAAGGCUAUUAUUUUUAUUAUUAUUUUUUUUUUUUUAUAAAUUACUAUUUUAAUUUUUCACUUUUUAUUGGGUUGCUUAACAGAUUAGUGAAGUUGGUGGUCGUUGAUGCACUCACAAGGUACAAUUUUAUUUUAGAAAUUGAAAUUUCGUAUUUUAAAAUGCAGGCACAUUAUGUAUGCAUAAUUAUUGAUUUUCAUAUGUGGGUGUUUUGAAAUAUUGCUAAAAGACCAAACUUUAAUAAACUAUUUUUGAUCUUUUUUUUUCCUUUGUACCUAAAGUUAGAGUGAUAUCCGCAUUUUAAAUUCAUGUGGACCAAAAGCUAAUGUAUGGACAAAAUUAUUUUAUUUUUCCGAGAAAAAUGGGUAAGAGAAGAAGAUUUUUCUCUUGAAAAAGAAAAACUAAUACGUUGCAAGCAUAGGAAAGAGGCUAGUGUGUUUGGAUUUGAAUUUAGUAUUGAGUUCAAUUUUAUGCUAAGCUCUUUUAUAAUACUGCGAUUAGGGAGCCCUUAAGUUACAUGUAAUAUAACUUACACUCGCUCACUUAAAUAGUGGGUGGGUUGGGGGCCCACUCACUGUUCAUGUGAGUGAGUGUAAGUUCCAUUAUAUGUAAUUUAGCACUUGCCUUGCGAUUAAUAAGCUCAGGAUUUGCUUUUGCUUUUACUUCAAGUAAAAGAAAGAGGAAACCUUUUGUUUUUUGUUUGAUUUUUGACUAUAUAUGUUACCUAUAUAGAGAGUUGAGAUGGCUGCCUUAAGUGAUGGUGAUAAAAAGAUUAAGCAGCGCACACAAUCUUACUAUCGUCCAGACUGUCCAGUGAUAGACUCUAGUUUUUUGGUUACAUUAGCUUUAGUGGAAAGAAGGGCCAAUUUAACAAAGACUAGAUUUGGUGGCUUGUUGUAAUGCUUAUUCUCAGGGAAUCUAAGGUUAUAAGAUGAUUGAAUGAUCUUCUAUGAUUGUGAGCAGUAUAUUAUAAUUGAAGAGAGCUUGGGCUCCUAUGAUGUAUAACAAUAACACAUUACUAUGAUUGAGAAAACUCAGUUACAAUAAACUCUUCAUUUAUUCAUUGCUGAGAUUGAAUGGCAAAUAGAGAAUAGAAUGAAGCAGAGGAAUCUCAUUGCCUGUAAAAUUGAGCCUAUUUAAUAUUACUUGUAGUUUUUAUUGUAAAAUAUACAGGUAUGACCAUGAUCAGAUGCUUUUUUUAAAAACAAAUGAGACAUCUUUGAUUUAUGGUAGUUUUAGAGAAAAAAAAAACAUAUAAAAAUUAAGAGGGAUGAGUUAACUGACGAUUACAAUCAUUACAGCAAUGCUGAUGAGUGAUACAUCACUUGAAAUUUAUUUGUCAGUUGCUGUAAUGAUGGAAAAAAACAAUAAACAAUAACAGUAAUAAUGUUCCCUUGCUGAAAUUCAAUUUUGACUUUCGACUCUUGGCUUUUAUGGAGAGUAAAAUGACUUGUAUAUUAUCCUCAUACAAUCCACUCUACAUAAUGAUAUCAUUUUAAUAAGGCAAUGGCUGAUGAUCUCCAUUGAAAAACUUUUUGUUUUAUUUAACUUUUUGGUUGUUGAAAAUAACCUUAAUUAUCAAAUAAUCAGAGAAAGAGUAAAGAACAUUUAACAAAUUUAUGUGCCAAAAAAAAAAGGAGAAAUUGAAGAGAAAGGAUGCUUGCAGAAGUGGGUGUCAAAGAGAUAAAUCGGUCUAUAAGAAUUAUUGUGGUUAUUUUUUUGGUGCCUUGGAGUUCUUUAAAUUAAGGGCCCAGUUUGUCCAUUUGUUUCAGUUAGGUCCUUAUUAAAAAUUAAUUUUAAUAUUGGUUUUCUUAAUUAUAACUAAUACUAAUGAUAUUUCAUAGUUAUAAAUAUAUUAGAAUUAAUCCAAAACAUUUUUUAGUGUGGCAUGGCUAAAACUACCUUUUCUAUUAGUAAUUACUACUUUUGCAUUAAGGAAAAUACUCCUAUUUUUAGAAAAAAGUCAAGUACCUAUAGUUGUGAGAACUUGAGCUCACUCGCUUAUGAUAAAUCUUCAUAUUAAUUACGAAAAUAUCCUCUAAAUUUUAACUAAACUAUUCGAAAUUCAAUGUUAUUCGGAUAUUUCGUUUAUUUGAGCAGGGGUUAGGGGUCAAUUUGAUACAAAUUCAAAAUUAUCCUCAUUUGCGAAGAUGAUAAAAAUUAGGGAUUUAAUUUGGAUGUCACUGGCCACAAAUAUUAAACUCAUGCAUCUCAAAAUUAGAGGGCUGAUAUAUAUGCAUUAUCGUUAUAUUGACAUGUGUCACCAUCCCACAACCUCUCCAAUGAAAAAUUGACAUGCAUCUUGUGUGCUUCUUAUCAAAAUCCUGAAAAUUAAUCACAAAGUUAUAUUUUUAUUAUAAAAAGAAGAAAGAAACUCCAUAAGUGAAAAAAAAAAAGACUUAAACAUAAAUAUUUUAGAUAAUCUAGAUUUCAAGUUGUCUAUACUAGCUUGAUAUUUUUAUAAAUAUCAAGAUUUCAAGUUGUCCAUAGUAGCUUGAUAUCUUCUAAAAAAAUUCCAUCAACAUAUAUUUUAAUUUUACGUUAAUUAAUAAAUAGAAAAUUCAUUUUAGAAUUAAUUAAAACAUUAUUUAUUGUUGCCAAAGAAGGAAGUACUUAGCGAUAAGAAAAAAGUGUCUCAAAUAUAUGUUAAAAAAAAAUCAUGGUCGGUUGGACUGAUUGAAUUUUUUUUUCUUUUUCUUUUUUAAGAAUUAAGACAAUUGGAUUGAUUGAGUAAUAAUAAAAUAUAUUUAUUUGGCAAAUGGCAGGUAGGCUUUCUUCUGAUGCAGAUUGAUUAGAGAGAAUAUGCAGCAAUUUUAAGCUUGUCAGAUUCGGAGGCUGCUUAUCUGUCGUGUGGGGAUCACUUCCAUGUCUUAUUUUUCUUGAAAAAUCUGGACCGUUGGAUUUACCAUUAGUCAAUAGAGAAAUGCUGAUCUUGAUUCUUGAUCAAGAUCGAAGUUUGAUUCUAUCUAACAUGAUAUCAGAUUGCGAAGCAAGCAAAUUGAAAGUAACUUGUUCUAUUUUGAUGGAAGAAACACAAUUUCUAUUGUUCUAAUAAAAAAUUUUAAUUAUACAUAUUUUUCUUUUGCCACUUGGGUUUGUAGUCCAGUGGUGAACUAUUGGCCUUAAAGUUAAGUAUGACUAUGAGGGCAAUGGUUCGAGUGCCCACGAACUCAAACUCCCUCAAUUAAACAUAAUUAUGUGGAGAUUACUUAUAACGUCUUUCUCUCUUGUGAAAUCUGAGUGGAGUAGAAAUAUCCCUUUCCCGUGAGGGUUAUUUGGCUAGGCAUGUACUUUAUAGAAUAAAAAUGUAAUAAUGUAAGUCAGUGCAAUGAUCUACUGUCAUAGUAGUUGUAAAUAUCUAGGUGUAAUACAGUAACCUGAUGCUUAAUCAGUUAAAAAAAAUGUAUAUCUUUUUUUUAUUUUUUUCAUUGUGAUCACUAUAACUAGUCAAAUUUAUUUUUAAAUAUUUUUUAAAAAAAUAUUUUAUUAACAAUGAUAUGAAAAUAUUCGAACCCCUUCUCAUAGUAAAGUGAAUUACUAUCCAACUGAUGCCUUCAAACUGUAAAUUGCAAAUCGUGUGUUUGCUCCAUUACAGGGUGUCUUCAAUUUAAAAUAGAGAAUAAUUUGGUUCUAGAUUAAUCGUGGGUCUAUAUCCAAAUCCAAAAAUUGACUAACUUGAUUUCUAUUAAGUUCUCAACCCUAACACGAAAAAUAGAAGAUUAAAAAUGACUAUUUUGGUUUCUAUUAAUUUGAGUAACACUUAAUAUUUAUCAUACAAUAGUCACUUAUAUUAUCAAAAUCUUGGGUCGAAAAUAUUAGGAUAGGUGAUAAUUGGAAUUAAGUUGUAGAUAAGAUAGAAAUGGAUUUGGAGAGAGAUUGGAAUCCUGGCUAAUCCGGUGCACGUUGUUGCGUUAAAUUCUCGUUGACUUCACGUUGACCGAAGCAUUAUUGGAAGAAACAAGCAAGCUUAUUUUCUUCUCUCAUUUUUUACUUUUGUCUAAAUUUAUUGAUGUGAGGCCUCUGAGAUGGUAAAGUGUUAAAUCUGAGAAGAGUACCCACACACCCAUUAUCCUAUUACUCUUAUUUUAUCACAUGCAGAGACGUCAACGUUUGAUUCGCACGGAAAAAAAUUUGCUAGGAUUGUGAGGGUUGAUGUAAUGUAAUUUAGAUGCAAAGUGUUCACAAGUGCGAUGCUUCGUAAGUGUACUUGAAUCAUUAUAAACUCACCUUAUUUUCAUAGUGAUUAUUUCAUCUGCAUGUGAAUAUAAUCAUAUGUGGAGAUUUUUUUCCUAAAUUAUGAUCUUCUCUGGUAUUGAGGUGUUAUAUUUUUUAAAGGUUAAUGUUAAGUUACAUGCAUGUAACUUACAACCCUCUCACAUGAAUAGUGAGUGGACCCACACCAUUCACUAUUCAUAUGAGAGGGUUGUAAGUUACAUCCUCUUUUAAAUUAUAAUUAUUAUUAUAAAAAAACUGCAACUAUGAAAAAAAAUUAAUAUUAUGUCCUGAAUAUAAUUGUUAAAUAAUAAUUUUGACAAAAUUAAUGAAUAUAUACAGUUUUUUUAUCAUAUAAGUGUAAAAUUAUAUCAAAUUAGCUUUUAAAUUAUACAGUGGCUACUGCUUAUCAAACACUUUAGUGUUGUAACUUUUAAGUUAUAACUGUCUAGCCUUUAACCUCAAUCUCAAACGAGGCUUAUAAAGAUCAAGGAUUUCCUCAUAAAAAUUAUACGUCUUGUGAUUGCUUAUUUAAUUUAUAUUUUCGUUAUUUAUCUUUAUUAAUUAUAGUCAUCUUUUUAUAAAUUACAAUUGGAGAAAGUUGGUUGAUGUUGUUGACACACACACACACAUACAAAGAUAUAUUGGAAGUGCUUAUUAUGUCGACUCGAAGUUGUGGGGAGUUAAUGCAUGUAUUGAUUUAUUGGGAGUGUUUAAAUUAUUUUGUGAUUUACUUGAUAGAUUGAUUGAUUGAAUAUUGUUUGAUUGCUUCAUAUCAAUUCUGGAAAGUUUAUUUCUUUGUGAAAUUUCAACGAAAUAUGUUUUUUAAAAUAAUAAGGGUGUUUUAAGUAAUUUUGAAAAAUAAAUACACUAAUUAGAAUUAAUUAUUAAGUAAUUAACUCGAACUGUAGAGGAUAAGCAAACAUUUAUCCUAAUUAUAUUAUGAUAAAUCCUUUUCCAACUAGAAUUAGGAAACCAUAGAUAUACAGAUUUUUAUUUUUAUUUCCCUUUGCGAAAACGGAUUAGAGAAUUAGAAAACAAUCCUAGUGAGACUAUUGUUAGGUUUAAUAUUUUGUCGAAUUUGGAAACUUUUUGUCGAAUUAGAAAACAUGCGUGGUGAAUAUUUUGUCGCAUGCAAACUUUUUGUUUUAUGCAAAUCGUACUGAACAUUGGGACUGAUGUUUAAGAAAAAAAUUCUGUAGUUAAAGAAAAACAAAAAGGCAUGUUGAAUAGAUUACGAUAGUUUAUUCAAUUGGGAAUUUUUUUUCUUUAAUUUUUGUUGUACUUGAUUGAGAUUUCUCCUUGGUCCUUACAGUCUUAAGUUUGGAUACCGUAGGAUUAGUAAUUUCGUACUUCCUUUGCAAGCUGAGUAUAAGGAUGAAAUUCUUUUAAGAAAUUAAAAAAAAAUGAUAAAAAAGGCAUACCAGUAGGCAAUUAUAAAUAACCACAAAUAAAUAUAAACAAAAUGUUUAUGAAGUAAAUUAAACAUGCACAUAUUAUUUUCUUUUAUUUUCUGCUUGGAAACCCAUAAAUACACUAAUCCAGUACUACUAAUUUCAGAUAGAAAAAUUUGAACUCUAAGCUGCAGUUUGACUCAAAAUGAUGAUCACUGGCUUCGCACCAUUUAACCGGUAUACAUUUCUACAAACUGAACAAGGCUAUUGAUUUUUAUUAUUAUUUUAAUUUGUUUAUAAAUUACUAUUUUAAUUUUCACUUUUUAUUGGGUUGUGUAACGGAUUAGUGAAGCUGGUGGUCGUUGAUGCACUUACAAGGUACAAUUUUAUUUUAUAAUUUCAAAUUCGUAUUUUAAAAUGCAGGUACAUUAUGUAUACAUAAUUAUUGAUUUUCGUAUGAGGGUGUUUUGAAAUAUUGCUAAAAGACUAAACUUUAAUAAACUAUUUUUGAUCUUUUUUUUUCCUAAAGUUUGGGUGAUAUGCGCAUUUUAAAUUCAUGUGGAACAAAAGUUAAUGUUUGUAUAAAAAUUCUUUUAUUUUUUUGAGCAAAAUAGGCAAGCGAAAAAGUUUUGGCAAAUGAGUUGCAACUGAAUCCAAAACCAAUACAAUGCAAGCAUAGGAAAGAGGCCAGUGUUUAGGAUUUGAAUUUAGUAUUAAGCUGAAUUUUAUGGUACGCUCUUUUAGAGUACUGUGAUCGAUAAGCUCAGCCCCGGAUUUGCUUUUGCUUUUGCUUUUACUUCAAGUGAAAGAAAGAGGAAACCUUUUGUUUUUUCUUUGGUUUUCAACUAUGUUACCUAUACAGAGAGACAAGAUACCUGCCAUAAGUGAUGGUGUUAAAAAGAUUAAGCAGCGCACACAAACUUACUAUCGUCUAGACCAUCCAGUGAUGACCCUAGUCUUUUGGUUACGUUAGCUUUAGUUGAAAGAAGGGCCAAUUUAACAAAGACUAGAUUUGAUGGCUUACUAUGUUUAAUGUAAUGCUAAUUUUCAGGGAAUCUAAUGUUAUAACUUAUAAGAUGAUCUCCUAUGAUGAACAACAGUAACACAUUACUGUGAUUGAGAAAACUCAGUUACAAUAAACUCUUCAUUUACUCAUUGAGAAGAUUGAAUAGCAAACAGAGAAUAGAAUGAAGCAGAGGAAUCUCAUUGCCAAUAAAAUUGACCCUCUUUAAUGUUAUAUGGCACAGGUGUGGAGGAAGAACAAGUUACUUGCAGUUUUUAUAGUAAAAUAUACAGGUAUGACCAUGAUCAUUACAGUUAGGUUUUGAUGAUUUCGGAUGCUUUUUUUAAAAAAAAAAAAAUUGUGACAUCUUUGAUUUACGGUAGUUUUGUAGAAAAAAAAUAUAUAAAAAUUAAGAGGGAUGAGUUAAACUGACGAUUACAAUCAUUCCAGCAAUGCUGAUGAGUGAUACAUCACUUGAAAUUUACUUAUUAGUUGCUGAAAUGAUGAAAAAAAAAAACAAUAAACGAUAACAGUAAUAAUGUUCCCUUGCUGAAAUUCAAUUUUGACUUUCGACUCUUGGCUUUUAUGGAGAGUAAAAUGACUUGUAUAUUAUACUCAUACAAUCCACUCUACAUAAUGAUAUCGUUUUAAUAAGGCAAUGGCUGAUGAUCUCCAUUUAAAAACUACAUCAAUUUUUUUGCUUCAUUUAACUCUCUGGUUGUUGAAAAUAACCUUAAUUAUCAAAUAAUUGGAGAAAGAGUUAAGAACAUUUAACAAAUUUAUGUGCAAAAAAAAAAAAAAAAAGGAGAAGUUGAAGAGAAAGGGUGCUUGCAGAAGUGGGUGUCAAAGAUAAAUCGGUCCAUAAGAAUUAUUGGGGUUAUUUUUUGGCAAAAUAAGAACUUAUGCGAUAGCAUUUUUUAUGGGUGCAUAUAACCUCCCUUUAAAAAAAUAUAUAAUAAUUACUGCUUAAUAUAGUAUUAAAUACAAAAAUAUCAAUAUUUGACUACUUAAAUUUAUAUCAUUAGGUCCUUAAAAUUUAAAAUGGAAGAUAUGAAAGGAAAUAUAUAUAAAUUUCAUUGUCCUGGUAAAGGGCCCUCUUAUAAUCUUAUAAUAUUUGAACUUUGAUAGAUUUUUUGAAACAAAUGUACUUUUAUUUGUGUACAAUCAAUAUUUACUCAUUUAUUAUAUUUUAAUUUAUUAACUAUUAAUCAUGUAAGUAUACUUAAUCAGAAAAAUUAUAUCAAGAGAAAAUUCUAAUUUCACGCAAAAACAAAUACCAAAACAAAUAUCUCAAUUUCUAUACUAUUCACUUUCCUGUAGAAUCAAUUAUUUAAAAUGCAAGUUUGUGGCUACAGAAAACUCGCCAAAGAAAGAAGAUAAUAACAAUUGAGCAUUGAUAGCAAAACUAAUGCAUCCAAUUCUUCUUGACUUGAUGAGAUGGCGCCAUAACGUAGACACAAGUACCUAAAUUGACCGGCACUGAGUGAUGUGAAUACUACCAGCCAGUUCAUCUCUUCCAGUCUUGCUUAAUCACAAUCACAAACACCACGAGAUCGACAUUUGCAUUAUAUAUAUCUUCAGCAAUCGAAACACCUUGCAUUACCAAAUAAGCCCGUAACAGACAAAGCAAUCUUUCAUGGAGAGAAACCUUAGUCUCAGUAUGAUCACUGUGUCAUUAACCUACUGCCUGCUUCUUUGCUUGGUUGCUGCAGCAGCAGCAGCGGCAAGCAACAAUAUUACCACAGACCAACAAGCUCUUCUUGCCCUGAAAGAUCAUAUAAUUUAUGAUCCGACCAGCCUUUUAGCUCACAAUUGGACCUCGAAUACCUCUGUUUGUACCUGGAUUGGCAUCACUUGUGAUGCCAAUAGCCAUAGAGUCACAACCUUAGAUAUUUCUCAAUUCAAUCUACAAGGCACCAUCCCUCCUCAACUUGGAAACCUCUCUUCACUCACAACACUUAAUCUUAGUCAUAACAGGCUUUCUGGAAGCGUUCCCUCCUCCAUCUACACCAUGCAUACGCUAAAAUUUCUUGACUUCACUGAUAACCAGCUCUCUGGUUCAGUGUCUUCCUUCGUCUUCAACAUGUCUUCAAUAUUAGUAAUUCGUUUGACCAAUAACAUAUUUUCUGGUGAGCUUCCGAAAAAUAUUUGCAACUAUCUUCCUUAUUUGAAGGCCCUUUUCUUAAACAAAAACAUGUUUCAUGGCAAAAUUCCUUCUGCUUUAUCAAAGUGCAAACAACUGCAACAAUUAAAUUUGCAGUUCAAUAAUUUAUCCGGUGCAAUACCAAAAGAAAUCGGCAACUUGACUAUGCUCAAAGGGAUAUAUCUCCUCUACAACAAACUCCACGGUAUGUUCACAAUACUAUAUAAAUAUUUUAAUUUAUCACUUAUUAUCUUUCUUGAAUAAUUUAGCUAAGAUCUUGUAAGAGAGAUAUUUUGCAUCUACGUUAAUUUACCAGGUGAGAUACCCCACGAAAUCGCUAAUCUUCCAAAUCUAGAGGCUUUAGCGCUUGGAAUCAACAACCUAGUUGGUGUGUUACCAGCUCCCAUCUUCAACAUGUCAACACUGAAGGUACUUAUCCUCAUAAAUAACUCUCUCUCCGGAAGUCUUCCAUCAAGAGUAGACCUUUCACUUCCAACUGUUGAGCAACUUAACUUGGCACUUAAUAGAUUUUCUGGAACCAUUCCUAGUUCCAUCACCAAUGCUUCUAAGCUCACCUUUCUAGAGUUGGGAGCAAACACAUUUUCGGGGUUUAUUCCAAACACAAUUGGUAAUUUAAGAAACCUUAAGUGGCUCGGCUUGGCUAAUAACUCCUUGACAUCUUCAACCUCAAAAUUGAGCUUUCUUUCCUCUUUGGCAAAUUGCAAGAAAUUAAGAUUCGUAAACUUAAUAGGCAAUCCACUGGACGGCUUCCUUCCAAGUUCAAUAGGUAAUCUUUCUGUGUCUUUGGAAACACUUGGCAUCGGCAAUUGCAGUAUUAGUGGCAACAUUCCUCCAGCAAUUAGCAAUUUAAGCAACUUGUUGACCUUAGUAUUACACGGCAAUAAAUUGACUGGACCAAUCCCAACUACAUUCGGCCAACUGCAGAAACUCCAAGGCUUAGAUCUUGCAUUCAAUAAGUUGGUAGGUUCAUUCCCAGAUGAGCUUUGCCAUCUGGCAAGGCUGGAUCAAUUGAUCUUAUUUGGCAAUAAGCUUUCAGGAUCUAUACCUUCAUGCUUAAGCAACCUCACUUCUCUAAGAUCUCUCUAUUUAGGGUCUAAUAAGUUUACUUCUGUUAUUCCCUCAACCUUCUGGAGCCUAAAAGACAUCUUGUUCUUUGACUUUUCAUCAAAUUUCUUGGUUGGUCCUCUUUCUUUAGAUAUAGGAAAUUUGAAGGUGCUUCUAGGAAUAAGUUUAUCGAAAAAUAAUUUAUCCGGUGAUAUCCCAGCCACAAUUGGAGGACUGAAAGAUCUUCAAUUUAUGGACCUAGCAUAUAAUAGAUUGGAAGGCCCAAUUCCUAAAUCAUUUGGUGACUUGAUAAGUUUAGAAGUUCUGAAUUUAUCAAAUAAUAAAAUCUUUGGGUCUAUUCCAACAUCCAUGGAGAAACUUUUUUACCUCGGAGAGUUAAAUCUCUCUUUCAAUAAACUAGAAGGUGAGAUUCCUAGUGGAGGAACUUUUGCCAACUUCACAGCUAAGUCAUUUAUGGGAAAUGAGUUUUUGUGUGGUUUACAAAAUCUUCAAGUCCAACCAUGCAAAGUUAGCAAGCCGAGGACAGAACAUAAAUCAAGGAAAAAGAUACUUCUCAUUGUGAUUGUUUCGCCAUUGAGUAUUGCUCUAACAAUAGCAAUCACUCUAGCUCUCAAAUCUAAGCUGAUCGAAUGUGGAGAAAGAAGCACAGUGUUGUCAAAUGAUAGUAUCUUGUCAUCACAAGCAACACUAAGAAGAUUUUCAUACUUAGAACUUUUACAAGCAACAGAUAAUUUUGCUGAAAACAGCAUAAUUGGCAGAGGAGGUUUCGGUUCCGUUUAUGGAGCAAGACUUGAAGAUGGGAUGAAGAUUGCAAUAAAAGUGUUUCACAGGCAAUGUGCAAGCGCAUUGAAGAGUUUUGAGGCUGAAUGUGAAGUGAUAAAAAAAAUUCGCCAUCGAAACCUUAUCAAAGUUAUCAGCAGUUGCUCGAACGAUGACUUCAAAGCAUUAGUCCUAGAAUACAUGUCCAACGGGAGCUUAGGGGAUUGGCUGCAUUCGAGCAAUUACGUGCUGAAUAUUUUUCAAAGGUUGAACAUACUAAUUGACGUUGCAUCAGCUUUAGAAUACCUCCACUUCGAUCAUUCAACUCCUAUUAUUCAUUGUGACUUAAAGCCUAGUAAUGUAUUGUUGGACGAAAAUAUGGUUGCUCAUUUGAGUGAUUUUGGCAUAGCAAAGCUUUUAAGUGGAGAAGAUGAGUCUACGAUGCGAACAAAAACCCUUGCCACUAUAGGUUAUAUGGCACCAGGUUUGCUUCAAACAACUUUUUUUUUUUAAACUUCAUUUUAAAUUUUCUAAAUCAUUGAUUUUUACGAUCCUCAUAUCAAAUUGUUAUUGAUUAUUUAUCUAAUUGUGAAAUUAAUUUGAUUCAUAGAGUAUGGCAUAGGAGGAGAAGUAUCUACAAAAAGCGAUGUUUACAGCUAUGGGAUUAUGCUGAUGGAAACUUUUACCAAGAAAAAACCCACAGAUGAAAUUUUUGUUGGAGAAUUGAGCUUAAAGCAUUGGGUUAAUGACUUGCUUCCUAAUUCAUUAGUGGAAGUUGUGGACAAAACUCUGCUAAGUGGAGAGGAAAAACACUCUGCAGCAAAGGAGCAAUGUCUGUUGUCUAUCUUUAGUUUGGCUCUGGAGUGUACAAUGGAAUCACCGGAAAAGAGGAUUAAUGCAAAAGAUAUUGUUACCGGAUUACUCAAGAUAAGAGACACAUUCAGUAAAAGGAUAGGAAAUUUAAGUUAAUUUCGUUUGCUUUCAUUGAUAGUUAAUUCGAAUUCAUGUAAUAAGUGUAAGAAUCUUAUAUCUUUUCCUUUGAUAUAUUUUUUUUCUUGAGAAAACUGUUGUAGUCAUCUUGUUUCCAUGGGCAGAGUUGAUUUAGUUCUUCCAAAAAAUGCUACUGAUGACCUUUGUUUAAUACUUUCUCUUUUUUUGCAUGUGUUUAGGUAGAACAGUGGUUUGGCUGCAGGCUAAUAAGUCAAGCUACGCCAAAAGCGUAUGAUUUAAUUUAUUAAACAUAACUUCAAGUUCAAGAAGUGUUUCUCAUUGCCACCAAUGCUUUGGACACCUGUUGGAAGGUUUGUUGUCCUCAGCUUUUGUUUAGAGCAAAAGUUCGAGUCCCAUAAAGGCUCAAACAUUCCUUUCCUUCAUCCCGAGGGCGCCUUCUGUCCUCUGUUUUCUGUUUCCACACACAAAUAGCACAAAGAAUUUAGAAUGACAACUGGGACAUAUAUAAGAGUGAAAUAAUUAAAAAAAUUAUGCUUUUUUGUUUGUCGUGUUAAAAUCGUAAGUACCGAAGUACUGUGAAAGAGAUUAAUUUACAGAAACUGAAGCCAAGGGUUCAAAAAAAACUAUUGAUGUAGCUAGAAUGCAAUGUCAUAUUCAUACAGAGAUGAAGUAUAUUAUUUACGGCUGGUAAGGACUAGGAAUUGAUGUAGCUAGAAUCCAAAGAUGAUAAGGUAUGUUGUGCACUAUUGUUUUAUUCUACGGUCAAUCUUGACCCUUGGUGCUUGGCUCUCAAUCUUGUCCAUUGAUCUUCUCUGAUCUUGGAAACUUCAAGACCUUUCACUCUCAUGCCUUAUUAUUGGUGUCUUCCAUGCUGUAGCUUUCAAAUACAAGCUUUCCCGCCAACUUGCCAAUUAUUUGUCCGUUGGUGCAUUUUAUCAAACAGUUUGGAUACUUAUACCAAACGCCUCCUGUUUUAACUCCCCCCUCAAGCUCAAGCAUGUGGGAAGACAUUAAUAAGCUUGUUUCUCAAGUAUAUGUAUCUGAAAAUUAAAUUUUAUAAAUUAUAUUCGGACUCUACAUUUUCUAAUGAACAUUGGUUUGGCUUAUAAGCUUAUUAUACUCAGGUUUGGUAGGAGCCAUGUCACAAUGUUAACGCUAACCAGCAGUACUGCCAAAGCUGGCCAACUCAGCCUGCAAGUUCAUAGCAACCAUAGUUACAGUCCUAGUCCGGUACAAAAAUCGUAAAUAUCAUUUACAUUACAAUGGUGUGGGGGGGGGGGGGGGGGGGGGGGGGGGGUGGCUGGAGAGGGAAUCAACAAAGAUCUAGAACGAAGGGUAGGCUUGUAUCCGUAACCCAUGUCACAGUGUUAAUGCUAACCGUGGACCUUAUUAUAUUAGUUUCUGGACUAUUAUUACUUUUGAAUUGCCAUCUUUGAAUUUACGUUCAUUUCUGCCUCGACAAGAUGUUUGUAAAAAUAUGCUAAUUAUUAAUGUGCCGUGUACAAAUAAGCAUGUUACUGUGCAAGGAUUGUAGUCAUGAUACAGUGGUGCAAAAUGUACAUGCUACUUCUUCUUUUCCUCAGUUAGGAUCACCGUCGUCACCAUUUAAUUCUAAGUCCACCCAUGCGGCCUAUGCAAUUGAAAUCAUGUGACCAUGUAAUUUUAGGUUCUGAUCUUCCUUGUGGGGUUAAACCUCAAAACUGUGACCAUUUUGGGACUUUUAAUCAGUUCCAAUCAUUUUCUGGUUCCCAUUCGUCCACCCAAGCCUUGAUUCCCCCGAUAUAGCAUGGCAAUAUAUAUAGGAAUAUUAAGGUUGUGUACAGUUUUUUUCUUUUCUGUUUUUAAUUUGAUAUAAAUUAUCAAUCAUGAAUCUACAUAAAGUUUCAACUAGGCUACUACCACAAUAAACAUUUGGAUGAACUAUUAUUGAAACCUUAUUGAGAAGUAGGACAUGUCGCAUACCAAUGCACUGACAUAUCUUCAAAUAGUGGUAACUCCACACAACAUGGCACAAUAAAUUAAGAGUUAUAUAGAUAAAAUCUUUCACUCUUUGGUAAUCAUCAAUGUCGGCAUGACAAUGCGUCCCACAAAUAUGGCUCCUUAUCAAAAUUCAUAAAUCAAAACAAAAAUAGAGAAUCAUAUUUGUUCCAGAUUGUAGUGAUGGUUGUUGAUGCACUCACAAUUUACAAUUUUAUUUAAUAUCUUCAAAUUCGCAUUUUAAAAUGCCCAAAUGUUUGUGUAUACAUAAUUAGAUAAAAUCUUUCAUUCUUUGGUAAUCAUCAAUUUCACUAUUAUUCGCUUUAUUAUGUUUGUUUCUUUCAGUAUGUUAAAAGAUUAUGUUGUGAAUUUGUUUUACAGGCCGCCCGUAAGUCUGCGCCCACUGUUGUGAAUUUGUGUAUACAUAAUUAGUAAUCGAUUCUCAAGCACGGACAUUUAAAAGCACUGCCGAAAGACAAAAUUUUAAUUUACUAUUUUUUGUCUUUUAAUUUUCUUUAAGUUUUAAUGAUUCCGCAUUUUAAAAUCCUGUGGAACGUGUAUGUAAAAUUCUUUUAUCUUUUAGAGGAAAACGGGCAAGAGAAGAAUAUUUGGCAAAGGAAUUGCAACCGCAUUUGGAGCUAUAUUUAAUUUUGUCUUUUAAGUCUUUUACACUUGUUUUUGUUAUUGAUGUUAGCUUGGAUGUGUGUGCGUGUGCGACUGAAUUCAACUUACAUGCUAUUGAUGCAGCCACCAAAAAGGGGUGGUCCAUCAUCAAUCAACAAGGUUUAUUAUUAUUAAUUUCCAUAUUGAUUUUCUUAAUUAUAAAUAAUACUAAUGUUAUUUCAUAGUUAUAAAUAUAUUAGAAUUAAUCGAAAUCAUUUUUUAGUGCGGCAUGGCUAAAACUACCCUCUUCUUUUUUUUUAUAAGUAAUUACUACUUUCACAUUAAGAAAAAUACUCCUAUUUUUUAGGAAAAGUCAAGUACCUGUAGUUGUGAAGACUCGAGCUCACUCCCUUAUGAUAAAUCUUCAUAUUAAUUACGUAAAUAUCCUCUAAAAUUUUAAAUUAGCUAUUCAAAAUUUGAUGUUAUACGGGUAUUUCAUUUAUUUGAGUAGGGGUUAGGGGUCAAUUGGAUACAAAUUCAAAAUUAUCCUUACUUGAGAUGGUGAUAAAAAUUGGGGAUUUAAUUUGGAUGUCAUUAGCUACAAAUAUUAAACUCAUACAUUUAAUUCAAAAUUGGAGGGCUGAUAUAAGCGCAUCAUCCCACAACCUCUCCAAUGAAAAAUUAACACGUUUCUUGUGUGCAUUUGAUCAGAAUCCUGAAAAUUAAUCACAAAAUUGUCCUGGAAAAAAAAAUACUUACAUAAAUGGUUUGAAAAAUCUAGAUUUCAAGUUGUCUAUAUUAGGUUGAUAUUUUUAUAAAUAGUCAUCCUCUCAAAAAAAUUCCGUCAAAAUAUAUUUUAAUUUUAUGUUAAUUCAUAAACAUGAAAAAAUCAUUUCAGAAUUAAUUAAAACAUAAUUUAUUGUUUCUCAAAAAAGGUAGAACUUAGUGAUAAGAAAAAAGUAUCUCAAAUAUAUGUAAAAAAAAAAAAAAUCUUGGUUAGUUGGAAUGAUUGAAUUUGUUUUUUUUUUUCUUUUUUAAGAAUUAAGACAAUCGGAUUGAUUGAGUAAUAAUAAUAUAUAUUUAUUUGGCAAAUGGCAGGUAGGCUUUCGUCUCAUGCAGAUUGAUUAGAGAGAAAAUAUAACAAUUUUAAGCUCGUCAGAUUCGAAGCUGCUUUCCUGUCGUGUGGGGAUCACUUCCGUGUCUUAUUUUUCUAGAAAAAUCAGGACCAUUGGAUUUAUGCGAAUCGUACUGAACAUUGGAAUUGAUGUAUAAGAAAAAAAUUCUGUAGUUUAAGAAGAACAAAAAGGCAUGUUGAAUAGAUUACAAUAGUUUAAGGAAAAAAAUUAUUCAAUUGGGAAUUUUUUUUUUCUUUAAUUUUUGUUGUACUUGAUUGAGAUUUCUCCUUAGUCCUUAGAGUUUUAAGUUUGGAAACCGUAGGAUCAGUAAUUUCGUACUUCCUUUGCAAGCUGAGUAUAAGGAUGAAAUUCUUUUAAGAAAUUAAAAAAGAUAAAAAAAAGCAUACCAAUAGGUAAUUAUAAAUAACCACAAAUAAAUAUAAACAAAAUGUUUAUGAAGUAAAUUAAACAUGCUCAUAUUAUUUUCUUUUAUUUUCUACUUGGAAAUCCAUAAAUACACUAAUCCAGUAUUACUAAUUUCAGACAGAAAAAUUUGAAUUUAACCAGUAUACACUAAUCCAGUAUUAUUUUUAUUAUUAUUUUAAUUUGUUUAUAAAUUACUAUUUUAAUUUUCACUUUUUAUUGGGUUGUUUAACGGAUUAGUGAAGCUGGUGGUCGUUGAUGCACUCACAAGGUACAAUUUUAUUUUAGAAUUUCAAAUUCGUAAUUUAAAAUGCAGGCACAUUAUGUAUACAUAAUUAUUGAUUUUCAUAUGUGGGUGUCUUGAAAUAUUGCCAAAAGAUCAAACUUUAAUAAACGAUUUUUGAUCUUUUUUUUUCCUUUGUACCUAAAGUUUGAGUGAUAUCCGCAUUUUAAAUUCAUGUGGACCAAAAGCUAAUGUAUGCACAAAAUUCUUUUAUUUUUUCCGAGAAAAAUGGGUAAGAGAAGAAGAUUUUUCUCUUGAAAAAGAAAAACUAAUACGUUGCAAGCAUAGGAAAGAGGCCAGUGUUUUGGAUUUGAAUUUAGUAUUGGGUUGAAUUUUAUGCUAAGCUCUUUUAUAAUACUUUAUAGAAUAAAAAUGUAAGGGGUAUUUGGUUAGGCAUGUACUUUGUAGAAUAAAAAUGUAAUAAUGUAAGUCAGUGCAAUGAUCUGCUGUCAUAAUAGUUGUAAAUAUUUAUGUGUAAUAUAGUAACAUGAUGCUUAAUCAGUUAAAAAAAAAUUGUAUAUCUUUUUUUAUUUUUUUUUAUUGUGAUCAAUAUAACUAGUCAAAUUUAUUUUUAAAUAUUUUUUUAAAAAUAUUUUUAUCGUGUGUUUGCUCCAUUACAGGGUUUCUUCAAUUUAAAAUAGAGAAUCAUUUGUGUUCUAGAUUAAUCGUGGGUCUAUAUCCAAAUCCAAAAAUUGACUAACUUGAUUUCUAUUAAGUUCUCAACCCUAACAAGAAAAAUAGAAGAUUAAAAAUGACUAUUUUGGUUUCUAUUAAUUUGAGUAACGCUUAAUAUUUAUCAUACAAUAGUCACUUAUAUUAUCAAAAUCUUGGGUCGAAAAUAUUAGGAUAGGUGAUAAUUGGAAUUAAGUUGUAGAUAAGAUAGCCUUUCAAAAAAAAGAAAAGAAAAAAAGUUGUAGAUAAGAUAGAAAUGGAUUUGGAGAGAGAUUGGAAUCCUGGCUAAUCCGGUGCACGUUGUUGCGUUAAAUUCUCGUUGACUUCACGUUGACCGAAGCAUUAUUGGAAGAAACAAGCAAGCUUAUUUUCUUCUCUCAUUUUUUACUUUUGUCUAAAUUUAUUGAUGUGAGGCCUCUGAGAUGGUAAAGUGUUAAAUCUGAGAAGAGUACCCACACACCCAUUAUCCUAUUACUCUUAUUUUAUCACAUGCAGAGACGUCAACGUUUGAUUCGCACAGAAAAAAAUUUGCGAGGAUUGUGAGGGUUGAUUCAAUAUAAUUUAGAUGCAAAGUGUUUACAAGUGCGAUGCUUCGUAAGUGCACCCGAAUCAUUAUAAACUCACCUUAUUUUCAUAGUGAUUAUUUCAUCUGCAUGUGAAUAUAAUCAUAUGUGGAGAUUUUUUUUUCCCUAAACUAUGAUCUUCUCUGGUAUUAAGGUGUUAUAUCUUUUAAAUUAUAAUUAUUAUUAGUAAAAAACUGCAACUAUGAAAAAGAAAUUUAAUAUUAUGUCCUGAAUAUAAUUAUUAAAUAAUAAUUUUGACAAAAUUAAUGAAUAUAUACAGAUUUUUUUAUCAUAUAAAUGUAAAAUUAUAUCAACUUAGCUUCUAAGCUAUACAACGGCUACUAUUUACUAAAUACUUUAGUGUCGUAGUUUUUAAGAUAUAUUUAUCCAACCUCAAUCCCAAACAUAACCUGUAAGGAUAAAAAAUUUCAUCCUAAAAAUUAUACGUCUUGUGACUUAUUUAAUUUAUAUUUUUGUUAUUUAUAUUUACUAAUUAUAGUCAUCUUUUAAUAAAUUACAAUUGAAGGAAGGUGGUUGAUGUUGUCGAGACACACACACAAAGAUAUAUUGGAAGUGCUUAUGUCCACUCGAAGUUGUGGGGAGUUAAUGCAUGUAUUGAUUUAUUGGGAGUGUUAAUGCAUGUAUUGAUUGAUUGAGUGAUUGAAUACUGUUUGAUUGCUUCAUAUCAAUUCUAGAAAGUUUAUUUCUUUGUGAAAUUUCAACGAAACGUGUUUUUUUAGAAUAAUAAGGGUGUUUUAAGUAAUUUUAAAAAAUGAAUGGACUAAUUAGAAUUAAUUAUUAGGUAAUUAACUCGAAUUGUAGAGGGUAAGCAAACAUUUAUCCUAAUUAUAUUAUGAUAAAUCCUUUUCCAAUUAGAAUUAGGAAACCAUAGAUAUACUGAAUUUUUUUUAUUUCCCUUCGCGAAAACGGAUUAGAGAAUUAGAAAACAAUCCUAGUGAUACUAUUGUUAGGUUUAAAACACUGCAUAGAUGGUAAAAACAUUGGAAUUGAUGUAGAUUAAUUUGUUAAUUGCUAUCGUACUGAACAUUGUUUUAUGCAAAUUAAUUUGAGAAUUAGAAAAUAUUUUGUUGCAUGCAAACUUUUUGUUUUAUGCAAAUCGUACUGAACAUUGGGACUGAUGUUUAAGAAAAAAAUUCUGUAGUUAAAGAAAAACAAAAAGGCAUGUUGAAUAGAUUACGAUAGUUUAUUCAAUUGGGAAUUUUUUUUUUUAAUUUUGUUGUACUUGAUUGAGAUUUCUCUUUAGUCCUUUCGUACUUCCUUUGUAAGCUGAGUAUAAGGAUGAAAUUCUUUUAAGAAAUUAAAAAAGAAAAAAAAGCAUGCCACUACGCAAUUAUAAAUAACCACAAAUAAAUAUAAACAAAAUGUUUAUGAAGUAAAUUAAACAUGCACAUAUUAUUUUCUUUUAUUUGCUGCUUGGAAACCCAUAAAUGCACUAAUCCAAUAUUACAAUUAAUUUCAGACAGAAAAAAUUGAACUCUAGGCUGCAGUUUGACUCAAAAUGAUGACCACUGGCUUCGCACCAUUCAACCGGUAUACAUUUCUACAAACCGAACAACGCUAUUGAUUUUUAUUAUUUUUUUAAUUUUUUUAUAAAUUACUAUUUUAAUUUUCACUUUUUAUUGGGUUGUUUAACGGAUUAGUGAAGCUGGUGGUCGUUGAUGCACUCAUAAGGUACAAUUUUAUUUUAGAAUUUCAAAUUCGUAUUUUAAAAUGCAGGCACAUUAUGUAUACAUAAUUAUUGAUUUUCAUAUGUGGGUGUUUUGAAAUAUUGCCAAAAGACCAAACUUUAAUAAACUAUUUUUGAUUUUUUUUUCCUUUUUACCUAAAGUUGGAGUGAUAUCCGCAUUUUAAAUUCAUGUGGAACAAAAGCUAAUGUAAGCACAAAAUUCUUUUAUUUUUUCCGAGAAAAAUGGGUAAGAGAAGAAGAUUUUUCUCUUGAAAAAGAAAAAAAAAUACAAUGCAAGCAUAGGAAAGAGGUCAGUGUUUUGGAUUUGAAUUUAGUAUUGAGCUGAAUUUUAUGCUAAGCUCUUUUAUAGUACUGCGAUUAAUAAGCUAGCUCAGGAUUUGCUUUUGCUUUUACUUCAAGUAAAAGAAUGAGGAAGCCUUUUGUUUUUUUGUUUGAUUUUUGACUAUAUAUGUUACCUAUAUAGAGAGUUGAGGUAGCAGCCUUAAGUGAUGGUGAUAAAAAGAUUAAGCAGCGCACACAAUCUUACUGUCGUCGAGACCAUCCAGUGAUGGCUCUUGUUUUUUUGUUACGUUAGCUUUAGUGGAAAGAAGGACCAAUUUAACAAAGACUAGAUUUGGUGGCUUACUAUGUUUAAUGUAAUGCUUAUUCUCAGCGCACACAAUCUUACUAUGUUUAAUGUAAUGGUUAUGUUGAAUGAUCUUCUAUGAUUGUGAGUAGUAUAGUAUAAUUGCAAGGGGCCUGGGCUCCUAUGAUGAAUAACAGUAACACAUUACUGUGAUUGAGAAAACUCAGUUCCAAUAAACUCUUCAUUUACUCAUUGCGGAGAUUGAAUGGCAAACAGAGAAUAGAAUGAAGCAGAAGAAUCUCAUUGUUAGGUUUUGAUGAUUUCAGAUGCUUUUUAAAAAAAAACAAUUGUGACAUCUUUGAUUUAAGGUAGUUUUGCAAAAAACAAAACAUAUAAAAAUUAAGAGGGAUGAUUUAACUGACGAUUACAAUCAUUACAGCAAUGCUGAUGAGUGAUAAAUCACUUGAAAUUUACUUGUCAGUUGCUGAAAUGAUGAAAAAAAACAAUAAACGAUAACAGUAAUAAUGUUCCCUUGCUGAAAUUCAAUUUUGACUUUCGACUCUUGGCUUUUAUGGAGAGUAAAAUGACUUGUAUAUUAUACUCAUACAAUCCACUCUACAUAAUGAUAUCGUUUUAGUAAGGCAAUGGCUGAUGAUCUCCAUUUAAAAACUACAUCAAUUUUUUUUUGCUUCAUUUAACUUUUUGGUUGUUGAAAAUAACCUUAAUUACCAAAUAAUUGGAGAAAGAGUUAAGAACAUUUAACAAAUUUAUGUGCAAAAAAAAAAGAAGGAGAAGUUGAAGAGAAAGGGUGCUUGCAGAAGUGGGUGUCAAAGAUAAAUCGGUCCAUAAGAAUUAUUGUGGUUAUUUUUUGGCAAUAUAAAAAAUUUUUAGUAAGUAAAAAUAAUUUUUUUUUCGAUUUACUAAAAAAUUAACUAAAAACUUCUGCGAUAGCAUUUUUUAUGGGUGCAGAUACCCUCCCUUUAAAAAAAAUAUAAUAAUUACUGCUUAAUAUAGUAUUAAAUACGAAAAUAUCAAUAUUUGACUACUCAAAUUUAUGUCAUUAGGUCCUUCAAAUUUAAAAUGGAAGAUAUGAAAGGAAAUAUAUAUAAAUUUCAUUGUCCUGGGAAAGGACCCUCUUAUAAUCUUAUAAUAUUUGAACUUUGAUAGAUUUUUUGAAACAAAUUUAGAUAGAUUUUUUGAAACAAAUUUACUUUUAUUUGUGUACAAUCAAUAUUUACUUAUUUAUUAUAUUUUAAUUUAUUAACUAUCAAUCAUGUUAAUAUAUUUAGUCAGAAAAAUCAUAUCAAGAGAAAAUCAUGACCCCACGCACGGAUAAAUACGUUAAUUUCUAUACUAUUCACUUUCCUGUAGAAUCAAUUAUUUAAAAUGCAAGUUUGUGGCUACAGAAAACUCGCCAAAGAAAGAAGAUAAUAACAAUUGAGCAUUGAUAGCAAAACUAAUGCAUCCAAUUCUUCUUGACUUGAUGAGAUGGCGCCAUAACGUAGAAACAAGUACCUAAAUUGACCGGCACUGAGUGGUGUGAAUACUACCAGCCAGUUCAUCUCUUCCAGUCGUGCUUAAUCACAAUCACAAACACCACGAGAUCGACAUUUGCAUUAUAUAUAUCUUCAGCAAUCGAAACACCUUGCAUUACCAAAUUAACCAGCAACAAACAAAGCAAUCUUUCAUGGAGAGAAACCUUAGUCUCAGUAUGAUCACUGUGUCAUUAACCCACUGCCUGCUUCUUUGCUUGGUUGUUGCAGCAGCAGCAGCAGCAAGCAGCAAUAUUACCACAGACCAACAAGCUCUUCUUGCCCUGAAAGAUCAUAUAAUUUAUGAUCCGACCAACCUUUUAGCCCAUAAUUGGACCUCGAACACCUCUCUUUGUACCUGGAUUGGCAUCACUUGUGAUGCCAAUAGCCAUAGAGUCACAACCUUAGAUAUUUCUCAAUUCAAUCUACAAGGCACCAUCCCUCCUCAACUUGGAAACCUCUCUUCACUCACAACGCUUAAUCUUAGUCAUAAUAAGCUUUCUGGAAGCGUUCCCCCCUCCAUCUACACCAUGCAUACGCUAAAAUUUCUAGACUCCACUGCUAACCAGCUCUCUGGUUCAGUGUCUUCCUUCGUCUUCAACAUGUCUUCAAUAUUAGACAUUCGUUUGACCAAUAACAGACUUUCUGGUGAGCUUCCGAAAAAUAUUUGCAACUAUCUUCCUCAUUUGAAAGCC
Molecule: long non-coding RNA, 112807 nt
Filed under: Citrus maxima (pomelo)
Lineage: Eukaryota; Viridiplantae; Streptophyta; Magnoliopsida; Sapindales; Rutaceae
Description: long non-coding RNA (CMAX_LNC003928)
Source: RNAcentral